Molecule: long non-coding RNA, 122979 nt
Filed under: Prunus persica (peach)
Lineage: Eukaryota; Viridiplantae; Streptophyta; Magnoliopsida; Rosales; Rosaceae
Description: long non-coding RNA (PPER_LNC006603)
Rfam family: mir-160 microRNA precursor family (bases 85001-85086)
Source: RNAcentral
AAAAAAUGGAAAUGGGAGGUUUCCAAGCUAGGAGAUGGCAGAAUUAAUAUAAUGUGAUGGAAAAACAUGAAUAAUGAACAAGGGCUAGCUAGGCUGCCUAGCUAUGUUGUUGUAACAUAGGACAAGACGUGACCACCGAUCUUUUAUCCAUACAUUUGAUCAAAUCUCACCCUGAGUCAUGGAUGGAGAGAAAAUUUCUAGGGUGUCAGACAUAUGUGUCCAAGUCUGCAUUAAUCCUCAAAAUUAGGUUUGUCCACUUCUUCUUUUGUUACAGAGUGAAAGAUAAGUUGUGUGAUUCGUUUUUUGUGAGGUUUUGCGUUUUGGUAACCAUUUUCCAUGUACAAUUCAAGUUGCUGACGGAUUUUUAAGGAUCUUUUCAAUUUAACUAAAUUCAUACAUACUACACAGAUACUAAAAUUUGAAUUCAGGACAUUAUUUAAAAGAGUAAAUACUCUAAACCACUAUACUAGUGGGUACUUUGUUGUUGACGAAUUUAAUAAAUAUUAAUUUUGUAAUUCGUUUUUAAAGAAUAUCCUUUUGGCAUAUAUAUGAACAUAUCGAGAACAUUGAGAAAAAUAAAAUCUAAGAAAACUAUUGUCAAAGUAAGGCCACCUCCAGCGCAAGGAUCCAGCCCGGGCAGAAGGCAAUCUCAGGCCCCAAAACUCCCACCAGGACGCAAGGUCCAGUCUAAGCAAGAGUUGGGUCUCACGAGCCCAGACAAGCCCACAUGCAAAUUCAGCUCGAGCUGCUACCUAGGUAAAAUGACACAAUGUUGACGUCAUAAUGACAUCAGCAACAAAAAAAAAAAAAAGAGCCCAAAAUUUCAGAAUUUUUUUAUUUUGUAAAUACCUAGCCAUAUUCUUUACUUCCCAUACCAAAAACUUUAUACAAAUUCAUCUCCUCAUAUCUCAUGUGAGUAGUAAUUGCUCUUACCCUUGCCUUUGGAGUGGAAACAAAAAAGGUAAGGGCUGUCACUAUUCAUAUGAAUAAAUGACAAAUCUUGUCUUGUCUUUUCCUUACCCUUAUCCUUUAGAGUGGAGGUGCUCUAACAGUCAACAUAUAUGAAUGUGAGCAAUGAGCGUGACUCUUUAUAGUAAAGGUAAAGCCUUCCCUUCUGGGGUUUGUAUAUGUUUGAUGGGAAUUUUUCCAAAAACACAAAAAACAAAAAAUUACAAAAAAGUCUCUUUUUCGGAAGUGGGUUCACAUACAUAGAUUCCUUUAUAUGGGAAUCUUUAUUUUAAAAAAAAAGUAAAUUGUGUUAUGAAUAUGUAAGCAAAAUUGGAGUGAAAAUUACCCAGAACUAACAACAAGCAGUCUAAGCAUGAUCAUGAUCAUGAUGUUCUUAAUCAUUUUCUAUGAUCCAAAAUUUCCCUCCAAGCAAUAUGUAAAGAGGCUAGAAUGAGGGGGUCUUUAAUAGUAGUCUGAUCUAGUGCAGAAUUAAUAUUAAACUGUUGGAUUGAAUCUCCACAUUGUAAACCCCCAAUAUAAUUUUACCGCCUCCAAGUUUUGCAAGAGCAAAAGUCCAAAAGUGAAAAAAGAAGAAAAGGGUAAAGCAGAAAUAUAAUAAAAUGGAUUGAGUGCAGUCUAAGUAAGCCCAUUUUACAAAGACUAUAACUACCAGUCACAUGAACCCUUUUUGGUAUCUCAAACUUUUAGCUUUUGCUGUCUUAUAAAGUCCAUCAUGACAAUUAGCACAACUAUUACCAAUAAUCACUUUGAUUAAACUCCAUUGGUGGUCAAGUAAAGACUUAGAAGUUGCGCUAAUUGGUCUUGAAACAAGAAGUCAAAAAGAACCGAAUUUUACUAUCAAACCCGCCAGCAUCUUUUAUGUUGAGAUGCCCCCAUUAGAAAUUGUUAGCUUUAUUUUUGGACAGACAAAGUGAAAGGGGGUCUCUUGUUGUGCUUCAACUUUGAGAGACCAUACAAGAAAAAAACACAGAGAUAAGGGUUUCUUCCAAAAAAUUUAAAAAGGAACAAAACAUUUGGUCGAUUGGGUAUGAGUCAUGUAAUAGGGACAAAUGUCCCUUCUUGUUUGGGGCCGUGAGCCUAAGUAGAGUGAACACCAUUGAAGCUGCAGGGCAACUCUGCUACUUUUUGUGUGAGUCUUCAACACAUAAUCAGUGAGCAAAGCUAAAGUUUGCUACAGUCAUCCAAUGCUGUGGCGCCACAUGUCGUGCAAGGGAAAUUUUGCAAUUAUAGCACAGGACAAUGUGGUGGGCAGGCUUUUUACCACCAAACAUGAGUGCUUCUGAUUCCGCAUUGCAGUAUAAGGUGAAUUUUGAUGCAGAGCAUGAUGGCAGCUCCCCAAGUCCAUAUGCCAUUUUAGUUUGUCAGCAGUCAAAUAACAAAUUGAAAAUGUGUAAAUUAGAGUAUGUUUUGGCACUGCUUCUAGAAAUGUUAAAAGCAAUUCUGAUAGUAUUUGACCUAAAAACUCAAAAAGUGUUUUUUGAGUAUAAAAGUGUAAUAUAGGAACAAGCGUUUAUGAAACGGAAAUAACGAAAUAAUGAUAUCCAUGUUGCAACCAAGUUUUUCUCCCCUCCCACAUUUUACAGAGCUGCCAUUGCCAAUUUUCCACAACCAUAAAUUUAUGUAUUAUGUAUGGAAUAUUAACCUAAUUAUGAUAUCGCCUUGGAGGCAAAUUAACCUCCUUAAGAAUAUUCCUUCUACUAAUAGCAAUGGGAUCUAAUCCAAGUAACAGUUGGAGAACACUGGAUAGUCUUAAAAAAGGGUAUCAUUAGCACUAAUGACUUAGUGCGUGUAUGUUCUGUAUGUGGGUGUGUGAUAUUUUAAACUUAAUCAAAUCAUUCUGUUCUGUUUCUGUCAAUUUUUUUGGCUAAGAAACACAUAAAAACAUGAUUUAAACGCGCAUGCAAGCAUGCACAAGGGUCAUAAAUAGUAUAUUAGUAUAAGCUCAAUCCCUACUAAGAAUAGUAAUUAUGAGUUUAUAAUCUCCAAACAUAGGGAGUUAUAGGGAGGUGGGCAAAGAAUUAAGUAGACAGACAACAGAGACAGAGAGCGUUAAAGAGAAACAGCCAGAAAGGCCAAUUUUGGGGAUUGAGGCAUUUUAAAAUGAAUGUGAUACUAAACAUUAGUUUAAGGGCAUGGGUUCAGUUCCUGCAAUCCUGGCAAAGAACACACCACUUAAAAUAUAAGGUUAAGUUAAUACUGAGUCCAUUUAGCAGCCCACAAAGUAAAAUGAAUAUGUUGUCUCGUAUAUGAUGCUUGUGUUAUCCGAUUGUGAAUUUUAACUGCAUAUUUUAAUAUAAAAAAAUAAAAAAAUUAAUGAUCUAGAUUCACAAUAUGACAAACUACAUAUUUUAGCUGAAAUCAACAUGAUAAAUAAUAGAGAUUCGUAGUUUGACAAUAUAACACAUCAUAUGUUUCCUGAUUGAUCUAGAUCGAAACAUAAACAUAUGGGUUUUUGAAGAAGGAGGAGAUGUUAUUGGUGGAGAAGAGGGCAAUGAAUUUAGUGAUGUGUAGAUGAGAGUUGGGGACAGCAUGCUUGGAGAAGUGAGGUAAUGGUGGAUAUGGGGAAGGGAGAAGGAGGGCGUGAAAUAAAAAUGAAAUGUUUCCUAUGCUUACAACAGGAGUGUCGAGGAAAGGAGCGUUGAUGGGGGCACAAGGUGAUAGGUCAUAACCCACUAAUGUUUUUAUUCAAUCAUCUAUGCACAAUGCUCCAUAUCACCCACCAUCUCUCACUCAGUCUCUGUGUGUUUGUGUCUACUGAAAUUACCCAUACUUGCUCUGUUUCCUCACAUUAAUAUGUAAAUGUAAGAAUGUCAUAAAAAUACAAUUAACUAGUCAGUGAAGCCCAUCUUGAUAAAUGUAUCUACCCUUGUGGGAUUGUCCAUUUUUGGCAUUUUCCUUCCAAGGUUAAAAAAUGGAUGUUUGUCUCAUUUCUAAAAUUGCACAUAAAAUAUACAGAAUGGGCUAUGGCUAGACAAGUGGAGCUUAUUCAUCCCAAAUAUUAAAUCAUUAUCAUACAAUUCACAUCAUCUUGAAAAUUAGGGCAAGAGUCCAUAUUGUUAAUGCCAAAUAUGCUAAAAUAUGAAAUUUAUGAGAGAAUAUUAUUUGUGGGAAUUUUUUAUGUAUUCUUCUCUUUGUAGGAAGCUGUAUUUAUAAUACAAUAAACUCUUGCAUGUCAAGGAAAGUAAUAACUUAUAAUUCUAUUUACAGUAGGAAAUCAAAAAUUAAAGUAAAUCAAUUACAUUUUAAUAUAGGAAUCCUUCGCUUGUAAGGAAAGUAAUUGCGGGUCCACAAGUCACGCCAACACUUCCCCUCAAGUUGGUGCAUAGAUAUCGUCAAUGCUCAACUAGUCCAGUGAAUUGUAGAAUGCUUUACUAGAAAUUGUCUUUGUCAAAAGAUCUGCCAAUUGAUCCUUGAACUUUAAGAAAGGAAACUGAAUCACUUUAGCUUCAAGUUUUUGUUUGAUAUAAUGUUGAUCUACCUCAACAUGAUUGGUACGAUUAUGUUGAACUGAAUUCUGUGCAAUAACUAUUGCUACCUUUUUGUCACAAAAGAGAUUCAUUACAGAUGUAAGUCUAUACUUAAGUUAAGUAAGCAGCCUACGUAGCCAAAGGAGUUCACAAAUUCCUUUAGUCAUAUCUCUGAACUCGGCUUCUGCUCUAGAUAAAGGUACUACCUUCUGUUUCUAGCUCCUCCAUGUCACUAAAUUUCCUCCCAUAAAUGUAAAGUAACCAAAUGUGGAUCUUUUAUUUGUUACACUCUCUGCCCAAUAUGCAUCUGUGUAACCAUCAAUAUUCAUAUGACCAUGUUUUGAGAACAUAAGUCAUUUUUCAGGUGCAGACUUCAAAUAUCUAAGUAUUCCGAGAACUGCAUUUAUGUGGUCUUCACUUGGAGAAUGCAUAAAUUAACUGACUACACUCACAACAUAAGUAAUGUCUGGUCGAGUACGUGACAAAUAGAUCAAUCUUCCCACUAACCUUUGGUAGAUUUCCUUGUUAGUUGGAACUUGAUACGAGGAUUCUCCAAGAUGAUGAUUCUGAACAAUAGGAGUAUCUAAAGGUUUGCAAUCUAGCAUUCAUGUGUCUCUCAACAAGUCCAAGACAUAUUUCCUUUGAGAUAUAAAUAUGCCUUGCUUUGAUUCGACCAUCUCAAUCCCCAAGAAAUACUUGAGUCCACCUAGAUUCCUCAUCUCAAAUUCAGUAGCUAAAUAGUCUUUUAAUCGAGAUAUUUCAUAUUCAGCAUUCAUGGUAAUAAUCAUAUCAUCAACAUAGAUUAUUAACGGUGUUACCUUUCCUUUAUGAUGUUUCAAGAACAGAGUAUGAUUUGAAUUGUUGUGCUUGAAUCCAUAAUUCUUUAUUGCCAAGUGAAUUGUCCGAACCAUGGAUGUGGUGACUAUUUCAAACCAUAUAGUAUUUUUUUGCAACUUGCACACCAUAUUAGUCUUAGUAGAUGUUGUAUAUCCCGGUGGAACAUCCAUGUACACUUCUUCUGUGAGUUCAUUAUGCAAGAAAGCAUUUGUUACAUCAAAUUGGUGGAUUGGUGAAUCCAGGUUAGCUGCAAAAGAUAGUUGCACUCUGACUUUGUUAAGCUUUGCUAUGGAGACAAAAGUUUCUUCAUAAUUGAUGAUGUAGGUUUGUGUGUACCCUUUUUCUACAAGUCUGGCCUUGUAUCUUUCAACGCACCCAUUACCUUUCCUUUAUGAUGUUUCAAGAACAGAGUAUGAUUUGAAUUGUUGUGCUUGAACCCAUAAUUCUUUAUUGCCAAAGUGAAUUGUCCAAACCAUGCAUGUGAUGACUAUUUCAAACCAUAUAGUGUUUUUUUGCAACUUGCACACCAUAUUAGUCUUAGUAGAUGUUGUAUAUCCCGGUGGAACAUCCAUGUACACUUCUUCUGCGAGUUCAUUAUGCAAGAAAGCAUUUGUUACAUCAAAUUGGUGAAGUGGUGAAUCCAGGUUAGCUGUAAGAGAUAGUUGCACUCUGACUGUGUUAAGUUUUGCUAUGGAGACAAAAGUUUCUUCAUAAUCGAUGAUGUAGGUUUGUGUGUACCCUUUUUCUACAAGUCUGGCCUUGUAUGUUUCAACGCACCCAUUGACAUUGUGUUUGACAGUAAACACCCAUCUGCAUCCAACUGUUCUUUUUCCUGGGGGUAAUAUCUCUAGUGUCCACGUCUGAUUUUUCUCCAGAGCCUUCAUUUCUUCCUUCAUUGCUUGGGUUAACUUCGGAUCUUUCAAUACUUAAGCCACCUUAGUAGGAAUGACAAUAGCAGACAACUGAUUUACAAACGCCUUCAGUGGUUCAGGCAAUUUUUGAGUAAGCACAUGGUUGACAAUUGGGUACUUUGACAUUUUUCCAAUAUGAGGAGCAUACCGGUUUGGGGUUUUCCACAAUUCUGCCUGAAAGGUAAUUGGUAUCCAAUAGAAUCAUCAACUAACUUCAUAGAAGUUGUAGGAAUAUUUACCUUAGGGAUAUUCUUAGGAGAUUGGUCGUCUGGUACUGUUGAAUAAGAUAGGGGGUCUUCAGUGUGUUCAGGUUCGUCUUCUUUCACAAGGGAGUCAGACGUAGUCAAAUCAGCGGACGUUUCAAACACAGGCGACUGGUCAAAUUCUUCAGAGCUACCAGUCGUUAUUGUUAGAACGACCGGUUGUUUUCGUCCAGACUUUGAUUUUUCCAUCUUUUAUGGUGCUCUAAGUCUGUGCUUCACCCCAUGAAGCAAAGAAUUUGAUACUGGGUCAUAAAAAGAAUGUCUCAUACUCCAAAAAGGUGACAUCUAUAGUGAUAUAUGUGCACCAGGAAGAAGGAUGAUAACACCAAUAGCCAUUCAAAUAAGUGGAAUACCCCAAAAAAACACAUCGAAGCUCAUAAGGGUCACGUUUGCUUCUUUGGUUUUUAUGAAGAUUAAAAACGCACCCAAACACUCGUAGUGUGAGCAUCAAGAUAGAAGGCAUGGGCCCAUAUUGAGCAACAACUUGUACCGGAGUAUGAUAGUAAAAGACACAAUAAGGCAUUCGGUUAAGCAAAUAAACAGCAGUGAUGAUGAUAUCAUCCCAGUGGCGGCGAGGAACAUGAGUCCUAAUCAAAAGUGUAUGGGCUGAUUUAAGAAGAUGAUGAUUUUUUUUGUUUCGCAACACCAUUCUUUUGUGGAAUUGCCAUGUCAAACGAGUACAAUCAUCCACAAAACGUGACAAACCAUCUAAAUCCAGAAGUAGUAGAGAUAGAUGAAGCGCCCCAGACAUCAGAAUGAAGUAAAGCAAAAUGAAUGGUACUUUUAUUCAUACUUAAUAGGGUAAGAAACUUCGUGACUCUUGGCUAAGAUGCAAAUGUCACAUUGAAAGUUUGAAUCUUUAAAAAACAAAACAAAUAUGGGACUAAAUGUCUCAUAUAACCAAAAGACGGAUGCCCUAAACUGUGGUGCCAUAACAAAAUAAGUCGAUGCUUGUCAUCAAAUGGAUGCUUCACGAUGUUUGCGAUGACCAUACUAAAGUCAUCCACAUAGUAAAGCCCAUUCUUUUAGUACAACGUCUAAUGAUCUCCUUGGUGAGAAUAUCUUGAAGAAAACAAAAAGUGGGAUAAAUUAGUGUACAACAAUUCAAUUAUUCAAUAGCUUGGCCAACAAACAUCAAUUUAUUGGAUAUAGACAGAACAAGUAAAGUAUUGGAAAGUGAAAGAAAAUGGGAAAAAUGCAAUAGUGCCCUUUCUAGUUACAUGAUAAGUAACGUCAUUCACAUUAGAAACACUGGUGCGGCGGGGAUGAGAGGUGCUCAUAUGGUCAGUCGCGCUAGAAUCAAUAAUCCACCCAGGAGCAUGACUCAAUGCAGAAGUAUGAAAUACAAAGCCACAGUUGCCUUAGUCACUCAGAAUCUGGGAGUUAUUAGAUUGAGGGGAGGGUGGAUCCGACCUGAUGAGCCAACGAUAAUUGGGGUUCGGUGGUGAUGAGAGCGACACGACCAACUCCAAGUGCAAUUUUCUGAGCUUUGUAUCAUUCCCACCAAUCGAGAUACUUGUGCAUUUUGUAACAGGUUUCCCAAGUGUGUUUAGGAUUUCCACAUUGAGUGUAUCUCACCUCUGUAUGUCGGACUCUUGGGUUUAUGAGGUUGGGUAGUCGAGUUGGCAGACGAGCCAAUGGCCAUGACAUAAGACUGCAUCUAAAGAGGUACGAUUGCAAAAGAAGGUGGCUGGCUAGGCCGAUCGUUCAAGGUGUGGCAGGUCGGUGGAUGAGUUCCCUUGGCUGCCAACAACGGUCAGUGCCUGAGUACCCAAUAUGGCAGCUUGUUGGAGAUCUUCACGUCAGACAAAAGCAUAUGCUUGCUAAAUAGUUGGAAACAGAGCCAUCUUAAGAACAUCACUGCCGGCCUUGUCAAGUCAGUCAUCCAAGCUAUCCAAUAAGAUAUAAACAUGAUCUUCUUGGAGAUUGACGUUGUGCUCCUUGAUAUCGGAAUCACACUUCAUCUGAUCUGGAUGACGAAAGUCGAUUUCUUGCCAUAAGCUUUGUAAAUCGUUGUAGUAGGCUUUAAUUGAGCCACCUAGUUGUCGCAUACGGUGAGUGAAUCGUUUAAGAUCGUACACCUGAGAGGUGUCAGUGCCAUCAAAGUAUAUCAUGGCAAUCGCAUCCCAUACUACUUUUGCAAUUGGAAAACGAAUAAAUGUGCUAAUCAAUCGAGGCUCCAAAGAAUUGAUUAGCCAGCCUUUCAUAACGGUAUUCUCAAUGUGCCAAUAUGGAAACGCGGGUCAGUCGGAGUAAGUGGUGGAAGUUUCCUUAUGAGGUAUCCCAACUUGUCUUUGCCGGCGACGUACGCCUUGACAACUUGGGACCAAAGAGGGUAGUUGGAGCCAUCCAACUUGAUUGGGCAGUGGAAGCUUCAUAGGUAAUAGUCAGGAUCUGUGUGUUGGUCAUGUUCGGGGUUAGGUUCUGGUUCGAGUUUGGAUUCUAGUUCUGGUUUUGUAUCUUUAAGAACUGGGUCAUCUGAGCGGCCAGUUCGGUGAAGUUUAGUUGAGAAGGAGAAGCGAAAUCUGUCGUACUCCCUUCAUGGUGGAGCAAAAUAUCUUCAUCCCCCAUGAUGCCGGUCAUGUUUUAAAAACAAGAGUCAGCAAUUCCAAUAUCGUUGCUUUGAUACCGUGCUAAAAUAUAAAACUUAGGAGAGAAUAUUGUUUGUGGGAAUUUUAUGUGUAUUCUUCUCCUUGUAGGAUGUUGUAUUUACAAUAACCCUUUAUAGGUCAAGGAAAGUAAUAACUCGUAAUUAUAUUUACAGUAGGAAACCAUGAAUUAAAGUAAAUCAAUUACAUUUAAUAUAGCAAUCCUUGGCGUGUAAAAAAAGUAACUGCGGGUCCACAAGUCAUGCCAACAAAAUAUUCAACCAUUGAGUUGUACAUGAGCUUUAUACUUGAAAUUCAGCUUAAUCUUCACCAUCAAGUACGGGUCUAAUACUCAAACUCGAAGACUACAGUGCGCUACUUGGCUUGCUCUGGCUAAUUAUUGACUUCAUUUUGUUCUUCCAUGAAAUAUCCAUAGUCCGUUUGAUUUAAAUAAGGGACUUGUAGCUCAAAUGAUUAAGAGCAAUUAUCUUUGCAUCCGAAGUCCUAUGUUUAAUUAUCCUCUCACCCCCCUUGUAAGGGGAAAAAAAAUCAAGUAUAAAUAUCAAACUCUGGUCGUGACUAUAAAGGGUACCUAUUAUAGUAAGUAAUAAGCCUCCACAACCUAACCUAUGUUUGAAUAUGAAAUAUCAAACUUCUUAAUCUAUGAAGAAGGAAAUGCAAGAAUCGAACUCUAACUUUGAGCGUGAGAAUAACUAGUAUUUUUAAGAAUGAAGUAUGUACCAAUCUAUUAAGCCUUCCCUCAAGUUAUUCAUAUUUCACAAGAGAUGGACAUGUUGUUUUGAAAACCAACAAGUGGAAAGACAGGAAAAUACAGUAAUGUUAUUGGGAUAAUACGUAAAUGGAAAGCUUAUCUUUAUUUAUGCUCAUAAUGGUACAAAAGCAGUAAGGGAGGACUAAAAAAUGAAAAAAACCAGGGAAGGGAACGAAACAAAUAAAACAGAGUGGUCCACGCGUGCCAAUGCCUGUAUUUAUGCACUUGUGUUGUGUUGUGUGUGGGUGUGCAAGCGUGUGAAUGUUUGUGUGUGCAAGCGUGCUAAGAGGUUCUCACGUGUGAGCGGCUUAUAAAUACGCAUGUGGAGAACGGCACCACCAAAGAAGUUUUCUAGUGGGCAAGCUAUAAAGCGUUUGUCUACUUGAAUUUUUCUGUAACACAGAAGGUUAGAAGCAAAGAGACAGAGGACUUAGAAAAAAAAGGGAAUCUCUUUGUGUUGCAGAGGGAUUUUAAUUUGAUUUUGUAAGCAACAAAAACAGUUGAGUGAUUUGAGAGAAAUGGAGAUUGAGAGUGAAAUGAAGCAGUCAAGGUUUGGGAGGAUUUGUGUGUUUUGUGGGAGUAGCCAAGGCAAGAAGAGUAGCUACCAAGAUGCAGCCAUUGAGCUUGGCAAGGAACUGGUAUACAAUGGCUUUUUCGAACUUCAAAUACACAGUUUUCUUUGGGUUCUGUUAUGUCACUUGAGGUUUUUCAUACUUGGGUUCUUUUAAAAAAGAUCAAAAGUUGAAGUUUUAUCCCGUUUGGUUUUGUUGGAGUUUACUUUUGACCAUCUUUUUGCUUUUGUUUCUUGUUUAUGUCAGAUGGGUUUUGGUAGGAAUUAGUUGGAAGUUGCUCAAACUUGAUCAUCUUGUUUAUGUUUGUAACAUAUCAUGUUGUUCUUGUUCUAGUUUUUUGGGGCAAGCACAUUAUGAUUAUAACUUGUUUGUCACUUGGUUCCUGAGAUUUUUUUUCUUCGUUUUUUUUAAAUUAGGAUUUGAUUUCUUCAAACUGGAACUUUCUUCCUAAUUAAGUUUGUCUCUAGCAGAAGGCAUGCAAAUGUUGCUCUCUCUCUCUCUCUCUCUCUCUGUCUUUUCUUUGGUAAAUGCUCCUCUCUCUGUCAUUAUCAGAAAACUCAUCAACACUAAAUAAGCCCAUUUAGAGAUGGAAAAUGAUGCCACUUUUGCAUUACAUGUGUUUAAGUUUUCAACUUUCAGUCUGUCAUAAUUCCAAACUGACCAACUCAAUCACUUCAACGCUUUGUUAUUUUGGCAUUUGCACCUCUCCUCGCGAAUAAACAGAUAUGAACUUAGUGUACUAAACGUACAAAUUUGUUGUAUGAGCAUUGAAGAAUCCUUCCAUUCUCAAUUUAUUAGAUGUACUCAAAAGUGCACUAUUUUUUCCAAAUGGGUUCUUGAAAAGUACAAUUUGUUUUGCUAAUGUCUUGAAGGUUUCGAGGAACAUUGAUCUGGUCUAUGGAGGAGGCAGCAUAGGCCUAAUGGGUUUGGUUUCACAAGCUGUUCAUGAUGGUGGUCGGCAUGUUAUUGGGUAUUCUUUUUACUCCUUAUCAGAUCUCAGAUGAUAAACAAAUGAAAUCACAAAACAAACAAACAGAUUAAGAAACAAUAAGUGAGUUGGGACAAUCGUUAUGGUUGGUUUUGCUCUCAAAAACAACUGAUUUUGUCAUGGUAUUGUCUCUCUGCAGAGUUAUUCCCAAGACGCUCAUGCCUCGAGAGGUAUGUUUCCUAUAGCCAGAUAAAGUGCUUCAACUUUUCCAAUUGUAAAGAAUAGAAAUUUAUACAUGGUUUAUUAUAUAUAUAUAUAUAUAUAUAUCAGAAUUUAUUGGUUAUUAGAUUCAUGUUCAAUUCUUUUCUACAUCAAUUUCUUUCUUUCUUUGUUCUUUUUCUCUUCUUUUUUGGGUGGGGGAAUGAUGUGAGCACUUUUAGCUGCUUUUCUUUCUUUAUUUUGUUUUUUUGCUUUUAUUUUUAUUUUUAUCUUCUGUUUAUUCUCUGUUUGGUUCCCUUCAUUUCUGUUUCUUCAAUGGAUGCUGGGGAGACUUAUCCAUAGCACACUUGAGUACUUGAACUACCCCACUAGUAUUGUACAGUUUUGAGUCUCUGCUGAUUUUUCUGAUUUCUUUUCCCUUGUAUCAGUUUUAUAUGGUCACUUGAGCUUUAAAGUAAUUUUCUUCUUGUGCUUUUCUGCCUUGGCCUUUUCUAUUGAUCGAACUUUGUUGAUUUUGCCAUCUGGUGACCACUAAAUUUACUGGCUAGGGAAUAGCCGGAUUUUGCAUUAACUUCUUCCCCCAAAAAAAAAAUUGUAUUAAGCUCAUCAUUUCUGCAACACUCAUCAUUGCUUUGCUGCACAAAGCUCCAAAUCUCUCUGUCUCUCUGUCUCUCUGUCUCUCUUAACAUCAAUUUCUUUAAUCUUUUUCCGUGCAUUGAUACCAUUUUGCAGUUAACUGGUGAAACAGUGGGGGAAGUGAAGGCAGUUGCAGGCAUGCACCAAAGGAAGGCAGAGAUGGCUAAGCAUUCGGAUGCCUUUAUUGCCUUACCCGGUUAGUAUAAGCCCUGAACAACUCUCUCUGUCUCUCUCCCCCUCUUUCUCUCUUUGCCUGCCUGCGUACCUUCACUUAUACCAGAAUUCUUAAACAAAGCAAAGAACAUAUGGUCCUUCAUGGCUUUAAUUUUUACUAAUUUUAGCUUGCAAGUCCACUUUUUUUAUUCUUGUGACCCCUUCCAGUAUUAGACCAUAAUCUCUCCAAAACCCAAUAAACUAAUUUGGAAAUAUAUGGAACAGCAGUCAAUGACACAACAAAACUACAAACCACAAGAGAGGGCAUUAUGGCUAAUUAACCACUAAUUCUUUUAUUAAUUAGACUUAGAAUUCUCGAUUUGAUGUCUUGAUGGAUGUUCUUGAUCGUUCUUGAACUGAGUAAAUGACAAAAUAUUGAAGCUUGGAGGAAAUGCAGAAAGGGUGAAGAAGGAUUUGGCAAUAAUAAGUCAAACUAUCUUUAUAUUUUAUAUUUUAUAUUUUACUCUUGUAGCUGUUGUCUUUUCAUGCUUUAAAUGCACUAGUAUUUGAUAAUGCUGUGAUUGCGAUUGUGUGAAUUCUAAAUCAUCACACACAACUUUCUCAAACUUGUGUCCCAAAACCCAAGACACAUGAUUAGAGAGCAACCCCUCAAACCUCAGAGUCCAUGACCCAUCAACAUCUUACACUGAAAAUUAGAGCUUCUGAGGAACCCUGCAUCUGUGGUUAAUAUCUCCUUUUGCUAAAAAUAGUCUGUAGCCUGUGAUGUUGCUGCAUCAAUUGUUUCUUGCCUCAUGGAGAAAAGAUAACAUAAAAACACUUUCACUAUAUAGGUUUUGCCAACUAGCACCCCAAGCUGACAAGGAAUGAUGCUUACCACUUUCAAAAACUUCACUCAUUAACAUCUAGAGUUUUAUUGGUAAGAAACUUGUAAUUUAAGUAGUUAAGAGCAUUUAACUUUGCACUCAAAAUCUUAAAUUCGAUUUAUUAUUGCUUGCUUGGGUUGGCAAAAAAUAAAAAUAAAGCUGGUGGAAAUAAAUGGUCAUGUAAAUCAUCAUAGCUGCAUGUAACAUGACCAUUAGCAUCAAACGGAUCUGAUAGUAAAAGUGUGAACUAUUCAUAGUCCGCGGUCAAAGUGCGUUGCACCAAGGUUGAAAUGGUCAAAGUAUAUUGCACCAAGGUUCAAAUGAGCAGAUGGAGUAGACAGUAUUUUCAGUCUUUUUACCCUUCUUUUGAAUGGAUCAGAGAAAUAAUGAUUAACAGCAUAAUCCUUGUCUAUAGUCUAGUACGAGAACUAGUUGUCUUGUUUUGCCUCUUUCUUCUGUAGGCAUCUUAAAUAGUGCAACAUAUUGUACAUAAGCAUAAUUUGAAUGAUUCCAAAUAUUAUCUUAUAUGAAGCUGCUUGGACUGUAAAUCUAGAUUGUAAGUACCAAUUUAAUUUUUCUUGCAGGUGGUUAUGGAACUCUGGAAGAGUUACUUGAAGUGAUAACAUGGGCUCAACUUGGAAUUCAUGAUAAACCGGUAAUUCAUUUUUAUGCAUUAUGAAUACAAUUUAUCGUAUUUCUCUUAUAUAUAUAUAUAUAUAUAAAAUUCCAUGUUGAUGGUAAACACGUGAACUUUUAGGCUUAAACCAUUUUCUUUUUCUUUUUUGUCUAUAGGUGGGAUUGCUGAAUGUUGAUGGAUACUACAACUCCUUGCUAUCAUUUAUCGAUAAAGCUGUGGAAGAGGGAUUUAUUAGCCCCAGUGCACGCCACAUAAUUAUAUCAGCACCAACAGCAAGGGAGUUGGUGAAGAAAUUGGAGGUAAUUAUCUAAAGCAUUGUUUAAUGAUUUGUUGUAAUUUAGUCAAAUACAUAAUUAGUGCAUUCAACCUCAACCUUUGUUCAUUGAUAACUAAUUUGUUGGUUGAAAACUUCUUUUGAUGUUUAGUUGAUUUUGCUGAUGUAGGAUUAUGUCCCAUGUCAUGAAAGAGUUGCUUCAAAGUUGAAUUGGGAGAUGGAGCAGCUUGGCUACACACAAGAAUAUGAUAUCUCUAGGUGAUCAUGGGAUUGCAGCAUUCAGACACACUAAGCUUGUUGGAAUUUUGGAAGUUGAAGAAGCUAAUUUGUAGAACUCUAAAUUUCUGAUAUGGGGAUUUUUAUUUUUUUUUCCUUUUCUUUUUUAUUCCUUGUGUAAAUUAUUGCAAUUGACCCCACUAUGUGAAGUUUCAAUAUUCCCUUUUGUGGAAAUUUCCUUCCCCUUCUUAAUUUGUAAGUAAGUAACGAAGCACUAGAGGCUUGUGAACCUUCCCCUUGUAUUAACUAAUUUAUACUUUUAUUUUUUUCCUUUUGUAGCCAAACCAAAUAUGUGUCUCUGGCCACAUGCUUUGUUUUUACUUUCUUGUGUUUUAUCACAUUUAUUGGGUCACUGAAAAGGAAGCUUGAAAAUGUCAAAACUCAGUGAUAAGAACAUUUGUCGGCAUAGUAGUGAUCUCAUGUUCCAACCCAAUGACACUUCCCAUCCCCCUCUCAAACAAGGCAAGCUUGACAAUGGAGUCCAUUGACAUGUGCUUGCAAACACAGAACCAAAUGGUCCCAUUAGAACAAGAUAAGUGUCGUUAACCAGGAAAGCAAGAAGAGAGGGGUGGGGGGGGGGGGGGGGCAAGUUUUGUUGCAGACACAUAUAAAGCCCAUCUUUUCAAGUAAUGCUUUUCUGUUAAGGUUAGGCGCUAUCAGCUAUGGCCAACAAACCAAAGGUGUUUUGAGUCAAGUAAUGGUUGAUGGGAAGAGGAGAGGGGGCCAAUCUUGAGAAAAGAGGGAGUGCCCUUUGCUGCCCGACAAAUGGGACAAUGACAUGUGACGUAUGGCCUGUGGAGGGCCACAUGUUAUGAACAUGGAAAAGUAAAAGGCCAAAGCCUUUGGGGCAUUUAGGACCCAGUUUUUCUUCUAAAGGGCCUGUGGCUGAUUCCACUAACCGUGUACAAUUUGGAAGUGCUUUCAUGAGUCAAUUUUUGAAGGGUUUUUUUGAGGUUGAGAUUGGUUUCAAACUUAACGCAAUGUGAAAGCUAUAAAGAAAAAUUUAAUCAAAAUGAUGUUGAAACAUUGGAGAUAAGAAGACGAAAUCCUGGCUGUCCUAUCUGUUGUUGAUUAAAACCCUUAUGAUUUGUUUUGUUAAAACGUCCAAAAUAUUAUUGAAAAAGAGGGAAAUAAGUGUUCACUCUCUCAGAAAGUUUCUCUGAGCAAGUUAGGUCGACAUGUACGGGAAAUCUCAAGGAAAUUCCAUCUAUGACACCAAUUCUUGACUAAAGCAUCAUAAGAUUCGAUUUCUAAAGGUGUGGCAAAGUAUAUAGGUGCAAAUCGUGUCAUGCUGUGGGACAUGCCAUGUGUGCCGAGUUGUCUUGACACGGUACGUCUAAUUUAUUAUGUUCCUAUAUGCCGAACUCAAUUUUAGCAGCAAAAAUAUCAACUAGCUAUUGGUUUAGUAAUUGUUAGGAUUAACCUAAAAGAAUCAAGCCUGGAAUCCACUAGAUAUAAGAAAACCUCUUGUUUAUUGAAUUCAGAAUGAUAACAUAAUACCUUAGUCAUGAACUAUAGUUUGUUUAAAUACUCCUAGAAACCCUAAGAAACAAAAAGGGAAUUAAAAGAGAAAUUAACAAAAGUUUCUAAAAAUUGCAAAAUAUUAAAAGGCCCAUUUGGGCCGCUGAAUGAUCUCGAAUGCCCAAAAAUGCUCAUCAUUAUGGCAAAACGAUGAGUUUUACUCGUUGUGCCAUUCUCUUCGAAACGGCGGAUCAUGGUCCCAAAUCGGAACUUGGGGCCCAUACUUGCAACUUGCCAAUUUUGCAUUUGUGGGCGUGACGUUCCAACUCUUCUUCUAUUGCCUCAGCCAUUUAUUCUAUAUCAGUUAUCUUCUCAACAUUAAAAGACAUCCCAAUUCGAAUAUCCCCUCCUAGAUUAUUACCAAAAAACAAAAACAAAAACAAAAACAAAACAAAAAACAAAAAACAAAAACCUACCACAACAAAAAUGUAUACUGCAAAUGAAAAGGACAACUCAGUCCCACCAAUUCCAGUGUUCUGAGUUUACUUUUAAUAUUCAGGGACAGUUUCUGUUGAUUCUUUGAGAACAAACACUUUUAUCAUCACUGGCAUUUUUAGUUAAGGUGGGAAUAAGAGCUCAAGGUGUAAAUAAAUUGAAUUAAAGCCUAUCUUCUAGACAAUACAUCACUUAAUCCAGUUGACACACAUGCAAAAGAAUUAGCAACUGUGAAUCCAAGAAUUAAUUUAACCUAAAUACAAAGAUUUUGAGGCUUUGAAGUUGAAUGAGCCACUUCACUAGCUGUUGUCAUGAUUUUGUUGCCCAUUGCAACAUGGUGCUGGUGCUGGUGCCAUCCUAUCAGAGGGCUUUGAUUCUUUUGGACUACAAGGCUCCCAUUUUUUUCUAAAACCUAGCCUUUUGGGAAGGAUGCUCCAACUUCUCUUGGUCUUCACCAGCUUCUGCAGCUCCAUUUUCAUGUUUGAACACUCCUUUUGAAGCUCUAAAACACGUUCCCUCAUGUCAUGAUGAUCAACACCUACGGCCCGGUCAUGUGCAGGUUCCACUUGACCAGAGACAUCAUUUUUGGUAGGGAGGCCAAGGUUUGCACUGGGGUUCUGUGAGUUCUCAAGAUUGUCAACAAAAAACCAUCCAGAAAUCGAUGUACGGAGUCGAAGCUGUUCGAAGAAGAGGACUUGAACAAUUACUCGAAGAGGUAACCUCUCAUUCUGAGCUGCAUGGGUGCUAGCUUCCAGUGAGAGCUUCUGGCAGUUCAUGAGUCGGCAGAGUUGCUCCCUUUCAGAAUCUGUAAGCCAAGGAUGUGCCUAAAGUUGUGAAAUAUGCAAUGUUAUUAGCAUGCAUGUUUUAGUAACACAUUAUUAGUAGUGUCUUAGUUUAAAAUUGGGCAUAUUAGGACCCAAAAAAUUGUAAAAUUUUAGAGUGCAAUGCUAUUGACAGAAUGCUAGUCUAAGUAUCUGUCAAAGUUCAGCAACAAAGAAUCCAUUCACAUUAAGAAAGGUUAAACUAAAUAUCAUUAUAUCAUGAAUAUAAUAAGUUCAUAAGCCAUGCACUUAAGUUUGCUUUACCUUCAAGAAAACAUCAAUUGCAUGAUAUAUGCCAUCAUCCAGUGGCCUGGCAUAUUCAGGGAUGACAGCAGCAAGUGCCUGAAAUUUUGGUAACUUCAAAUUGACAUCUGGCGCUACCUCAGCAAGAUAUCCAUCCACCAGAUUGGCUACCAUAGUACUAGGUGUCAGUGGAUCGGUGCCACUCAUCAAUUGUCCCUCCUCAAUUAUGCACGGGGAAGUUGAUGCAAGUGAAGCCUGGUUUAUUGAGAUGAAAUGAUCAAGAAUCCUCUGAAUGCAGUCUAUGUCAUAAAGAGUCUCCACUGAAUAACCCAUAUUUGGUAUGAGAAGAUCUACGAGCACAGCUUGGUCCAACUGAGCACCUACCCUUUUCUCCAAAUUUUCUCUACAUGAUGGACUUGCAUGCAAGAUCAUAGCAGUUCGUAGCAGCCUAAGCAGAAACUUUGAGGAUGUGACUCCUUUCUGAUGAGGAAGUAACCCCACAAUUUCUUCAAGUAGAGCCCUCUGGUCUGCCUCAGAAAUGUUAGAAAUGGUUGUGCCUGAGUUUACAUAAUUUGUGUCGUUAAAGCUCGAUUGCCUAUUCAUUAAGGGGAGAUACUUUCUAGCGUAGAAUAUGAGAGAAGCAGCAAUACUCUCAGGCCUCAUUCCUUUCGAUUCAACUGCUUGAAUCAAUCGUUUAUAGAGAGAUAAGCUAAGUAAGGAUGCAUCUUCAUACCACCAAUCAUCAGAGGGAGGUUGUGGCUUAGCGUCAUCAGAAACUAUUCCAUUCCAUAAGACAGUGGCUGUUGGGUUCUUCAUGUCGUCAUUUCCUCCUACUAUAGGCCAACUGAAUAACUUUGGGUCUGCACAAGCUUUCAUGGCCAAGGAAUCAAUGCAUCUUGAAGCAAUGUGGAGAUCUUCAGCAUAUCGUUGAACUUCUUCACAUGUUUCGAGAGCUACUAUGGAGUCUCUCCAAUUGCUGAAGACUUCAGAAAGAAAAACCUCUGCUUGUGCAAUGAGAUUUCCUUGUUCAUAAUCUUCACUCAUUUGGAGGUAUUCUGCUGCACAUCUAAGGAUGACUACAUUCAAAGCAGUCAGUUCUAUUUUAACACCAUAGCAAAAUUUGGUCACAAGCUCAAAUGCUUUAGCGCCCCCGGGAAUGCCAUGAAGUUGCAAGGAACAAGCAGAUCCUUCCUCACCAGAACACUCUUCAAUAAGCCUCUCUAAUAGUCCACUUUUAGAAAGCAAGGGAAACUACAGCAAUAACGAAAAAGGGGACAAGAAAAUGAGAGCAUAGCUUGAAUGCCAAUAAGAGUUUAAUCAAUAAGCAAAUUAGGAAAAGUGUACAUAGAGCACUCCGAAAUCGAAAGCAAAGAUGAAAUUGAAAACAAUAUAUUCUCAGCCCGCACACACUUACACAUGCAAACAAUAUAAUCUAUUUCAAGAUUCAAACAAAAUGCACCAUGUGGAGGUUAAAUUGAAAACAAAUAUGCCCCUAUUCUCAGAAAACACGCACACAUGCAUACAAUACAAUGUAUUUCAACUGUCAAGACAUAUCAAACAAAAAUGCACCUUGUGGAGGUGGAAAGACAUUUCCCCAACUUGAAUUAUAACAUCGCUUGGAAGCCCAGUUGUGCAAAGCCUGAAAGAAAAACACAAAUCGGAUCCAUAUAAGUAAAAGCUAAAAUCUUCUAAUAUAGCAUCAAAAGAUUGCAGAAAACCUCAUAUUCGCUUUAGCACAAACCCCUAGCUAAUUUCUGUUGUCAACCUUGUAGCCUAGGCAGGACAUCAUGGUUGUUUAAGCAUUUUGUAGCAAUGGGGCUAAGCUAUCCCUUAUCAGACAUAUAUAUAAACAAAGGGCCCUGCUUUCUUGCUGCUUCUACAUUACUGAAAUACUAAAACCAACAGAGUAAAGACUGAGACCACAUUGCUUUUAAUCGAUUUCAUUAAGUAAAUUAACAAACACCAUGUGGGCUAUCUCUAGCUCAUCAGUUGCAUCUAUUUUGUUUGUUGAUCAAAGUAUCAAGGCCUUACCAAGUUUGGCCUUCCCGAUGAAAAGCUUCAGACUUAGCUCCCAGCUUCAUGCAAGCCAUCUCUUGAGGUGCUGGUCUUCUCAAAUGGGCAAACUUAGAACCAUGAAAUUAAGUGAAGCAAGAGAGAGAUGCAAAUAGCAUAAAGACUUGGGUGAAAAUGUGAAUGAGAGUGAAUGUGGCAUACUUAUCAUUUUGGCUAAUAUUUUCAGAGUGCAGAGAGAGAGAGAGAGAGAGAGAAGUAGCGAGUCUAAAGCAAGAAGUGAAGGAGAGAAGGAAGCGGUUCAACCGUUACAGUGGCUGUUGCGCUUUUCUUUCAUGUCUUAUUGCAUUGUCCUUCAUUUUCACUUGGGUUUUCGACACUUCUACCAGGGCUCAGAAAGCCCAUAUAACAUAUACAAGGGAAAUGUUGUAAUAUUUUUCUGGCCAUAAUAACAUUAGGUAUUUCCAUUUUAGAAGAUGAGUGACAUAUAUAUGUUAAUGAUAUGAAUGCAAGGGUGCAAUUUGGAUGGGGUCGACUUGACCUGACUUUUGAGCACGUAUAUAUAGAAAAAGUAUGAGUUGGGCUUGGAUGGAAAAAUUUCCAACUCGAUUUAUCCCUAUAAUCGGAGUUCUUAGGAUCCCUUUGAGAAUACUUUUAUUAGAAGUAUGUCCAAAUUUUUAUUCAACAGCUUUUUGGAAAACAAAUUGAAGAAGCAUAUGCAUCUAGUUAUAAUUUAUGAACACUUUUAAAUUUUAUUAUCAAACGAUGUUAUAAACGCUUUUAAUUAUUUGAAAGCGUUUUUAACAUUUCUAAAAAUAUCACAAACAUACUCUUAUCAUAAAGGGUAGUCAAAGCCUUCCCACACUCAUAACAAGGAUUCGACUCUCAUUCGCCUCUCCCACUCCCAUUUAUAAAGACCGUAUAAAAUUAAAUUACAAACAAAGAUAAGUUAAAGAGACCUAUAAAGUUAGCCGGAUAAAGUUUAAUAUAUCUCAUAUUAGCAAGAGCAUCUGCAAGAAAAUUAGGUUAUUCAAUGUUUGGUUUACAUAAAUAUGUUUUUGGGCAAUGACAAUUUUCCGGAACAAGGUUACAGUGUUCACGUGGGGACUUGGUUUCCUCUCAAUUGUUAGAUGAUGAAACUGAAAUGCACCUAAGCUAGGUCUAGUGUAGGUGGUAAAUUGGUAAUUGAAGAACAAGACCAAAGUUGCUAGAAAAGAUACAAAGGAAGACGGAUUUGAUUUGAGCCUGGGAUGUGUUGGUAUAUUGGGGUUGGGGACCCAGACCUCACCCCACUAAUUCAAAAAAUUAAUUAUUUUAUUUAUUUAUUUGUUUGUUUUCAUGGACCAUGGUGUUACUAUAGCCCAUUGUUUUCAAAUUUAAUCAACUUGAAAAAAGUGGCAGUUCUUGAUGAUUAAUCAAAAUUAGAAAUCAAAUCAAGUAACAUUAAUCAAGUGGUGGCGCCGGCAUCGGCAGCCCAGGCGGCUCGGCAUCCGCCUCGGCCAACCUGUUCAACACGUGGGUGAAUUUAAUGUUGUCCCCAACCCGACCCUGCUAUCCAUAACUAUAUAUUAUUCUAUUCCAAUAUAUUUGUACUGCACUCUGCAUGGGUCUAUUUACUUCGAGCCUUCAAUCAAUAAUAUCAUAAAAAAUAAUUUAAAAUAAAAUAAAAUUUCCCACUGUUUGUAAUUGACUCAUAAUAAUCAAAUUAUUUUAUCUAACAUUAAAUGUCAAGAAAAAAAGAAUUUGCAAGUCAUGCGUAAUGCACGUGAUUAAAAAAAGACAACACAUUUAAAAUAAAAAUACAAUUAUAAAAAAGAAAAAUUGUAAGUCAAGCGUAGUGCUGGUAAUCGAAAAAAGGGUAGUGUACGACUAUAUUAAUUUUCCCGCUAAUACAAUUUAGAUAGUUGACCCAUUAUUAUUAUUUACAAAUUUUACAUUAAUUAGUUGUUAUACAAUGUAGUAUCCACAUCUCUCUAUACCAGAAGAAGCCUUAAACACUAACAAAUAUAAUAGCAACCUUCAAUAUGAUAUAAUUGAAUUAAUUUGCCAAAUGUUUAAGAACAAUGAUCUUUUAGUACAACUGACACAUACUCCACUUCAAAGAUCGAUGAAAUUUCAAUUUUAACCAAAAUCAUAUGUUAUUAUCACCCACAUUAAUUGUUACAUCAUGUGAUUUGUUUACGCGAUUAAUUAGCGCAGUCCCCAAUUUCACUUCUUGUAGUAGUUUCCAGCCUUGGGUUAAUCUCGACGUGGACCAACCUUCACGUAGGGUUUGUGCAUGGGUUAUCUUUUUUACUUCUACUUUCAGUUUUUACAUAAUUCCCUUCUCUGGUUUCUUGGCUUUGGCAUUGGCAUUGUGCAAGGGUUGGUCCAUAUCAAAGGACGGGUGGGGAUCGCAGCACAGUAAAAAAUUUAUAAAACAACAAACGCGUGGGCCCAACCAACGUAGCCGCCCGAUCUAUCUUCCUCUUCCGUGCGAUCUAUCUUCCUCUUCCGUGAUGGAACCAAAAACGACGUCACAUUGACGAUAACCAUUUUGACACGUGUUAGAUUCUUCUGGCAGACACCCAUGAAACAUAGCGGGUCAACGUCCGGGCAUUUGCCUGUUCUUGUUGUCUUGUAGCUGUCAAGUUAGCGUGUUCCAGUGGCAAAUCUCACUUCCUCCUCGCCUCGCCUCUCCUCAGCGUCCGGUGAAUCCCGUCCUCGGUGUCAGUGACGGGCCAAUCAUUAUUCGCCACGUACGUUGGAAUUAGGGUUAAGAGUGGACCCCAUAACGACACACUAAUUAAAUUGCAUGUCGAUGAUGGUGGUGUCACUAAAAUGUAUGUCUAAAUGUCUCCAUAAUGUAAAUUUACCCUCAUAAAUGUAAUAUACUUGAUAUUAAAGCAUUCACAAUCACGUUUUUUUUUUAUAGUUAAAUUUUAGUUAAAAAUAUAUAAAAGUUAUUUUAGGGAGUCAUAAAUACUAUAAUAUUUUUUCAAUUGGUCUAUCUCUAGUGAAAAAAUAAUAUAAAAAAUAGUUAGCAUUAAUGAAAGGUUUGAAAUACUCACUAAAUAAAGCAGCAUUAAAUUAUAGGGAGUCACUAUGAGUUAUUUUUCUCUCAUCAGAUUUAAGAACUCUUAAAGGUCUCCUUAUUUUAGGAGGUGGAUAUGGAGCAUGAUUGAAGUUGUAUUUUUCCAAUGUCUCCUUAAAAUUUGUCUAAGGAGGUGGUUUAUGAAGCCUAUUGUAAAUGCUCUAAGAGUCAGGGAAGAGCCACAUGUAGGCCUGCCAUGACCAGGGCCCCCCAAACUCCAUGAAAACCCAAUUCUUUCUUAUGCAUCAACUACAAUAUUAGUUAAAAUAUAGCUCUAUAUAAUCUUGCAUUUNNNNNNNNNNNNNNNNNNNNNNNNNNNNNNNNNNNNNNNNNNNNNNNNNNNNNNNNNNNNNNNNNNNNNNNNNNNNNNNNNNNNNNNNNNNNNNNNNNNNCCCCCCCCCCCCCCCCCCCCCCCCAGAUUAGCUUCUAGCUCCGCCACUGCUAAGAGUCUCCUUAUUUUAGUUAAAAUUUAGCUAAAAACACUAUAAAGUUAUUUUAGGAGCUCCUUAUAAAAUUUCAACUCCAACCAUACUCUUUAGUUUAGGGAAUUAUAAAUUAUUUAUUUUCUUUUUUAGUUUAGCAUAAAUGCUCCCUCUUCAUAUAAAAUAGUUAGCAUUAAAGUAAAGCAAAAAUUAUUUAUAGGGAGCCACUAGGAGUCCUUUCUCUCUCCUCAGAUUUAGAAGCUCCUAGAGGUCUCUUUUAUUUUAGGAGUUUCAUUGGGAGCAUGGUUGGAGGUGAGUUUUCUCACUUCCUUCCUUUUAUCAAAGGAGGUAGUUUAUGGAGUACAUUGUGGAUGCUCUAAACGUAUAAUUAUAAUAUGUUAAUAUGCAAAUAACUUUUUUAUUUUAUGUUUUGAUGUCAUAUAUAAAAAUAAUGUUACCACGUUGAAAAAAAAAAAAAGAAGAAGAGAUAACAUUUCGGCAUUAAAUUUAUAAUUAUAAUUUCAAAUUCUACUACAAAUUAUAAUAAAAUUGGGUGUGAUAUGAUUAUUUUAUUUUCAUGACCCAGGUAAAACCAGUCAACCAAUGCAAACAUAAAAUAUAAUUUUUUAAAUAAAAAUUUAUGAUAUGUCAAAAUCAUAAAGACGACUAAAUUAGAUUAAAUUAGUUGGUUUUAAGCGGAGUUGAUUGGAUUUUCAGCACUUCCAUCAUACCUGAAAGCAUUUUCUUCCAUUUUUAAGCACGUAUUUACAUGCUUUUCCAACAACAACAUAAGUAUAUGUAUUUGUCAACGAGGGUUGGUUGAGUUGAUAAGGAUCGUUAUAUUCGCUAUCCAUGCCCAAAAUUUGAGUCCCACCACCGCUGCUAACAAUCCCUCUUAAAGACUUGAACUUGUAUUGUCAUGUGGCAUAAGGGGCAUGCAAGAAUUAUGAGACAAUUAAAGGCAACAACCACCAAAGAAGAAGAAAAUAAGAUGCUAUGAGUAAUAAUAAAGAAAGAAUCAAUAUCUUAGAACAAAUGAACAAAUCAUUUGCAUUUUGCGGUGCCUGUGUUAUGCUGGUGGGUUAGAUGGGUAUGGGUUUAAAUGUUUUUUGCUUGGUCCGUGCGGAGCAUUGAGAAAUUGAGGGACAAAAACCCACCUAAAUUUGAUGUCUGAGAUUAAAAAAUAUAUAUAUAUGGUUGCUAGCUAGGGUUACAAAUUUGAGUAAAUGAAUGUGGGUGAGAAUGGAGAGGCCCAGUGAGCUGUGGUUUUGGUAUUGGUUUUGUUUUGGUGCCCCCAACCACUUUCUUUUUUCAGUUGUCUAAUUGGUUAAUUAAAUUGGUAGGUCCCGAAAAGAUGCAGGAGCUCAUGUGUUUUUGGUUAGGAGGUCUCUAUCUACGGAGUUUGCAACAUUUCUCACGGUGUGGCCCUAGUUUAUAACAUAAUGAUCACCUAGAGGAAAGUAGAAAAUGCAAACAUUAUGUAAUGGGAAUUGUACGCCUUGUCAUAAUCGGGUCGGCUUGGAGGUUGUGAAUCAAAGGGACUGCUCCCACUGGAUAUAUGACCACUCAGUGGUAACGAGACCAGAUAGUUAAGUUGAUAUAACUCAUAGUUUCAUAUAAACCAGAAUCCAUUUGGAUGCAACAAUGAUCGGUUAUUCAAUAGAAUAGUAUGUCUUCGUAUAAUAUACAGUUCUUUGUGCAUCAUCGUCGGGUUCUUGUUAAAAGACGGGUUUUGUUAUCGAUAAUGAUAUCAACAUAAUAUCCUAUCAUGUCAACAAUUCGUCCUUUAAUAAAGAGUGGAUGUCUUGUUCAUAGAACGUACAAUAUCUCUUAGAUUCAUAAUAUUGGAUUUCCCAAAGUAGAAAAGCCCUUUUAUUUAUGAAGCUUUAUAUAGUCAGAAAUUAGAUUACGUAGGCCUGAAUUACUUUGAAUGUACUAUUUAUGGUGUCUUCAAAAGAGUGAGGACUUGGGAUAGUAAAAAAGUACAAUUGGGCACGUCUAUGAGUUUGAUUGUACUUACAAAUGACUAAAAAUAGUGUUCAUUGUACACUAAAGCUAUGAAUUCAUUCAAUCCUCCAUACAAAUGACUAAAAAUAGUGUUAUUGUACAUAAAACAUUAAUAUUGUAGUGAAAGAUGAAUUUAAUUUGUAUAAACUAAAUUGUUGACUUAGGUAAAAUUACUUGGGUUGGUGUUCAUUGAACACCCCAUCUUUCAAUAUGACCCCUAAAAAAUCAUAACAUAAAGAGUUCAAACAUUUAGAAUCCUCAUUAAGACGGAUUUAAGUCCCCAUUUAGAUUAAAGUUUCAAAUUUAGCAAUGUUUAGGAUCACUAACACUUGGGUCCCUAAUAUAACCAAAAACAAAAGGUCAUUGUUAUAAAAUAAAAAAAUAAAUAGGGGUAAUGUUAAUUCUCCGGCUUUGCAAUUGAGAGAUGAUAAGCUACUUAAUAGUCUAAAGAUCAAACCUUUAUGCAUAAAGAUGUACACUUAAUUCUUUAGGACUCAAAAUUAUUUUUUUUAUAGUGUACUUGUUUUAAUCAUUAUCCUCAAAAUAAUACUAUCGCGAUUUGUAUUUUUAAUAUAUAGAUAUAUAUAUAUAUAUAUAAUAUAAGUAAGGAAAACCUUAGGUCAUUGACUAGUAGAGUUUAGUCGUUAACCGCGGUUAGGAGUUAACGACUAGCUUGCCUUGAUUUUAGAGCAAAACUGAAAAGCGAACACUCAACCCCACUCGGGCGACUUUCAAUUUCUCGCGGGACACGGAAAUCAAUGAUACUACUUUGAAACUUUGAAGCUUCAUCUUAUAAUCUAAUAUAAAUAAGACCCUGUUUGAUUGCUCAGAAUAGAAUUAAAUAAAUAAUAAUUUAUUGGUGCGAAUAGAAUAAGAGGAAAUUAAAAAAGUAUAGCUUCCUUAAACAUCUUUGUUGUUUUGCUGGCUUCUCAAGAUACACUUUCUUCAGAUCCGAAGAAAAAGCUAAGAAAUCAAAAUUCAUAUUAAAAAUUAAAUUUCCUAAAUAAAUAAAAUAUUACUAACUAAUUGUUGACUUGCUAGUAUAAAUGCUUUGUAUUGCUAGAUUAUUCUUAAAUCCCAUUGCAUUAAUAUGAAAAAUUUGUGUCGAUAAAUAUGUGAUAUGUCUUGUGUUUAUAACAUGUGAGUAUUCAUUAAGACUCAAUUUAUUCUACUCCAGGCCAACUACAUUUAAAGUAUUGUCUUGAACAAGUAAUUUUUCUCUGAUACCCCAAUCUAAUCGUGUUAUUACACGUGAAUAUUCAUCAACACAAAAACGUAUUGUCGUCUACCUAUAUUAUAACAUUAUAAUAGAAUAUUUAUUCCCCAAGACACAUCCACUAAUAUUUCAUUAAAAUUUAAUAUGCAAAAUAAUUUUUAUUGAAAUACUAAUCGUGGUAAUGCGUUUGACACAAACAGUGACACUGACUACCACUGCCCGCUUUGAUAUUUGCAGUAAAAAUUGAAACUCUCUCUCUCUCUCUCUCUCUCUCUCUCUCUCUCUCUCUCUCUAUAUAUAUAUAUAUAUAUAUGAAUGUAUUUAUUUUAAUUUUGGUGUUAUUUGCUGAGUGUGCUUUUGGACUCUUGCAUGAUCCAAAAGGUGCUCUGCUCUCUGUGUCUAUGGCUUUUUAUCUUCUUCUGUGUUGGCCAAACAGUCGUUGAUGAUUGAAGUCCUUGAAGCGAAGAAGACAACGAAGAUUCUGAGAGAUAUUCAACCCCGACGACUCUUCUUUUUUUUUUUUUUCUUCCGUCGGAGAUUUUUCUGCUGUGAAUUCGCCGGAGACUUUGGAGGAGCUGCAAGCUCUCGUUUUCCAAUUACGUGGAUAGCAGAGAUUGAUUUUCUCGCCGUAGAUCUCGAGUUUUGUUCAAAGUAAGACGUAGAGAUUGAGGCUUGAGGGCUCGGUGGAUUGGAAUUUCGAACAGAGCAGAGUGUUUGUUCAGUUUUUGAGUCUCAGUUUUUUUUUUCCUUUUUUUUUGUGAUAAAAAAGUUGGUGGCUUUGGAGUGGUUCAGUAAAGGGUUUGGAGAUUGUGAAUUCAGUCUUCUGUUAAAGUUGGGUGGGAGACGAAGCAGCUUGGAAUUCUGUGUAUUUCUUAGGGUUGGCGUGGCAGGGCAAUUGACCCUCUGAAUUGGGAAAACAAAACAUGGAUUUGAACUUUCAAGUUCAAGUUUGGUUGUUGGGAAAAUUAGAUACUGCUGGGGGGUUGUGAAGAUUUUCUAGUGAAAACGUGGCGAGGAGCUUUCUUUUUCGGCUCUGCUUCUGAUUCAUGUAUGCUUUUAUAAGGUAAGAAAUUUAUGAAAUGCACUUCAUUAAUUGGAUUGGUUGUUUUUUGUUUUUUUCUAGGGUUUGAUUGAAUUCUGUGAGUAAUUUGCCUAAUUUGGGUUGGUUGAUGUGGUUUGCAGCAUUUACUGAGAGGCAAGAAGAAGAGGGAUUUUUGCAAUUUUUUUUUCUUCUUCUUUUAAAGAGAAUUGAUAUGAUUACGUUUAUGGAUUCAAAAGAGAAAUUGAAGGAGGGGGAGAAGUGCUUAGAUCCUCAGCUAUGGCAUGCCUGUGCUGGAGGCAUGGUUCAAAUGCCUCCAGUGAAUGCCAAGGUCUUCUACUUCCCUCAGGGCCAUGCUGAGCAUGCCUGUGGACCUGUUGAUUUCAGGAACUUCCCGAGGGUUCCUCCAUACAUCUUCUGCAGGGUCUCUGCUAUUAAGUUCAUGGCUGAUCCUGAGACUGAUGAGGUUUAUGCAAAAAUUAGGUUGGUUCCUUUGAGUGCUAGUGAGGCUGGUUAUGAGGAUGAUGGAAUUGGAGGGCUUAAUGGGUCUGAAACGCCGGAUAAACCCGCCUCAUUUGCGAAAACGCUGACGCAAUCCGAUGCAAACAAUGGCGGCGGCUUCUCUGUCCCGAGAUAUUGUGCAGAAACCAUCUUCCCGCGAUUGGAUUACUCCGCAGAUCCCCCUGUUCAGACAAUCCUGGCUAAGGAUGUUCAUGGUGAAACUUGGAAGUUUAGGCACAUUUACAGGGGGACCCCUAGGAGGCAUCUGUUGACCACAGGGUGGAGUACUUUUGUGAACCAUAAGAAGCUUGUUGCAGGGGAUUCAAUUGUGUUUUUGAGGGCAGAGAAUGGUGAUCUUUGUGUCGGAAUUCGUCGAGCAAAGAGGGGAAUUGGAGGUGGACCUGAGUCAUCUUCAGGGUGGAAUCCAACGGGUGGGAAUUGUACCAUGCCAUAUGGUGGAUACUCUGCGUUUUUGAGGGAGGAUGAGAACAAGCUAAUGAGAAAUGGCAAUGGGAAUGGCUCGAAUUCGAAUGGAAGUCUAAUGGGUAAGGGGAAAGUCGGGCCUGAAUCGGUUUUUGAAGCCGCAACACUUGCUUCAAAUGGACAGCCCUUUGAGGUUGUUUACUACCCUCGAGCAAGUACCCCCGAGUUCUGUGUGAAAGCCUCAUUGGUAAAAGCAGCAUUGCAGAUCCGGUGGUGUCCCGGAAUGAGAUUCAAGAUGGCUUUUGAAACUGAGGAUUCUUCCCGGAUAAGUUGGUUCAUGGGAACUAUAUCCUCUGUUCAGGUUGCUGAGCCUUUGCGCUGGCCAGAGUCACCUUGGAGGCUUCUCCAGGUACUACUCUCUCUCUCCCUCUCUCUGUCUGAUAACAGAAUGUGCUCUGUAAUUACGGUUCUCUAAGUUCUUGUGGUCAUUUUUAAUUUAGUUUUUUAUAAUCAAUCUCAUUUUCUUCCAUCUAAUGUAAUGAGCAAACAAACUCUUUUCCAUCGGAAUGGAGAAAACUGAUCCCCAGACUGCACCGUGGAACAUUGGCUCAUCAAUCGUCAUUUAAUGUCCAAUUUCGCUCUCUUUUCCUUACUCCUUUCAGUUCACUUUGCCUUAUGGCUCCUCUGUUAUAGUUUAAUCUGUUUUCCGACAAGUUUAUUAGCUUUUAGGUGCUUGUCCAUACCAAAUACCUAGUCUAAAUCAAGUGUUUUUUGCCCCUCCUCACAGAGUGCAUUUGACAUUCAACAUUAUGUUGUUCAAGUUUGAUGAACAAUUGCAUCUAGGAAGAGCCAUGAUUUUUAGCCAUUGAAUUCAAUUCCUUCGGUUCUCUGAAUUCAUAUGUUGCAGGUUACCUGGGAUGAACCUGAUUUACUUCAAAAUGUGAAGCGCGUUAGCCCAUGGUUGGUAGAAUUGGUAUCAAAUAUGCCCGCCAUCCAUCUGACACCCUUCUCACCACCAAGGAAGAAGAUGAGACUGCCUCAACACCCUGACUUCCCAUUUGAAGGCCAACUUCCUAUGCCGACAUUCUCCGGCAACCUCCUUGGACCCAGCAGCCCUUUUGGUUGUCUGCCCGACAAAACUCCUGCUGGCAUGCAGGGAGCCAGGCAUGGUCAUUAUGGUCUAUCCUUAUCAGAUAUGCACCUCAAUAAACUGCAGACAGGUCUAUUUCCGGCUGGUUUCACGCCUCUUGAUCAUGCUGCUACAGCAACUAAAUUCUCCAAUAACACAAUGACUCAAAAACCUACCAUGAGCGAGAAUGUUUCUUGUUUGUUGACGAUGGCACAUUCUACCCAGACUUCAAAGAAACCUGAUGAUGUAAAGCCACCGCAGCUCGUACUCUUUGGUCAACCAAUACUUACUGAGCAGCAGAUUUCUCUGAGCUGCUCUGGUGAUACAGUCUCACCAGUUCUUACUGGAAAUAGUUCAUCGGAUGGGAAUGCAGAGAAAACCGCUAAUCUUUCUGAUAAUUCUGGAUCUGCACUUCACCAACAAAGCCUACAAGAGCGCUCAUCUUGUGAAGGUUUCCAAUGGUAUAAGGAUACUCGGCAAGAAACUGAACCGAGUUUGGAAACUGGUCACUGUAAAGUCUUCAUGGAAUCAGAAGAUGUAGGUCGCACUCUUGACCUUUCAGUGUUUGGAUCUUACGAUGAACUGAAUAGGAAACUGGCCGACAUGUUUGGCAUAGAAAAUUCUGAGACGCUAAACCAUGUGCUCUAUCGAGAUGCUACUGGUGCAGUCAAACACAUCGGAGAUGAACCAUUCAGGUAUGAAUCAAUUCCCACUGAAUUGUGUAAUGGGUCUGUAGAAUGGAGGAUUUAAUCCUUGUACUUAUCAAAUGAAAGGUUUUCGAGGUAAUAUGUUGAUCAAUUUUUUGUUGAAGUUGCAGUGACUUCAUGAGAACAGCAAGGAGAUUGACGAUUCUAAUGGAUUCAGGCAGCAACAAUGUAGGAAUGUAAAGAAAGAAUAAAACCUUGAUUCAAUUGUACAGCUGGUUGAUAAAAUCCUUUGUUUCCAUGCUGACCAUUUACCCUUCCUGAAGUUCUGGGAGAAGCCGCCCUGAUUCAAUUUUUGAGCUUCCAAUCUAAAUCCUUCCGGCUUUGUAAUUUUUUUUUAAUCUUUGUCAAAGAAGGAAUGUUUACAUUUUUAGAACUUGAUAACAGUAUCAUAAUUUGAUCAGGUUUUUUUUCUUCUUCUUUUCUUUGAGGUUUCUCCCUUUUUUGUAAUUUUUUGGCAGCCAAAUCGUACAAGUAUAAGUAGUUUUGUAGGAGUUGGCAUAUGUACUUAAAACCCUUUUGAUAAUGGCUGAAGCCUUCUAAGAAGGCAGUUUUUUUUCAGUGGAACAUGCACAUUAGGCUCCCAUGAGUGAGUUUGGCUUAUUUGUUGUUUUCUAUAUGUAGUUAAAACACUCUCUCUCUCUCUUUUGGUUGAAGAAACAAAACUAAACAAUGACUCAAGGCCUACAUACUCCAAGUAAAUUUUCAUUAAAAAAAGACCUAAUAUUCCAAAUAGUUAGAACACUAUGAAGGAAGUAUUUCUUGCUAACGAUAACAGUUGUCAGAAAGACUACACUAAUUAAGUAUUCUUAAAAUCUGUUAUCUUCCCUAAUUGUGAAUCAAAAUUCAAGAUGCUGCCUCUUUUUCUUUGUGUGUUUUUGUUGCCUUCUUGCAUGAGUUUUUGACACUCUGUGCCAUUCAACCAAUGAGAAAAGGAUCCCAAACUUUCUUCUCAAACAACAAAAGGCACAAGGAUUAAAUUAGUUCCGUGCAUGACCAAGAAAAAAGAGUUGGUUAAAGGUCUAAUCAGUUUUCACCAUCAAAGUUUUCAAGAUAAGUUGACUUAAUCCUCCUCUUAAUCUCAUGGUUUGUUAAAGAGAAUCAGAUGUUUUACACGACAGCAGAUUUUCAGGGAUUUUAAUCAAGAACACCCAACAACUACUACAAGACUGCCACGCGGAUUUGAAGACAACCAUAGUUUUUGUUUCUCUCAGCUGAAAGUUGUAAACCAAACCGAAGCAUACAAGUAAAAUUAAUUAUUUAAUUAAUUGUCCCAAUCUUAACGCCACAAAGUGUGGGAUACUUACAGUAAUUAAUUAUUAAACCACCAACCAUUAUGUGAGUAAAAUAAAUAAAUAAAUAUUGUUUUUUUAAUUAUAAAUUAUUUAUGGGGAUUGUAAAACAAAAAAUUGUCAAAGACAAAGUCAAUAACUAAUACGUGGGGAAAAACAAAAGAAGCAGAAAGGAACAAACAAAAAACACAUUCUGUCUGUUUAACUUAAUCAGCCGCACGUGAGAACUCCGUGGGUCCCACGCGGCGUUCAUUUAAUUUAAUUUAUUAAUGGGGUUCACGUGUGGGCAACGUCAGCUCGGAAAAGGUGAGAGACUUUUUCGCUUGUGUUGCGCCGUUUCGUUGACCGCGCUGUUUUCCUUUGUUUUCACAAUUUUUGCUUUUCCCUUUUUACAUUUUUACUUCCUGAAUUAAUUAAUAGGUGAGAGACGAGACGGUAAUAUCACGUAGGUACGACAACUUCUUCACGUAACAUAUCGACAUAAAAUGAAGUUUUAUUCAAAUUGCAAUUUAAGUGAAUUUGUAUAAAAAAGUUUGUAGUGAGUUUGAGCUUUCACGAACUAACUACCAACCGUGGUCACCUAAAUCACCGACUUUUCGGGUCGGACCCCAUUGCAAAUAAUCCGGUAGGUGUUUUGUAAAGUUACUUCAAUUUGGAAAUGAUGAGAGUCACAUCAUGUGACUGACUGGGAUUAUCUUGUUUUCAAUAAUGUAGAAAUUGAAUUGAGUUAUUUUAUAUAUUAUGGAGACAAUCAUCAAACUCAGUCGUUUUCGUUUUAAUUAAUAGGGAGGACCAAAACACAGGUAAUUCCAGAUAGACAAGUCUUUGGUAGGCCCAACGCAACAUUACCUCUGUCUUCGAUAAGGUUGAAGGAAUCAAAUUUGGGAUCUAUCCAUCAUUUCACCUCAUCUCCUGUCAUAACUUGAAUUGAAAUUCACAAACUAAACACAUCACACUCACGGGUUGGGUAGCUAUAGGUUUUGGAAGCCAAGUUGGGCAACAAAUAUCUAAUCAAAUCUUAUUACAAAUGGCUUUUUAACGUGUUGAUUCGACUCGAGUUGGAUUUGAGUUGAAUUUCACUUUUUAAAAUGAGAAUUGUAAAGCACAAUAUAUUAGACUUUUAUCUAAUUUAAUAAUUUCAAUCUCAAUACGUAUUCAAUUUAAUUAAAAUAAUACAAUCUAAUCUGAGACACCAAGCUUAGCCAAAAUUUAGAAAAAUCACAAGGCAAGAGGUUACCUUACCUUGACCUCAUUGAACUCUUGCGAGUUGGCAUUUAAUUUGACACCCCAAUGGCCCAAAACAAAUAGUCAAAUAAACGGUGGUCAAAGCAGAAACAGAGAGAAAAAGGAGACAAAUACCUUUCCCAAGGCCAAAGCAUUGUUUGUUUUAUUUUUUCUGUGUUAACUCACUUAGUUUUCAGAACCCACUUUCCACCACCAUACAUGGCAUGGUUUCGACCUAGAAAAUUAAACAAAACACAUUCAUUUGUUUCAUAAGAUGAGAUGAGAUGAGAUGAGAUGGGAGACAAUCUCGUCCCUAGGGAUUACUUGACUUUAGAAUUACGUUAAGGAAGUGUCAGGUUUUGGUGCACAGAAAUAUGCACAAGGGAAGGAGGAAGAGAAGGCUUCACUUGGAAGUGGGUUUUCUUUUGAGAAUUGAGAGAUCCAAGGAACGGGAAAUAGGGUAUUGUUCAAGGGACAAAUACGUCAUCAACAUUCAAUGAGUAUUGGCUAAAACCUGUCUCCAUGUCCUUGCUCUCUCUCUUUAUAAUAUUCCACCUCCUCCCACCUCCCAUUAGGGUUUGUUGCCCCUUGCCACUACCACACCAUGUUCUUUUCUCAUAUGUCCCACUUCAAUUCCACUGCGGAAUGAAGGACAAUCACUCACACGCGUGCAAUAACUUUUAGUUAUAAAGCUGUAUUGACAACUACAUUAAGGGUUGAGAGUUGCCGAUACAUGCAUAAAUGAUUGUUACUCAUAAAAUUUUAAAGUUACUGAUUUUUCCUAUGAACUCCAUCCAUAUUCUUUUCUGUAUAAGUAAGGAUUGUAAGGAAUAGUAAACUCAACCAUUUCAAAUUUGGAAUCCCAAAAAAUGCAAUAGUAUUUAGGUUUGUUUGAUGUAUAUAGUUAAUAGUUCCUUUGUACGUACUUAGUACUUUUCUUAUGAAUUUAUUUAUGUAGUUUCAAAAUAUUUUUAGGAGAUUCAUUAUUAUACCCAAUGUAGAGGGCAAAUUUAUAAAAAAAAUCCUACAUAAAAUGGACUUUCGAAACACAUCCAAAGCCCAUUUACAACAUAACAAAGAGACUUCGAACUUCCUAAUAAAUUACAAACUGCCAUCGAUUUCGUAAAACAAAUCCAACCCCAAAACCUCAUAAAAAAUCCAAAACACUCAAUAGGUUAUCAAAGUAAUUUAAUAAUCAAAAUUAAAUUCAAUAUGGCCAACUAUUAAUUUGUUUAUAAAAAUUAAAUGGUGUAGGAUUUAUCUAUAUCACUAGUGCUAAGAAUAAGUAUAUAACUAAAUAUCUCAUCAAUUUUUUUUUUUUAUAAAUUAGGAAGCUUCUCAUGAGUGAAUAAUAUAAAUGAAAUGAAGUGGAAUUCACACCACGAUAACAAAGCAUCCCACAUUUAUACAUAUACAAGUAGAAAUAAGUAUUCAAGAUUCCACCAUUGACAAACAAAACUUGCUAUUGCUAGUGUUGUUUUCAUUCAAGAGAUCAAUCAAUUUGGGUUUGAAAUUCAUAGCAUCUAUUUGAUGUCUAUGAGUGGGGGCUACUGCAAGUUUCGUGUUGCCUCGUGAGAAAAACCCUACGCUUGCAACACAUUCUCAAUUAAAAAUGCACCAUGCGGGAAUUAUUUUUAAUUUGUUCCUUGCUUGCUUUGACAAAUUGUUAUCUUGCCCAUUUUUUUCUGUAUAUAUUUCUCAAUUAUUUCGACGCUUAUCUAAAGUUAUAUUUUUUUUAUAAUUAUUCGAAUUUUAGGAAAGACCGAGUUCAUUAUCGUCAUUGAUGUGAGAGAAAAGUGCUCUAUCAUUAUAAUUGAAUCCUUAUUAUAAAUGAAUUAUCUUUUCAAAACAUGGACAUGAGUGAAUAUUGGUAAGCCCAUUAUUUUUUGAAGAACCUAAGAAGAAGAAGAAAAAGAUUUAGAGGAUUUUCUAAUUUUAUCAUAAUCUAAAUUGUCUUGUCGCAGUUGAUUUUAGGCUUACCAUCUGAGUUAAAAUUUAAUUUACAGGAGAAGAAGCCAUCAGCAGGAGAGUAAAAAAUGAAUUGAAUAUGGAUGAUGGAGGCUUAUGGUACAAGUUAUGGGCCCGCCAACACCUGAAUUUUUUGUUGUCCUCCUCUCUCUCUCGUCCCCUCCCUUUGUCCCUCUGGAGUUUCUGGGGCGUUGUUUGUCUUGGUCAUGUCCGUGUCGUACUCUCUUACAAGUUAACGCCAAAGUCUCUUCCAAAAACGACAGAGAUUCGGAUGACGUGGCAUACUAACCACUCCCCCGUGCUGCUGUGGUCCCCACAAUCUCUGCCUACUAUGCCCUUCGUUGUGACAGCGACGUGUCGUCUAAAUUCGGCAUGCCAUGUUAUGUUAGAAAUUGGGAAUUGAGGCCCUUGAAUGUUUUGCCUUUGGGCUAAUAUUUGGAUUGAGCCCAAUUUCUAAAAAUUCCUAGAACCCAAACAAGAUUCAAAAUGUAUCCACACUGAAAAUAAUUUUAAAUUUUUUUUUAUAUAUAAUUAGAAAAUAUAUACACAUAUCAAUAAUUUUAUAUUCUUACUUUUUAUAAAUUCAGUCCAUUUUAAUAAUUGUUGCAAUAGGGCAGAAAAAUAAUUAUAAAUAAAAAAAUAUGUACAUAAAAAUCAAGUACAAAUACUAAUGCUUAAUAGUUCAAAUGGUUUAAAGGCCCAAACUAUGAGGAGCUGCCAACUCUUUUAAAGACCAUACAAGGAACACAAAGGCCUGCCAAAUUUGGUCUAAAGACUUUGAUAUGAUUUGGAUUUGGACGUGCAGCAUGAAGGGCAAGGCAACAAUAUAUGAGGAGAAAUUCUUAGGUGUACCCAAUACAGGUAAAGAAAACAAGUAUAGCUGGAUGGAGAUACUUUUUUUUUUUUUUAAAGAAAAAUUCUAGUGUAGUCGUGAGGCUCUACUGUUUUGUAAAAUAUGCGAGUAUAGUCGUGGCUAUACUAUUUAUAGAAAAAAAAAAAAAAAAAGGCCCCGCCUAGCGCUUAGGUGCCCACGUGUCAAAACCCGUAUAGCCCCACGGCUAUACUAUUAACGGCUAUACUGGUUUUUAAAAUAAAAAAUACCCGGGUAUAGCCGUGCGGCUAUACUAUUUAAUAUUUAAAAAGUGGGACCCACGUGUCAAAACCAGUAUAGCUGCGCAGCUAGACAAACUUUUGAAAAAAGAAAUACCGUAGUAUAGCCGCCCGGCUAUACCAUUUACUUUUUAAAAAAAAUUAAAAAGUACCCUCCUAGUUGCAUUAGUUUAUAAUUUAUUAACAUUAAUUGGCUAGUUUCAACAUUUCUAAAGUACAUAUUGAAGAGAGAAAUUUCAUAGUAAAUCAAUUUUAAAAUUUUAAAGUUCAAAAUUUUUUUUGUGCGGGUAUGUUUGCUUUGAUCUAACUCGUUUUCUCGAGUGAAACUUGUUGGAGGAACAACAAUCAAUAUUAUUCUAAUAAUUUAAUUGUUUAAAUAAAAUUAAAUAUGGCUAUAAAUUAAAAACUGAUUAUUUUUGCAGAUAGAGGCUUGCAGAAUUGCAAUGUCUUUGAAAUAGAAUUUCAUCCUUACUCAGUGCUUGUAGUUCUGCAGACAUUUGCUCCACCAAGAUACAACUAUCUAAAUCAAAGUCUUGGCACUAGGGUUUUGAUUUCUAGCGAAAUUUGUGUGUUUAUCUCUGAAGCUGUAUAAGAAUGAUGAUAUUAAUGUUCUCUAUGAAUUUGAUAUAAUUUUUUAGAGACCUAGGGCUUGUGUUUAAACAGAGUGGCUGAUACAUGUUCCAACUGGUAUUAAAUCAGGACCCAAAAAAGAAAUUAGAGUAAAGCCGAGCGGCUAUACUAUUUUGGAAAAAAAAAACCCACGUAUAGCCCGGCGGCUAAAAAGGGGUUAGCAAGUAUAGCCGUGCGGCUAUACUAUUUAUAGUACAAAAAAAAUCCGCCUAGCUCUUAGGUGCCCACUUGUCAAAACCAAUAUAUCCGCCCGGCUAUAUUAGUAAAGCCGCGCUGCUAUACGGUUUUGAAAAAUGUCCGAGAUUAUAGCCCCUCGGCUAUACUAUUUAGCAUAUAUACAUAUAUAUAUACGAAAACUUACUUGUCAAAAACAGUAUAACCACCUAACUAUACUACUUUUUUUAGAAAAGAAAUAUCGUAGUAUAGCCGAUCCCAUUUAUUGAAGAAAGACUUCAAUGAAACAAGAAUAACACUAUUUCACUAUUCGAGGCCAAUAACACUAUGAUAUGCGUGCACAUGACAGGACAUUAGAAAUAACAAAAUAGUGUUAUCCUCAUGCUACUAAGUUUUUCUUCAUUUAGUGAUACUUAUGUCCUUUUAAUUGGACUGAGACACGGGAGAAAGCUAAGAUUAGAGGAGGACACGGCUAUUAAGCUUGGGGCAACUGUCCUUUGGCAGGCCUCGACCAAAAGUUGCAUAGCAUUUAAAUUCUCAAAUUCAGUGGAAGCAGAAACAUAAUAAAUAUCAUAACCUGAUUUAAAUCAAGUAUAUAAUGCCACAAACAAAGAUAUACUAUAUAUGUAUAUAAUGAUUCUGCAUAUCACACAGAAGAUCAUUUUUACGAUUGCCAAGGAAAUUCAAUUCAUCCAACACAAUUACACAAAUGUAUGCAGUUAACACUCAGAUAUACAUAAGUAGUCCAAACGCUUCAAAAGAGUUUCUGGAUUACAUAAUCUGCACCAUCCUAGGGCUUUGCAAUACAUGCAACCACUUCUUACCCAGACUAAUCCCACCGCCAGUGCAUUGUUAUAUGAACGUAACACCUGAAAACACAGAAAUUUCUAUGUUAAUAUUCUGAAACUUCAAAAACAGGAGAAGAAAACUUGGGCAAAACAAUUAGGCAGAAGCCACAUACGUAUUUCCAUAGAAACCAUUGAGUGAUGCAUGUAAGCAACAACUAAAGUUCUGUUCAUUCAUUUACUGAAAAGAGAAAGAAUGCUGCUAAUGCAAUAUUUUUGGUGUUUUUCAUCAGUUGGUAUCAAGUAAAAAACCACUUGAGGCUUCUCUAUUUUCCAAUUAAAGGAGAUGGCACAAUUGUCGGCCAAAACCGGCUCUGUGCUGCUAGGCAUAGAGAUUGACAAGGUGGGUACUGUUUCAGAUGGACACUUAAUUUAAAUGAGAUACUCAUGUUGGGCAAAACAAGACUUGUAUGGUAUGUAAUACAUGUUCAGCAUGCCGAUAUUCAUAUAGGGUUGGUUGAUUUCCCAAAUUCCAGAAUAACCCUAGCAACCUGAAUGAACAACAUUUGAAACAAACACUUGCACUCCUACCCAAGCUAUCAAUCAAGCCUACUAUAGUUUUCUCUUUAAUUAACAACUGAACACAGCAAAAACCCCAAUAAACCACCACCAAGCCUCCCUGUUUGAUCUUGUUCGGUCUGUCUGUUUGUUUGUUUUAUUAUAUGAGGAAGGACUGGAUUUGCAGGCUACUAAUGUCUACGGGGACCAAAAGUAUACACAUCAAAGUUCCAGCCUUUGCUUAAUUAGAUCAGAGUUUAUCAGAAGCAUGCAUUACUCAGAAUUACUUCACCGUGUCGCAGACAUAGAAUCUAAUAAUUACUGAAAUUUGACGAGGAAAUCAACUAAUAGAGGAAACCCUAAAAAUCUCAUUAACCCAACAAAUGAAGAAAAUGCGAUAAGAACUUUAGCAUGCAAUACUUUACUAUGUCACAGCCAUAGAAACUAGUAAUCACUGAAAUUUGACAAGGAAAUUAACUAAUACAAGAAACCCAUAAAAAUUCCAUGAGCCCAACAAAAUUAAAAACCCCAAAAAGUCAAUUGAGCUGCCCCAAUUGAGUAAAGAUACAAACUUUAGCACGAGAAUAGAUGUAAUUGCAGAGAAUUCAUCCGAACCUUUAGUUGUAAUAGAGCUCGAGGCCCAUGCCGUCAUGGAUUUCAUAGUCCUUGAGGGUGAUGUGGUCCUUGUAGACGUUGUACCACUUCUGGAUCCGAAUCUUGUCGGAUCGGGUACCCGUCUGAGCAGCCACGAGCUUCUUGAGGUCGCCUAUGGUGUCAUCCUCGUUGCACUUCACUUUCACCUUCUUCCCGAGACGAUCGUUCAGCACCACCUCAAUCAUCUUCGAUACAAUCAACAAUCAAUCAGACAGCCUAAAACCCUAAUUCGCCAACUGAAAGAUUGAGAGACCCAAUUUUACACCACAAAACAAAGAAAAUUGUUUAAUAUACAACUUUCCAGGGGCUUUAUGGUCUUUUAGAUUUCCCGCCGCCUACAAAAGUCUACAAGUCUACUUUCCCACCUCUUCUUGGUCUCCUAUUCCUUCUCACAAUUGCACUCAUUCAAGAUAAAAUAAUGUUAAAUACUUGUUCUAAUUACGCGUGAAACUUUUUUAUUAUUUUGAUUAGAAUGAUUCUUUUUACAAAAUCUGAAAUUGUUUACAAACUAAUCCGAUCGUAUUAAGCAAGGGUUUUGUAUCUCAAGUACUUAAUAAUAUUUAUUCAUGAGUAUGAGGUUUUAGAUUUGAUUCUUCCAAUACUCUAAUAUCGAAAAUUGAAUGAAUAGCUCAUUUUACUAAAUGUUUUAUCAAGUUCAACUAAGCUCAUGUCGCUUUGAAUCAACAUGUUGAAUUAUUUAAACAAAUAGAUGACAUAUAUUUUCAAGUAUGCGUUAAGGAAUUAGUAUGAGAUCAACCAUCUCUAUUCUUGAUUUUUCAAGCAUUGAAUAACGGAUUGUAAUGUGAGACCAACGUACUUUUUUAUUUCAUAUGUGUUAAUAAAAGUAUGAAUAUUCAAAUAUAUAUAUAGAGAGAGAUUCCAAGUAAGUAAACAUACCAGAAUAUAAAACAUGGAUUUAGGUUGAGCUUGGGUUGACAAAUGAUAUUUACCCCUUUUAGUUUUACAAAUUAUAACUUUUUCUCUCAAUCAAAUUUAGCCAAAGGAAAAUACAACUUAGAUUAAAAUAUAAUUUAUAACUUUUGAAUUUUUAAUUGACAAUCUUAUUUUAAAAGCCAAAGAGCCAAAACAAAGAAAGGAUAUGAUCUAAGUCUCAAUGACUUGUUUGGGAGUGCUUCUGAAAAGACUAAAAGCGUUUUCUGACAACUAAAAGCGAAUUUGAUAUCGUUUGACAUAAAAGUUUAGAAGCUCAUUUGGGUCAUAGAAUGGCUUUUUGGCAAAGCACAUGCUAUGUGUUUCUUCAUAAGGCACUCCCAAGUGUUUUUUCGAGAAGCAUUUGGAUUUUUUAAAAUGAAAAUUCAAGAUUUUUAUAACAAAAGUGAUUUUGGUAGAAGCGCUUAUGAGCAUAAGUACUUCUUAGAGAAGCAGUCCCAAACAAGUCAUUAGUUGAGGAAUCAUCCCAAUAAGAGGUCUUGCAAAAUUAAUGGAGAAUUAAAUUAAAAUAAUAUAGCUUGCUAUUUUUGAUGGGAAACAUUGCCCACACCACAUGAAGAUAAGAUGACUGAAAGAGUGAAAGGUCACAAAUUUUGUCACUAAAAAAGAAAGAAAAAAGGUUUCAACUUUAUCAUAAAUCCCAUCAAGGCGAAUUCCUAAAAAAGAUGCGUAUUGCCCGAUCAAAAAAAUUGGAAGAGAAUGAAAAAAAAAGAAGCAUAUGCCAAUUGCAAUGGGUGUACCAAGAACACAUAUACAAACAUAGACAAGUGUUGGGUCACACAACGAGGCAGCAGCACGCCACUGGUGACUGUCGUGAGUCAUGUCUGACGAGAGAAGCUGACAAAUCCCAUCAAUUCCAAUUCCAACCAUUUCUGCUUCACCUUCGUCUACCUCCGACACUCCGAACUGUAACUUCUUCUUACCCGUUUUCAAUUCCUUCAAUUCCGUCCUAUUGAAACAAUUAACAAUCAAAAACCCAACACCCAUCGAGCUGAAAUCGUCAGCUGAAAAAGGACCAAUCUUUGUUGAUUCUUGUUGUUGUUGAACAUGGUUUCAUCAAGAUCUCUUGUCUUUCUGUAGAGCGUGCAGGGAGUCAGGGGAGAGAUUGGAGCGAUGAACGUGAGCCGCCCAUCGGUUCACCCCGUGGAGGCCCCGCCCUUGACUGACUUGGCAGCCCAGAAUGCUCUCAGAGUGAGGAUGAAGGACGUUCAAGGCAUGCCUGGCACCACAGGUGGUCUCGUGUUGCGUCUUUGCCAGCUCGGCUUUGCAGCCAUUUCUCUCUCAGUCAUGGCCACCACCUCCGAUUUUCCCUCUGUCACCGCUUUUUGGUAAUGCUUGUUUUGUUGUGUUCAUGAUUUCACGAUUUUUACUUGAUUAUAGACGUUGGUUUUGGUUAAAGUCAAGUCUUUGAUGAUUAUUGUGUUUGCUUUUUUCUGGGUCAGCUACCUUGUUGCUGCUGUUAGUGUGCAAUGUGUGUGGAGCUUGUCACUGGCGAUUGUUGAUGUGUAUGCUCUUUCAGUGAGGCGGAGCUUGCGCAACUGCAAGGUUGUGGGUUUCUUCACCAUUGGAGAUGGGGUAAGAUAGGAUUCAAACUCAUUAAGUCUUGUUGCAUAACUGCAGCAAAGCAAUGCUGGUAUUCUUGUUGAAUUAACUAUUUAGGUUCCAUGUGAAAUUUAGCCCAAGCCUGCUAAACCAGUUAGAAGUAUAUGAGUUUUUCCUUCUCUAUGGGCAGAAUCUUAAGCUACCCCUUCUCUAUUGCCUGUUUGCCACCCAACCCUUACCAAAUGUGGCAUUGAUAGAUUUCCCCAAACUUGAUAACGGUGCUUUAUGUCAGAAGCUUCAUGUGGAUAUGUUUUGUGAUUUUUUUUAUCUGAUUUCUGGUCUAAUGUUUUAUCUAAUUGCUAGUUGGGAAAUAGCAUAGGGUUCUUUGCAUCCAUUUGUUAGCUGCCUUGUUCAUAUCUGCUUACCCAAAUAUAUCCAUAUACCAUUGCUUCGAAGUGGAAUUUGCUACUCCGGGGGUCCAUAGACACAGUUGCUGUUCUAGAUUAUGCUGCAGUUGAUAGUGUUACCAUCAAUUGUCUUUUAGUACACCAAGACGCUACUACAUCUAAGACUGACUAAAAUGUUUCUGUUAGUUGAUUGGCCCAUCUUCUGGUCUUUGGAAUAAUCAGGAGCACAGUACCCAAUUAGCUUGCCCUCUUUACCCUUGUACAAUGAAAUAAGGUUGCAUUUUUACAAACUAUACAAGAGUAAUAAAACCUUUAUAUUCAGGUCUCCACCUGUGGAUGAUUAUUAUUCUCAUGUACAUUUGAAAAUACCAGUUGUGGAUCUAAUUCAGAUAUUUAACAACCAAUAUUAUAACAAGGUAAAAUCUCUGCGACAUGACAUGUUACAACUCGUUCUUCUGAAGUUGCAGUUUCGCCUUGUUUCUCUUCUUGAAAAGUGUUACAUAUUUGUCUCAUGUUGCUUAGGUGUGUCUACGAGCCUCUAAUGUGCUCAAUCGUCUUUUGUUCUAUCGUUGUCUUGAUUGUGAACAUUACCUUGCCUAUCUUUCAUUUUUAUUUCUUCAAAGUGGUAGCAUACUCGUGACCUUAGAGAUAUGACUCCAUGUAUGUCAACCACAUGUUUUAAUUCUGGUUGUGGAACCUCUUGAUACCACCUACCAUUUGUAGGCUGCUUAUGAUGACCCAACCUAGUUUCUCUCAGUGCCAAGCUUAAUCGCAGACAAGUUUCAGAGUCUCAGCUUGGGCACGAUAACUAGAUCCCUAACUGCCUUGCUCUGAUACCAGAAUCUUGAACAAAACAUGUGGGAAGCCAACAGAAUUUGAAUAACUUGCAUACUACGAAUGCACAACUAUAUUACACACACAAACAAAGACACUUGUGCAGGCACACUCAUUUAAAUAGACGCUCUUACUUACACCUGACACCUCACUUUCACUCAUGCUCUGCUACAGGGAUAAUCAGAGCUGAGCUCUCUAUAUAAUGAUGAUCAAAGUCAGUUCUGCCAACUUUACUUUGUUAUUUUUUUUGCUUUAUUUGUUCAGAUGAGCAGCUGCAUCCAACUCAAAUGGCUAGCAUAAGUAACUGGAUAUAUCAGUCUAUCCUCAGCUUACUGAUAUGAUGUGUUGUUUUAGGAAAAUGUUAAGUCAAGUCUUACUCAAUAGCCAUCUCAUCCGUUUCCAUAUGUGAUACUAAUAGAUAUCCCUUCUUGGGAUUUUGUCAAAUUUGAUGCGUGGCCUUCUUUUUAUGGAAGAUAACUUAACAUCAGUCCUUCAUUCAUUUUGUAACAAUAUGCUUUGUUAAUAUGUACUUGUGCAAAUAUCCAUUUGUUUGGAAGUUGGAAAGUGAAAAUUUGUGCGUGAGGAGUACAUUGUCCAGACCUAGUACAUCCGCAGCUUACAGAUCUGUGGGUGUUCUUUUCAUGCAGAUCACAUCCACGCUUACAUUUGCUGCCGCAUGUGCUUCUGCUGGAAUUACUGUCCUCAUUGCCAAUGAUCUUAACAAAUGUGAUGUGAACCAUUGCAAAAGGUUUGAGACUGCCACGGCUAUGGCUUUUAUCAGUUGGUUUGCUGUGUCACCAUCCUUUCUUUUAAACUUCUGGUCACUGGCUUCCCGGUGAAACACGGCAGGGGGGGAAUUCAUCAGUGAGCCGAGUCUUCUUAUAUUCUAAAAAAAAAAAAUUGGCCUCUUUUAAUGGCUGUGCAGGGUAUUUGUUUGAUUGCCCUUAUUCUGUACAUAGAAAUAUUCUGGCAGAGUUUGUUGAAGAAUAAUAACAUUUAGCAUGGAGAUAUGUAUAAUUUUGGAUUUUGAAUCUUUUUCCUCAUUGUGGGUGUCAUGUGAUAGUUUUUGUUGUUCUUCCAAAAGCGUUUUCCUAUUGGUUUGCUUUGAAACUUCUUAGGGUCUAUAUGCACCGAAAGCAGCAUUGGAAAUUCUGCAGGCUAAAAGCUUAUAGGUGCCAAGUGGGAACCGUAAAUAUCAUUCUGCUUCCUUGAAAUGAAGAAGACCUAAACCCAUGUAGAUUUGAUCAAAUGACAUAACCCAAUGUCAUGGCCAAGAAUCCCACGUGCAGAAGAAUGAGGUCCCUCAAGAGUAGGUAUGCAACAUCACCUAACAUGACAUGCUAGUCUUUUCGGUUGAUUGGCGAGCACCUAGCCGGUUAGGAGUAGUAUUCGAGCACCCCCAUUUUUGGUUAAUUGGCAAGCACAUAACCUGUUAUGGGACGUAGAUGUAUUAACGGUGAAAUCAGUUACCAAAUACUGCCUUUCCGAAAGGAGAAGGAAAAAAAACACAUAUGUAGACGUCACAACUUACAUUAGGUUGUGCAGUGGUUAAUAUAAUUGUAACUGAAGAAGUUCAACUUUCUAAGAAUACAACUUUUUCUUUUUCACUUUUUUUGUUAGUGGUUGGUUAUAUAUGGGAAGUAGUUACAGUUUUAUUAAGAAGUCUCUUCUUUUGGUAAGUCUCUAACUCUUCUGUUAGCUUCUAAUCUCCUUUUCUGAGUAAGUGAUUAACUGAGGAUUAGGCUAAAUCUUGACACAUCUCUCAUCAACACAAGAUUAGUGUUUAAUCGAAAGCGUAAGGGAAAAGAAAUGGCAAGCAAGAUAACGGUCUCUCAUCCCUUUUCAAUUCUCUGCCUAGAAGAACAGUCAAGACAGUUGGUAACGGCCAUAAAAGAUUUAAGCAAAGAUGGCUUUCCGUGCUAUUAACCUGCUCCUUGAGCAACUUGACCAUCUAUAUAUAUGUUUCAACCUUUACUGUUAUCUUUGAACAAUUUGUCCCAAAGAGAGAAGGGUUUAGCGGGCUUGAAGUUGAAGAUUGGAGAAGUAUGUCUAAUAAGGAAGUUGAGGAGGAAAGAAGGCUAUAUCAGUGUGCAAGGAAUUAUGAAAAAAUUGUAAAACAGGUAGAGUGUGCAACGUAGUAUGUUUACUUUUACCAACUGGAUUUACCUUUCCCUAAUUUAAAUUUAACCAUGUUUGAAAAUCAAAAUUACUGAGAUAAGUUAGCCUGGAAAUCAUAAUGCAUCCCAACCCCUUAGUUAGAACAUUGUUUCUUUCUUUCUUUCUUUCUUUUUGGAAUGACAUUUUGUUCCAACUUAUACACAAAUUGAUUAGGAAACUUGGGUUUGAUUUCUGUUCUUCAGUUUGAUGAGCUGAUUGAGAUGAUGAACACCCGGAGCAGACUGCCGAAGCGACGAAAGGUAUCUUCCGAUAACAUCUCUUAUAUAAUUCCAUCUUCAUCUUUAAAUCUCACGUAUGUUCAUGCAAUUCACAGAAUUCUACAACUGCUGCCCCUGCCCCGGCAAGUCAACAUGAGGACAAUGAAGUGUUUGCACAGACAAUAACAAGAUUUCUCCAGGACCUGAGAACCAACCCUGCAGAACCUGACUGCUCCACAGCCCCCGGAGAUGGAAAUUAGUUAUCUUCCUGCGGGGAAAAGAUUGCUUGUAAAGAUGAUUAUGAUCUCACUGCCAUCUUAACGAGUAAUUGUAUUUAGUGGUGGUUAGUGGCUAAUAAUUACUAUUUAAGUGAAUGCUUGACUAGCUAUCUUAGCAUGGUUAAAAAUGUAAUGAUAUUCAUCUCUUGAAAGUGCAUGACAGGUGUUCCAGGCGAAACUCUCUACAGUAAAUGUUUUUCCUUUUUGUCAAUGCGGUAAUUUAAACUUCUCUAAUCUACAGAAUCCUACUCUAAACUACAGAGAGGAUUCGGAAGUUAGGAGUGUGUAUAUUGCCCUAGCCAACUGGCCUAAGCACAUUUUUAUUUAAGAAAAAGAAAGAAUUUGACUUAACAAAAAAAUCCAUGUACGACACGCAGAGUCUUUUGAAUAAAGGCGCACAAGACACACAAUCGGACAUCCAAAAUUUCACAUCUUUCAAUUAAAUGAAUUACAGGGUCCGAAAUUCCUGGAGAUCUAUUACAAGAAGGAAUCAUUGCAGGAAAAGAAAAACAUAAAUUGAAGAUUGAACAACUUACAUUGGUUCCUAAGCAAGAAAAUAAAGGUGGAAAAAAGUCAUUGUAUAUUCAUUGUAGAAAAGCAGAGUCAUUUUAUCGAACACCUCUCAGUUUCCUAGAAAGCAGCACAAGUUAAGAGUAGUAAGGGGCCACGCGCAUCUCGUGCAAAAAAAGGUCUCUCGUGCUUACCAUUGGAAGUUGCAAAUUUGCAAAAUGGAGAUUGAGCUCAUGAAAUUAGUUUCUUGGUGGGGAGCACAUGGAUUGGACAAUAAUGAAAAAUGAGGUAAAUUUGGUUAUGCUGAAGCUCUUGACCCUUGAUGAUCAGAAAACCUAUUGCAAGCUGCACUUCAGCUUCUCAGCCUCAAGCUCUUGUUUCAUGGCUUCCAUCCGUUCAACCAAGGCCAUAUUUUCCUGGGCAUUUCAGGGCUUGUAAGAAGAGGAACACGAUUCAAACCUAAAGGAACUUUUAAACACACUAACAUAUCAUUGUCUAUCAGAGCCAGCAAGGGAGAAGAAAAGGAAAAAAACCAGACUUUCAUUUAACAUCAAAACAUGCAGUUUAUGCAUAAGACUUGGGUGCAUAACAUAAGUUGAAAUUUUAAGUCUGAUAAUAUGAGCAAGCCAUUCUCAGCAUUGUUUUUACUUAGCUCCUUAAAGUGGAUGAAUGAAAAAGAGAAAGAUUGCAUUGAAUCUUACAGCUUUUAGUUCUUACCCUCUUUUGACUGCUUGGUUAUAGGACUUGUUAUGAGACAUCAUGAUAAUUUUUGUAUUAAAUUUUGUACUGGAAAAAAAGGGUCACCUUUUGUAGAUUCACCAAUUUCUGGUUGAGGCUAGCAGCAUUUCCAUCAUCCUCCUCAAAAGACCCCUUUAUCUGCGAGAACGACGAAUAAUUCAUCGGUCCACAAAGAGAUGAUUACGAUAGGCACAGAGAAUCUAAUCUUACCCUGGGGUGGAGGGAAAGACAAAGACACCCAAUUCUGUGCAUAUAUACUAUUGCUAAUGAGAACAGACCCGCUUAUCAAAUGCCAAAACAGAUAUAUGGGCCUCAACUACUCUUAACAGCUAAAGACCCCUGGUAAUUUAGUUGAGGACAUACGAUGGUUAUGAAGGGAUUUGCUCUAUCACCAUUCAGUGCAAAAUUCAGGAAGAUAUGUGUUGAAGCAAUAAUUUGACUGGUGCCCAGUCCAGAAAUGUGCUUUAGAAUUAUUAUUAUCAUUGGUAGGUGAGAGGUUUUACCACAUCUGAUCUGGACCAGCAGUUUUACCACAUCAAAACAAUAAAAUAAAAAUAUAGGAAAAAGGUUUAUUAUUUACUUGACAAGAUCAUGUUGUUAGACUGAAGCAUUGUUUAACAAGUCAUUCAACUCCAGGAUGCCCUUCCAAAGAUUGGACCCAAACGCUCUUCUACAAUUUUUGGCCAAAACCUCAUGAAUGCUAAAAAAAAAAGUGAUAAAAACCAUACUAUAGUUUCAAAAGUGGUUUUAAAUUUAAUUAUCUUUUGGGUCAAUGUAGAGAUCAUUUUCAAAGACUACAUCUUGCUUUGGCAUCCUUACAAUUCUCAGCAUGCAAAGUCAACCUCCAAAGUGCAUAUGAAAAUUAAUUUGCCACACUAAGUAUGCUCCAAUGAGAUUCGUGAAAAACAGCGAUAACAUACCGUUUUCUACACAGAGAUAUGAAGCUCUAGUUAUACAACAAAUCGUGAAAAAUAAUUGAAAAGAAUUGGCAAAAUCAGGUGCGGACCUGUUUGAGUUCGUUCAUACACUUGGUAGCCCUUUCUGCUUCUACAUCGUAUUUCAGCCUCCACUCAGCAGAUUCAUCCAUUGCUUCCCUAUUAGCAAGGUCGAACUGCCGCCUACCAUAUUUUGAGAGAAAAAAUAUAUGUAGUUGACUAAAAAAAAUCUUUAAAUCAUAAUAGAAAUAACAAAGAAACUCGACCUAUAAACCCAAAUCAACACUGAAAAUCCCAUUUCAUUUUAUGGCAAACACUACUAAUUUUUUGACAUAUGAAACUCUAGAAAUGAAAAGGGUACAUGUAAAAUCAUAUACUACAAAAUAUAAAAUAGGAGCCAACCCAGAAACUCAACUUAGGAUUUAUGAUAAAUUAGCUCAAGAAUCAAAAGAAAGUUUCUGUCUUUUCUCACAACUGAUAUUCAACUAUGCCAUCAGAUCAGAAUCACUAUAAUGGGAAGUAAUGCAAGAACUUGGGCUUAAAUUUAUCUUAUAUAUAAAGGGCAAUCAUUUUUUCAUUCAUUCAUUCACAAAAUCCACAAAAACAUGAACCCUUAAAAACAAAUUUGAGGUUGACAGAGAGAUGAGAUGGGAAUUAAAGCAAAGCAAACCUCAAGAGCUCAGCUUCAUCGGAAGAAACGGUAUAGUCGAUGGUCCAAAGCUUCAAGUACACUGCAACCCCAAAAAGCAUCAGCACCACCAAACCCACCAAUAUUUUCUUGCUCCCACCACCACCCCCCAUUUUUUGUUUCUCUCACUCUCACUUCUGUUCUGCGACCAAACCCAAGACAAACACGCGGGUAAGAACCUGGCUUCAACUACUCGUAAAUUGGGCCUAAACUAGGCAAUGGCCCAUGACCCUAUACUUUUGCCUUUUUGUUGAGUGAUUCUAUUUUGCACUCAAAAGGGUCUUUGGACAUCCCUGAAAGUUCUUCUAUUUUAAAAUGACAAUUAUACCCUUAUGUACAGUCGCCACAAAGUACUUUUGCCCUUUUGGAUUUCUCAGGAUACCCACACAACACAACACUAUCGAACCGAACCGAACUCACCAUGGCACCAUCUCUCCCUUUCUAACCCUAAUUUACCUCUUUCUCAACUGCUCUGAUGAUCAUGAGGAAGAAAGUGAUGAAGAAGUGGAUAUAUUGAAUGGUUCCUUAAAACUAAGGAGGAGUUCUCCUCAUAAUAAAUGGGAUUUUGACACUUAUCAAAUUCCCAAAGAAAUAAAAGUUGAAGGAAUUCAAAAGAAAACAAACAAGUUAAAGGAAUUUGACAAGUGUGAAAACCCCAUUUGUUAGGAGGAGGAGUUCUUCCAAUUAAAGCACAGAUUUCUUAUCAGUUUUUCGUUGAGCUUUCAAUUUGACCUCCUGUAGGCUGUAGGUUUACUUGGAAUUUGGUGAUCGCAGAUCAUUGUAUGGAUGUAUUAUAAAGCUGACCGGGUGAAUGAUGAUUUAUCUUUCAUAUUCUUGUUUUUCAGGGACGUUCAGUUCUUGAUAAAUGCUUACAUUCCCUUCAUUCUUCAGUUUCUGGUAAAUGAUUCCCUUCAUUCUCCAUAUUAAUUACUAGCGUUUGAUUAAAUAAGUAUUUAAAGAGUAUACGGCUAUACCUUUUGAACGUAUUAAAAUAUUAAAUAGUAUAGCCGCGCGGCUAUACACUUUAAAUGUAUUAAAAUAUUAAACCGUAUAGCCGAGCGGCUAUAUUAUUUAAAUAUAUUAAAAUAUUAAAACUUAUAGCCGCGAGUUCAUAGUCGUUAAAUGUAUUCGAAUUAAACGGUAUAGCCGGGCGGCUAUACGCUUUACAUGUGUUAAAAUAUUAAAGAGUAUAGCCGGGCGGCGAUACUCUAUAAAUAUAUUAAAAUAUUAAACUUAUAGCCGACGGGCUAUACCCCUUAAAUGAAUUAAAAUAUUAACAGUAUAGCCGCACGGCUAUAUGCUGUAAAUAUGUUAAAAUAUUAAACUGUAUAGCCGCCUGGCUAUACUCUUUAAAUAUAUUAUGUUUUAAUUAUUAUUUAUUUAUUGAAGAAUUAGUAUUUAAAUACUUUAAUUAAUUUUAUAAAUUACUUCAUAAAUAGUAAUUAAUUAUAUUUAAUCAUCUUUAUAAAAAAAAAUUAUGGAAUUUAAAAUUAUUUUAGUAUUCUAAAAAUAGAGUUUAGCCUCCAAACCCGAAAUCCAAGUCUCUAUCCAAAAAGCUUAGCUUUCGAACUUAUCUGAACUUGUUCCAAAACCGUUCGCAAGCCUUGAACCCUAAUGUAAACCUAUCGUAGGGCACUUAGGACUUGAUUAGGCUUAGAUUAUCACUUAACUCGACCUAGAGCUUUACGAUUUAGGUUUUGAUCCCAGUUGGUUUUCUUAACACCACUUAUCUUCUGGAAAUUAGAAAAUUCGAAAUCAAAUUAAUCUAAGACAAGUUUAUAUGAAGAUAAGAUAUAAGUAUCUUCAUCCGCAAGUUUAUUUGAGCAUUGCCCGAUCCAAAAGCUGCUGGGACAUCUUUGCAGACCUGUGAUCUAUAUUCUAUACAAUUAAUGCCUCCUUCCACCGCCACUGGAGUUCAGAUAACAGAAGAAGACGCUGCAAAAUUGACAACCGCCAUUCCCACUAUUCACUUAGAUCAUGAUCUAGUUCAGUUAUAGUUGAAGGAAAGAAAGACAGUGAUGUAAUAUAUCAAGUAGUUUCCCCGUGAAAGAUACAACUAAUUUGUUUCCCUCUUCACGUGUUAGAUCAGUUUGCUCUAAAGCACAUGUGUAAUGUGACAAAUAAUUCUCUAGCAUCGGACACAUGAAUGAUAAAUAAUUUGUUUUCCAUGCAUUUUUCAAAGACAAUAUGCAUCAGAUUUUCCCGAGGAAACAUGUUAGACGUGUAAUUGCAAGUUGAACUUAUCAAGCAUAAACACGAGAAAAUGCAACUUGAUGAAGACCUUCUGUCAUUGACAGACUCCAAACCAAAUGGUUCUGUAGAUCUUUCAAAUGGUCAAAUGCAAUUUGAUGAAGAGUUUCUCUUUCACCAGUCAUAAUCCUUUCCGUCACUCCAAUCGCAAGAAGAGCGGAAUCUAGAGCAUACCACAUGUGCAGGAAAAUCACUGAGUCAAUGUUUUUACCUUUUUCAUGUGAGGGCAAUGAUUCAUUACAAACUAGCAUAGAAAAAUAAAAUACCCGGCAAACCCCUUAACGUAUAUAAAGGCAAGGUGAAAACUGCCGUGGGAAUUGAAAAUCGUCAGAGAUCAAAAGACAUCAUUUCUAUCCAGAGAAAUUUAUUUAUUUUCGAACCGCCCAGGCCGAUGAUCUAGGAAAACAAUAAUGAGUUGGAAUUUUAUAACCAUACCGAGUCUCCUCCACCACUCCAUCCACAUCACCAUCGUUGUUUCAAAUCCUCCUUUGAACACCGUUAUCGCUAAACCCAAAGAACCACUUGUAUUUUAAAUAUAAAAUUAGAAAAUUAGUUUAAUAUUUGUAAUUAUAGUAAUUAUGUUUUUAUUUUUAUUUAUUUAGUGAAUAAUUAGUAUUAGAAAGUAUUUUGAAUAUUGAAAGCGUAUAGCCGGACGGCUAUACUCCGUAAAUAUAUUCGAAUAUUUAAAACGUAUAGCCGCCCGGCUAUACUCUUUAAAUAUUUUAUUUUUUAAUUAUUAUUUAUUUAGUGAAGAAUUAGUAUUUUAAUAUUUUAAUUAAUUUCAUAAAUUACUUAAUAAAUAGUAUUUAAUUAUCUUAAAUAAUUGUGUGGAAUUUAAUUUUUUAUAUUAAAAAAUAGUUUAAUUUUUGUAAAAAAAAUCCUAGAAAAUUAUUUUAGUAUUCUAAAAAUGAAUUUUAGCUUUCAAACCUGAAAUCCAAGUCCCGAACCAAAAAUCCUAAUUUUCGAACUCAUUUGAACUUGUUUCAAAACCGUUCGCAAGCCUCAAACUCUAAUUGUAAACACCAAUUUUUUGGAAGCCACUUUGUUUCAAAAACUUGUUCUAUCUAAGUGGAUAGCUAUGCAAAGUUAAAAAAAUAAAAAGAAUCGUUUAGGAUUUGCGUGUGCAAAUAUUAAGUUUUAGACCCUUAUGGUCGGGACAAGUUUGAGAUAAGGGGAAUAACAACCCCACUGUUGUACCUGUAGCAGCUUAAGCAUCUAAUUCCAUUUUUUAAGCAUUAUUCUGGGGGCCCAAUAAUUUGAAAACCCAUUACACUCAGGCCCACAUAUCUGCGAAAAUACCAGCACAUCACUGAGUUUUGUGUCAAAUCUCAUCAUCCUGCCUGCAUCCCACAAUUUCCUUUCAUCUUCAUCUAUUGCUUGUCGCAUCUGUCAAGUUUAAAGAUACAUAAAUUAUUGAGGUUUCUUAUCAUCAGUUGCCCACGCACACCGUGAUAGUGAGCCGUUGAUACACACAAGUCUUACAAUGCAUAUAUAACUUACAUUCAUCCACAACCAAUUUCAUGAGUAAUUAUAAACCGUUAAUACAUACAUGUCUCGUGACGUAUCAACGGCUUACAAUCAUCUACUAAGCUCACAGAAACAAUCAAUAUACACAGGCCCACAUAUCUGUAAAAAUACCAGCACAUCACUGAGUUUUGUGUCAAAUCUCAUCAUCCCACAGUUUCCUUUCAUCUAUUGCUUGUCGCAUCUUUCAGGUUUAAAGAUACAUAAAUUUUGGAGGUUUCUUAUCAUCAGUUGUCGACACACACGGUGAUAGUGAGCCGUUGGUACAUUAUACACAAGUCGUACAAUGCAUAUAUAACUUACAUUCAUCUACACUCACGUGCAUGAGUAACUAUAAACCAUUAAAACAUGCAUAUCUCGUAACGCAUCAACGGCUUACAAUCAUCUAUUAAGCUCAAAAGUUCUUCCAAUCUACCCAACCCAAAAGCUGCUUUAUUUGUUCACUCACCCCAGAUGGUUUUGGCAGUUCCAAUAACCCAUCAUGAAAAGUGAAAGCUAAAAUAAACGUGAGGCAUUUUGCUUGUUAUUGUUGUCUAUAUCCUUUUCACUCAACCAAAACGAUCGGUGGGGAAGAAACAAAUGGAAAUUGGAAACAGAGGGUGUGAAAACAAAUCAAGCAGCGCCCCUGGUUUCGUUGGUUUAUUACUAAACCUAUAUAGAGUACUACUAUUUAUUAAUUGCAGUUCGUUGGAUUGGAUUGGACAUAACCAUUUGAUGAUGUCAAAGUUCAAUAAAUUUUUAUUAUUGCAUUUUAUUUUGGGCUCAAGAGAGAGAUGCUCUUCUUUUUUUUGUUUUUUUUUCGUCUCCUGGUGUGGAGAUGCCCAGCUGGUCAAGGAUUAACUUUGACAUGCUGCUGCUUGUCGUUUUUCAAUUUAUAUGUUCAGUUAUUAACUGAGGCUAUAAUUAGCAUAUUGUUUAUAGGGCCUUCUAGAGAGGUUGACAUAAUUUUAAACUUAUUGCUGCUGCUGACUGCUGAGGGUUCUGGCUUUUGGUGAUUCAUGGACAGGAAUAGGUUAAAGGAAAAUUUAAAAUUUUCAUUGCACAUAACAUAAAUGGCUCCAUUUUGGAUUGUGGGAUUUCAUUUGCAUUUUAGUUCAUGUUAAGGUUCUUAAUAACGAAAAAUUUUCCGAAUUCAAAUCUCUCUUCCGGUCUUUUGAUAAAUAUAUAAAAAUAUAUAUAAAGUUGUGUGAGGGAGAAUAAUGUGAAGGAAUAUAAUGAUUCCAAUUGAUUCAUUGAACUUAGUCCUUUCAAGUCAUGAAGAAAUUAAAUCCAACUCUCUAUAAUACAUUUUAUUGCUUUUAUGGUUAACUUCUUUGAACCAAUAUAAAGUUGUUGCUUUUUAUUUUAUAAAAAGGCGACAGAAUCUUGUUAGAUUCUAUCGCACGAGCGAACAGUAAAACUGAAAUGAUCUUAGAGAGAAUCACUCUCAAAAACAAAUUUUCUAUGACUUAUUUCUAUCAUCAUAAUUUUCCGCAAAUUUAGUCCAAUGACAUCAAGGACAAAACUGGCCACUAACGGACAUGAAUCUCCUAGAGAGACUAAAAUACUCAACAAACUCAAUUAAGUUUAUGGGAAUUAUGAGAGAAAAAAACACAUAAAACCCAUAGAGUUUGUGGACCAAAAAAACCAAGACUACAAAUCUAAAACAAUGCCGACAAAAGGAAGAACAAAUAUCACUCAUUUUUCUUGGGAACAUGACAUAGAGAACGCCAACUAAUCACUCCAUGGCCCCAACACGGCAACGCCCUAAUCAACAAUAUAUCUAUCAUAAUCAAGCAUCAACACCUCAAAGGGUAGCCCCACAAUAUGAGGCACAUUUAAAACCAGCUCAUAUUCAAUGCAAAGACAAUAGAUUUGUCAAAGAAAAAUCAUAUCAACACACAUCCACAAAAAUUCAAAGAACACCAAAUAUGAAGCUUAAACCGUAAACCCGAAAUUGGUUUUGAAUGGGAAUUUGAAUUUAUAAAGUCAUCGUUAAAAUCCAAAUUUGGUGCAAAUCAACCUCAAAACGUCUUGAAUCUAGUUUUCCAACCUCGUCCAAGCCCAAUGAAUAGUAAAUCUAUGUCAUCAUAAGUUAACUUUAUAACACACUUCUCUUCUAACUUAAUAACUUUUUUUCUUUUCUUUUUUUUAAUUUUUUUUUUUAUAGGGCCAUUUGGGUAUGCAUGUUGACAUUAUGGUGACACAUUCAACUCCCAAGAGUGUAUCUGCCUAGCAAAAGUUGAUAGACACUUUUUACGACUGUUUUAAGCAUGCAAAUACCAGGUACAAACAACGACCGACUACGAAAACCAACGUUUCUUCUUCUUCUUCGUCUUUCUUUUAUUUUUCUUUUUUAUACAUAAAAUGAAUGCCAAAGUAGCUGUGGGUCAUUUGUCAUCCCAAGGGAGCAUAAAUUUCACUUCAAGGCUUCUUCUAGCUGCUCUGUAUCUUUUACACCUACCACCCCUACCAACCAAACCUUCAAUUUUUUUAAUUUCCUCUGCAAUUUACUCUGUUUCAAUCCAUUAACCCCAUAAUAACAAUAACACCAAAUAAUAAAUAACAAAAAUAUUUAUAAAAAUAAAAAUAAAAAUUAUCAUUAAUAUUUCCAUCCAUUGUCAUCAUCAAUAUGACAACCUGGAGAAGAAGAUGAAACACAAAAUGCCAUCAUCAUCUGAUCUCGAAACCAAAAUAUCAUUAAGAGACUUUGGGCUCUGCAAAACUCAGGUCCUCCCAUAAAACUCAGGCACCCAAAGCAACACAAACCCAGAAAGAUCAAACCAGCACCAGAGAAAAAAAAAAAAAAAAACAUAAACGUUGUUAAUAAUCAAAAUAAGAUCAAGAUCCGUUGCCAAGUCGCUUCUAAAAUAUCAAACCAGUUUAACGGAGAUCAUAGAUAUAAAUUAAAUUAGAAACCAGUCAUCGUUGAUUUCAAAUUUUUCUUUGCUUGCCCUACCAAAAUUUCCAGUAAGUCUCUGUUUUUUUUUUCGGCCUUAAGUUCUAAAAUUUGCUACCGAUCAAUCUUCGAACCCAACUUUUUUCCAAAUCGCGUUUCUCACUCGCCUCAAGUCUCUGCCUUUCAAGGUCCUCCCAAUCCCUUCAUGAACAGAAAACGAAGCCCCUCUCGUCCUCGCCAAGUACUCGUGAGGCGGGACCCUCCCAUCUCCGCCAUCAUCAUCAUCAUCGCCACCGUCAAAAUCUUCUUUUCCGCGGUCUUCAUCGCUGUCUCUCUGCCUCUGGUCUUUGUACGCCUCUUUCAGAAUAUUGGACCAGUCCGGAAUGUUCACCGGCAACGACGCUGACGUCACCUUGGCACUAUUUUUCUGAUCAGCCAUGCUCAUCAGCAUCGUCGUCUUCCUCCCCAUUUUCUUCAGCUCUCUGUAACUGGGUAUGGCGUUCUUCUUCUGUUCUGCAACUGGGUUCGACGAGCUCCAUAUAUCGGCCUCGUCGAACUCGAAGAGCCCGUCUGAGCCAAUUGGGUUGUCGCCGAUCGACGAGGUGGGGAAGAUGGCCUUCCUCGACGCCAUUGAUGAAUGAAGAACCGAGUUUUGAAGCCUUGGCUCUGUUUCUGCUCUGUUUUCAGUCUGGACUAUUUUUCUUUGCUUCUUUUUUGGUAAGAAAAUUUUAUGACCGAAAACGUUGAUUGCUCUGCAUUUUAUAAUGGCGAGUGUAAUGGAUAAGCUCCCUUUUUCGCUCUUCGUACAAAGUUACAUUUGUCAUGCUAAACGACAAAAAAUGGUAAAUGCUAGAAUGUGGGCCUCCUCAUAUGUUUGGUAUGGAGACGAGAUGCUACAUCAUGUCCAUGCCCUAAUUGCUUCUUACUUUCUUUCUUUACCUUUUUUAUGCCACAAGAUGAUUAGUGAUGCACAUUAAAACAUAUGAUAACGAUUAAGUCAUACGUAAGCAAGUGAAUAAAAAAAAGACCCUCAUAAUACACAAGUUGUUUAUGUUCGUGUGAGUGAUUAUUAAUCUUUCAUAUGUCGGCAUACAGGUCAACAAUCUUUCAAAACGAUUGAACUCAAAGUCUGAAUAUUUAUAUGUAUAAUAUAUUUUCUCAAAUUCAAUUUCAAUCGAUUAAGUAAAUGAUACGACAAAAUCUUAGUUGUGAAACUAACAAUAACCAAAUAAAACAAUGUAACAAUAAUUGGUAUCCAAAUUUUAGGGUUUUAUCCAUAAUAUAGGACCUUAUCCACAGUUUAAGAGCUCAAUUUAGUUGGACUGCUCAACCAUUUUUUCAGUUUUCAUUUUAAUAAUAUAUUUAUUAUGUUCUUAUCCUACAUAAAGCCAUUUUUUUUUAACAGUUUAGAACAUGUUAGGUUAUUUGUCGAACAAAAUGCUAAACAACACCUUCUACUAGUAUUAUGAUGUUUUCCCCUUAUUAAAAAAGGGUCAUGCUAGGGAGACCAACUUUAGAUACCAACUUGUGUACCAACUCUCUAAUAGAGGUGGAGCCCACCAAUACAAUGGGUCCCACACUCUAUUAGAGAGUUGGUACACAAGUUGGGAUCUAAAGUUGGUCUCCCUAGCAUUUUCCAUUAAAAAAUUCCUCAAUUACAGCCGAAUCACACGUAGGACAAUAUGUGUCAACUUAAUUAUAAGUUGAUUACAGAUUAGGCAGGCAACAAAGUGACACGUCAUUCUAGACAAUUAUCGAUUAAUUAUCCGUACAUAAUUUCCACACAAAAAAAUCGAUUGAGCAAGAUGGGAUAUGGACGAAUUUAUCCAUACGCAUGUAAACGACACGUGGACCAACCAGCGUUUGGUUUUCAACGACUCGAAAUUCAUUGGGACUUAUGAUUGAACCAGUAAACCCAUGACACGCUCGGGUUUCCGUAUAGUCUUUAACCACGCUGUAGGUCAAGGGCGCGGGCCCCGCAGCCCAUUCGACGUCUAUAAAGGGAUCGGAAUGUCCAUAUCGUGCCACGUCACUUACGCAAUUUCUUUCAUUUUUGGGGUAACAAAAUUAGGCCUUUUGUCGCGACAAGGGCCAAUCUGCUGUGACUGUGAGCUCUGUAAUCAAAAUGAUCAGCCUGGCAUUUCCGUGAUUGACAGCAAUGAAGAGCUGUUGGGAUUUUUGAGAUGCAUGUUAUAUUUGGAUAAGAACUUUAUUUUUGGGGUAAUUUAUUAUGUACUAUAAACAUUUUUUAAUUAUUAAAUUAAAUUUCAAAAGAAGAAGUUUGUAGUAAUAGAGAAAAUUGAAGUGAAGUAUUAUUUCGGGGAUGUCACAAGUUCAAAUCUUAUGAGUGAUAAUUGUUUCGAGAUUUUCUGUUGAUUAAGCAUUUUUUAAAGUCAGAUCAAUCCAUCAUUGAUUUGUGCAAAUUAGAAAGAUGCAAGAAAAUCAACAUUUCUUGCAAUCUUUUAUUAAUCUUUAGUGUUACUUGGUGACAACAUCAAUGAAUUGCCAUCAUUUUCCGUAGUUGGUAGUUUUGGCGUGUUUGUUUAUAUUUCUUACACACACAGAUUUAAUAGUCAGUUCAGAAAAACUGAGUUGGAGAUCUUUGUAGUAACUAACAUAGAUUGAUAAUCUUUCUAAUUGUCAUAUAGCGGUAAGGAGCGCGUAUAAACCACUUCAGAUAAAACACGAAAAUUGAAAGCAUGAGCAUUUUUCCACAAUGUGAUGAUGGGGAGUAAGAUAAGACACAAGUGCCUCUGCCCAUGAGUUUGAAACUUGUUGGAAACUGAUGCCUCUCAAGAAAAUUGAUCGAUCAUGACAUGGAUGAUGUUUUGUAUAUAUGAAAAUGAGAAAGCAUUGGUCUCUUCCCAACAACUUCACCCCCCGUUUAAUGAAUGCACUAUAGUAAAGUCACCAUCUUCUAGUAAACGUCUUAUCGUCAAGUACUAAUUAAUAUGAUUUUCAUUUUCAAAGAUGCGGCCUAUGUUGUACGGACACGAAAACGCGAUAUAGAACACGGCAAUUAAAAUAAUAAUAAAGAAUUUUGAAUCCUUAUCACUUUCAUUCAUCUCCAAUAUCUUAUUCACCAUACUACACACAACUUUGUGAUUAUAUGCUACAUUAUUUGAUAUUUAUAAUGUUUAUACAUCAUUUGAAAAAACUAUCCUAGUAAAAAUGAAAAAAAAUAAAUAAAAGUCUUUUUUUUCUAAUUAAAUUGAAAAUUAUGAUUAUUAACCCCAAGCGGCCCCUGCAAAACCAGAAGAUGUGUCUCUCACAAAUCCCAAUUGGCCCCCGCAAAAUUCGUGAAAUUGUCAGCUCAGCACCCCUUUCAUUACCAUUUAAACGAGGAUGCCCUUUAAUCUGAAACAAACACUACCAAACUUAAAAUAUGGAAUUCCCUUCGAUUCCUCAAGGCUCCACUGAAUUGAAUUUAUCUCUUGCUCCUCCUCCAACCCAAGAAACAACACAUGAAAAUGGUGUGUUUCCACACUCCACCUCAAGGCUCCACAGAUUUGAAUUUAUCUAUUGCUCCUCCAACUCAAUAAACAACACAUGAAAAUGUUAUGUUUCCACACUCAAUUUCCAUACAGGUUCUACCUCUGUGCAAGCUGCAAAUAUGCACAAUGAAAUCUCAACAACUAUGGUAAUGGCGAGGAGGUCUGACAAGACUGCACUGGAAGAGACCAAUUUUUUCAAUGCUCACUGUGCUGCUUCAGUAGAAAAUUUAGGAUUGCGUCUACUAGCAAGGAACCAAAAGUGUGCUUCAUUGACUGCUUAAAUUGCAUCCUUGAAGGUUGAAGUUGAUGAAUUGCAUAGGCUCCUCAAACAAUCAAACCGACAUAUAGACGUACUAAAGUAGAAAAAUAGAGACUUUGCUAAACUGGAGGAAGUUUUACAGACACGAGUAUCAAGAAGAAACAGAUAAGGAUCUGAGAUGAAGACAAAAUGUCCCCCUUUUGAAAGUCUGUAUCCCCUUUAAUUUUAACGACGCAAAAUAACAUGAAGGAACAAAGAAAAAAAAAACAUAUUUAAAAAAAAAUAUUGUUUACAUUUUUUACCUAUUUUGUUAAAAAUAUUUCAAAUAUGUCCGUGUAGUUUUCAAUAAUUAUGUUUUGACCCCAGUUUUUGUUUUAUAAUUUUCAAAAUGGUUUUUGUCGUGUCUUGACUUCUGUUAACCGUGUCCAAAAAUGUCUUGACCGUAUCCAAAAUGUGUCUUGACCGCUGACCCAUGUCCAAGGCGUGUCCAAUGCGUGUCCGCUUGUACAACACUUCAAACUAAUGAAGUGCCUGUGUUACAUUGGACACGGCAUAUUAUUUUCUUGCGUGACGAGAAAUUUUUUAACCAUCCUUAUGAGGAUAAGGUCUUAAGGUAAACUAGGGAUAACAGUUUGUUAAUUUAGUUUGCUUAGGGAAAUCAUGUUGGGAUCCCAAGGAAUAUGGUGAUAGAAAUAAUGGAUUAAGCCCAAUAAUCGUAGUGUUUGAGAGCUUUUUAAAUUAACCAUAUCUUUUGAGAAGAGAUUUGGUCUAUGGACUCUGGAUGAUUAGCAGACUGAUUGUGUUGAGAAUCACGACAAUAAUAAAAUAUUAUAAUUUGUUUUGAGAAUAACGAGCCAUUUAUUUUAUCAAUUUAAUGAAAAGUGAGUAGUAAAAAAACAAAUCACACUAGUUUACGUCAUUGCAUGUAGAGUUGUAAAUGUGCGGUGGAAAACGCACGUUGCAUGCGUGAAGUCUUAUCUCUCGUGAAUCACGACUUGUGUAACUGUCGUUGCUGGUGAAGUGUAGCAUCUGGCAUGUAAAGAAGGGUUCACUAACUCUUUACUUUACCCAAAAACAACUUUAUCCUUGAUUAAUUUUUUUAAUUGCAUCAUCGUUUUAUAUUGAAUUCUUUUGAGAUUCAUAUCAUUCUAGUGCCUCGAGACUCCACGGACAGGACUCAAAAUUUAUAUGUGAUGUCUAAGCCGACUUACCAAACGUGCCUCAAUAAUAAUAAAAUUGGAUAACAUUGUAACAUAUUUGUGACAACAAAAUUUCCUAUUCAAGAUUGGACGCAAUUCUAAAUAUCCAGUCUUAGCCACAAACGAUUCUAGGCUAGAUCAAAUCCAUCGCAUGUCCAAUAAUUAACUACCUAACACACUUUUAUCAACUAGGUUCGGGACCGGGAGGCUAUAAAUAGGAGUUAAAAGUGAGAAGGAUAUUUGAGGAGGUCAAUCUCACCAUCAAUAAAUGUAAAACAACAUUAUUUUCUCAUUCAUGAUCAAUUUUUAAUGAAAAAAAGCUUAGGGAUUAAAUCUAAAAAUCAUGAUUUAAAGUACAAAAUUCAUUGGCAUUAGAUAAAAAGUUAAAAAAUUAGGGAUUCACCUGAUUUUAUAAGUUUCUUAUAAUCAUGCCUUCAAAUGUCAAAGUUUGCAUAAAACAUCCAACUUAGAGAGCUUUGGUCGAAUUGAAUCACAAAGUUUUGGUUCAUUUGAAUAUUAAAGGUUCAAAAGACGUUUUGGAUGAUUUGAAGAAUAAAAGUUCAAAAGACAGAUUCUGGAGAGAGAGAGAAACUAGAAGAAAGAAGAACGAACCAGAACAAAAAAAAUCUGAAACACGUUAAAAAGAGAGAGAGAGAGAGAGAGAGAGAGAGAGAGAGAGAACCAGAAAAAGGAAGAACAAACCCAGGAAAAAAAAAAAUCUGUAACACGUUUAGGGUUAGGAAAUUGAAAACAGGGGGCCGUUUUCUUCAGUCAAAAGGCCUCCUUUUUUUAUCCUUUCUUUAUCCUUUGUUUGGUGAUUGUCAAAAGGCCUCCUUUUUUAUUUAUCCUUUCUUUCGUCUGAUUGUCAAAAGGCAUAAAGAUUAAAAAUUGAAGUGUAGAUAAGUAAAGGGCUUUUUGGGUUUCUUUUAGAAAUUGGCUGGAAAAAAAAUUGGAGGCCCCAAAUAUUUGGGGCCACUGUGGCAUCGCCCAACCUGCACAGGUUAUUUGUCGCUAGUUAAGCCCAAGAACUCAUGACGAGAGAUUCUAUAAUGAGAGGCUAUGUUGAGGGGUUGAAUAACGCAACACUUGAUCGGACAAUUAUUAAUAACUUUGCACAUUGAACGACUAUUAAAAACCGUCUCAUUAUAACCCGUCACUAUAGAUGAGUCAUCAAAUAUAUGGAGACUUGGACCAAGAGGAAUUAGGCUUGAACACAAUCACCAUAUUAGGAUGGUCGAAUGGACCCACCCACUAGCAAGUUUGGACUGAAUGGGGCUAAAGUCCAAUAGAUCGGUGGUCCGUGGAUCAAUGGCCGUCAAUGACACAAAAGAUAUGGGUCAACUUGGGCUAAAAGUGUGGCGACUAAAUUUUGGGUGCGGAGAGGCAGAAUAUUUUUGGGUUCCAAUGCGAUUACUAGGAACAAGCCCAACAAAAGCCGAGGAGAUCAUUGUCAUUUCCAUUUGGCAAUCUCUCAAUCCACAAAACCCUAGCGUUAUAUGUAGCUCCCCUACAAAAACCACACAUUCACUCGCAAGCUGCCUCCUCCAUCCAAAACCCUAACCCCUCCAAACCCAGAGCGCCGCCGAAGAAGCCAUGCCUCCAAAGUUCGACCCAUCUCAGGUGGUCGAUGUCUACGUCCGCGUCACCGGAGGCGAGGUCGGCGCCGCCAGUUCCCUCGCUCCCAAGAUCGGUCCUCUGGGUCUCUCCCCAAAGAAGAUCGGAGAAGACAUUGCUAAAGAGACAGCCAAGGACUGGAAGGGUCUGAGAGUCACCGUCAAGCUCACCGUUCAGAAUCGUCAGGCGAAGGUCUCUGUGGUGCCUUCAGCUGCGGCUCUGGUCAUCAAAGCCCUGAAGGAGCCAGAGAGAGAUCGCAAGAAGACGAAGAACAUCAAGCACAGCGGUAACAUUUCAUUGGAUGAUGUAAUUGAGAUUGCUAAGAUCAUGAAGCACAGGUCCAUGGCCAAGGAGUUGGCUGGGACGGUGAAGGAGAUUUUGGGCACUUGCGUUUCUGUUGGGUGUACUGUGGAUGGUAAAGACCCCAAGGAUCUGCAGCAGGAGAUUGCUGAUGGAGAUGUUGAGAUUCCCUUGGACUGAGCCCUCUCUGUUUUGGGUUUCUUCACAUAUUUAGUCAGUUUUUUUCAAAUAGAAUGAUUUUCAUAUUUUUGGGUUUUGUUUUAUAAUUUCUCCCAGUUAUGGAUUGAUAAUGCAGCGAAUGUUUUUGAUCAAAAUGCGGAGAUGUAAUGCUUUUAGUGUUAAAUGUCUUUUUUUCCUCUGAUAAUUUCUGGACGUAAAAAGUUUAGUGCUUUAAUGUUGAAAUGCAUUGCUUUUAUGCAACAGAGGAGUUGUGUGGAGGUGGUUGAUGUUCAUUGGUAUGUUGUGGGUUGCUGAUUUGGAAAUGUGGUAUAAUUGUGCUUAAAAAUGGGUGCUUUGAGGUGAAAAUUGAAUGAAUUGUGCACAGGUUUUAAGCUUUGUAUGACUAUAAAGCAUCACUCACUGGUUGAAAGUUGUUCUAUCUGUGCCUCUUGAGUAGAUUAAGGAAUUCCUAUGUUUUCAAUGUAAGCCAUUUUCGAAAACAUACUUGAGGGUUGAAUUAUGAUCAAAUCCGGGUCCGGUUUGUGGAACAAUUGUUUAGGCCAUGGUGUUAUUAGGUGGUUCCACAAAUCAAUAGUACCGUUUAGGUUUGGAGCUUUGAGGUUUCUUGAAAGACCUAAACACCAUUGUGAGCAAACAUGUUUUAGUUUCAUGGCGAGGAAAGGGCUGAAGGGCAUAUGAAGAUCAGAUGUGAGGUAAUAAGGGGGAUCCUAUAAAGCAGGACACACUAGGUAGUUUCUGUUAUCGUAGCAUGAUUUGAAAUUGAUACUAUUUUAAGUCUCACAGAUUUUAGUUUUUAGAUCAUGUUUUCGAAUCGGGGCUUGAAGCUCCGAAUUUAUCCAGUGUCAGUCAUAGUGCAGUUUGUGAAAUGAAUCCUAUGAUUGUUGAAUUAACCUUUCAAACGUUUCUGGAAGGAUAGCUCUUCCAUUUGCUGAUUUGCAUUAGCCCUAUUGUUUAGGUCUAUAUCCACAGGUAUAUUAAGGAAAUUGUAACUCGGUAACAUGCUUCAUGAAAAUACUGUUUGAUUCUAGCCCAAAUAAUUGAGAUGUUUAUAUCAGCCACCCAUUUGAUAAUUUGGUUCGAAGAAAAUGUUAACCGCCAUAGGGCCGGAUGUCCAGAGGGCUCCUUGUCCUUCCGCUUACAGUUAGAUUAGAUGAGUAGUUUUUGGGACCGAAUAAUCACUUGCGCUACAAGUCUCUUCGGCAGUAGUUUUAGUUAUCAAGGAAAAGGCAGAUGUAAGUUACGUUAAUGAGAAGUUUCCUGUGUAACGCAUGGAGAUCAUGGUUUGGUGGCACAGAAAUGGGAAGGGAUAGAAAAUGUGGUGGAUUCAAUUAUACAAUUAUGGUGGAGGGUGUUUUGCUAGGUUCUCCUUCUCAUUACAUUACUUGCACGUUUCUUUAAUUCUUCGGUUUAAAAGAAACUCGGUAAAUGUUGGGUUUGGUCAAUGCCAAAAGUAGGCUUAACCUCAUGUUUUUUAGGUUCUCGCUACGACUGCGGAUUACCAUCAAUCAAAAUGGGACCCUUCACUGAUAAUCACGGCAGAUUUCCUGCUAUAUAAGGGCCUGCUCAUUCAUACCCUUCCCAAGUUCUUUUGCUCUUCUUGUAUAGACAAAAUCUCUUCUUUGAUAGAUCUCAAGGAAAUUAAUUCUCUCUUCUUUCUUGACAUAAGGGGGAAGAGAGGCCAUCUUUUUGCUAGUCAUUUGUAAUUAGAAUCCAUUGAACAGAAGCCCCCCUUUUCUUCUCCAAGUCCAAGCAUAAAUGGCUAAGGAGAUGAAGAAUUUGACUGGAUGGAUGGAGGUUCUUCCAGCCCCCAUCAUUUACCCACAAAAGCCUUCGAAUUCCCCUGGUUUGGAGACAAUUUUCGAAGAGAGCAUCGAAGAAUCUGACGACGAUUCAUAACUUUUUAAGCUCAUCUUGAUUCUUUGGUUAUGGAUCCUUGAUGAUCACAUAUUUGAAAAUGCUUUGCUUUGGAUGUGUCUCGCUACGCCUCGGCAUUGGUUCGGUGGAAUGCUUUGAUCAGAGCUAUGAUCUAGCCAUCUGAAAGAUCAGAAAUGGAUCAGGGAAGCAACUGCAAUAGUUUAGAUAAUGAAUGGCUUCAAUUCUAUCCUCCUGACCAAUGCAGUGGGAGUUCUUCCUCUCUGAACAUUGUCUAAUGAACCCUGUAUUGUAAAUAUGCAAUUACUUUCCGUCUUGUUGUACGUAAAUAUAGUUUCCUAAUAAAAAGUACCAAAAUAAUUAUACGUGUCAGACUAUUGGGAAGUAUGUGUAUUGCUUACGAAACUGUAGCUUGCAGUUACAGCUCUUAGGAGGAUAGUGAUGAUUUGCAAGCUAGCAACAAGACAAUUGAGUGCUAAUUAAAUUAGAUUUGGUAAAUAUAAGGAAUAUCAGAAAUAUUGUACUAAUCUAUUUAUUUCAUCAAAAUUAUUUAAUUAAAUAACUUUUGAUUUAACUGAAUUUUUUCCAAGAGCAUAGCUCCGUAGUGUAGUAUAGUUAGUAAAAUACAAGACGAGUAUAAUACGUACGUAUAUUAUUCGGUAAUUCUUAAGAACAUACGGUGAAAAGUUCAAUCAUUAUAUAAAAUUUAAACUUAUUUAUUCAAAUAGUUUUCUUUUUCAACAAUAUAUGAAAAAUACAGAUAAAAUAUGCGAAUAAUAUGUGUAUUAUUGCAAAAUAUCGGUAAAUAAUACAUAUGUGCGUGAAUAAUACUUUUGCAUUAAAAAACAUUUAUUAUAUGUACAUAAAAUGUUAAUAUUUUUAAAAAUGUAUAUAUAUAUAUAUUUAUAUAUGUGUGUACGUGAAUAAUACACGAAUUACUGUAACCUAGAAAUGGUUUUGGACUCUUUUUUUGAAGGGUAGGUGUGGAUUAAUUGGCUUUAAAGGUGUCGGUGAGGAGGAUGUUGAAAAUUUACGUUUUUGUGAAAACUAGAAGAGCCAAAAAUGAUUGGGAUUUUAGGUACUUUCUUGUAGUGUAUUGCAGAAUUUAAGCAAUUUGGUGGGCAGUCACCAUAGAUUGGAUGGGAUGGGAGCCUUGGACAUUAAUAAGAUUCAACGUAGAUCGAACACUUGGCGUUGCUAGAAAAAUUUGCCAUCAUAGCUAUCAAACGUGUCACAAUUAUUUAUUUAUUCUCAUUUUCCAUGUUCCUCACAUGCCUUGUAACUUUUUUGUGCAGCUGCUGGUGUAGUUUCCUUCACUCAUUUUUCUCACCAAUAUCAUAUGAUUCUUGAACUCCCUAUAAAAGGCCACCUUCUUCUACUUUCCCUUCAACCCAAAUCAUUCUCACAGACUGAAACUGUUUCUAGAAACAAAACCCAAAUCAAGAAUCUGCAACAGAAGCCCUUUUUGUUUGUUUUGAGAGCAACUUCUUGUUCAUUUUCAAGCUUGGAAGCAGCUGAUCAGAGCAGGAAAGAAGAAAGAAGGGUUUUUGUUUUGUUUGAUUUCAAUGGCAAAGGAGAUGGGAUUGUUGGGUUCUUGGGUUGAGGUUGCUCCUGCCCUUCUGAUAUCUCCCAACAAGACUUCAACUUGUCCUGAAUUGGAGACAAUAGCUGAAGAGUGGGAGCUGGAGGCAGAGGAGUAUGAUCAAGAGGCAAAACAGAUUGAAAUUUUACUGAAUUCUUCUGUGCUGAUUAUGUAGUUUUAUUUAUUUAUUUUUGGGGUUUUUUUGUGUGUGAAUUUGUAUCGAAACAAAUGAACAGAAUUUUGUAGUUCAAUGACUUCAAUCUUGUUUGCUACCUUUGGAACUUGGGAGGAGUUAAACUAAAUAAUUUAUUUCUCUUGUUGAUGCAAUUUUAUGGCUAGAUCUUUGGAAGGAUAUCAAGAAGUUGCUUUCUGCAAUUCUGCUAAAAUAAGAGACGCGUAAAAGAUGGCAGAAGGUACACGUCAAAAGUUUAAUAUUCUUCAAGGCACUCAACCUCCAUAAAAUCAUUUGCAGUUUGGUGAAUAAUAUUAGAGAUAUAACUACGUAUCAUAUCAUUUUUGAAGUCACAAUUUAUAGAAAAUAAUCCAAUACAUUUGUCACCUUUCAAUCUGAAAAACCAAAAUAAAAAAUAAAAAAACUUGUUUUGAAUCGAAACUCAACCAAUUCAACAAAUUCCAGUUCAUAUAUUUUUUUGGUAUCGAUAUUACACCUAUACUUAAUGACAUCACUUCUUGCAUCUAUCUCCUAUAAAUUAAUCGAGUGGGCCGAGUGCACUUGGUAACAGAGACAUCCUUCUUUAGUGUGCGUGCGUGGCGUGCUAUACCACGGUUGCAAGUGGAUGUGGGUAUGAAUGAGCACAUAAAUGGGGCUCUGCGCUAUGGUCUUGACUUCUUUUCGAGUCACUGUAAUUGAGAUAGGAAUAGAUUCUCGGUCCUAAGGUUCUAGGCCUCGACCACAAGGCCUUUAGAAUGAGAUGAUGGAUGGAUAGUGUCAUUGAGCUCGGUAGCUUGGUGGUGGCACUAGACUCGGUAGUUCAAUGGGUUCAUAUAUCUUAAGAAAUAUGAAUAUAUCAAAAAAUCUGGAUGGGUUGAGUGGUGCUUAAAAAAUCACUAUGUAAACGGCAAAUAAAGAGACUCUUGUUCACAUAUAAAAUUGACGAUUGAAAUGGGGAAUGCCCAAUAACUCACAACUGUUACUGAGUUUUUGUUAACAAUAUUUACACUAAUUUCUAAGGAAAAGUAUUAAAAACCAUGAACUACAUGAUAAAAGGUUAAAAGGUGUAUUUGAGCAGCUAUUGGGCUUGAUUUGUUUGAUUGGUGCCGGACCUUUCUUUCGUUGAUUUUGCAUCGUUUCAGCCGAGGUAAAAAAUCUUGACAGUGCUCUGACACCCGUCCAAUCACCUUUCAUAGAUUUUAUCCCACGUUAUUGCUUGCGAUUGGCCAAUCUCGACGGUGGAAAAGGUGACCAUUAGCUCAACCUCUAAAUCUUGUACUCUCAGUGAGGCAAUUAUUUCCUUGACCAUAAGAGCAACUCCACCCAUUUGCCCUUAGCCAUGGCAAGGGUGGAGCUAGGGCAAGCACUAUUCACGUGAAUAGUGGCUGCCCUUGCAAAUAGUAAAUUGUGUCUCCACCCGUUGCCCUUAGCCAUGGCAAUUACUAUUCAUUUUUUUGUUUUUUCCUCCUAUUUUUUAAUGAAAAUAAUUAAUUUGGGUAAUAUUUUCAGAUAAUAUUUUUGGGUUCGUACAUAUCAAUAUUUAUUAUAAAAUUCAUAUCUCAAUCGGAAAUUUUUUUGGUAUUUAUAGAAAAAAAAGAGUAUUUUUUUGGUAUUUUUUUUUAAAAAAAUUCAAUUUGUUUUCAUUUUUUUAUUGCACAAAAAUUGGCUGCCGUUGGAUUGGAGAAAAAAAUCUGAUCGGAGAGCUCAGAGUGCGACACGUGGACUUUUAGUGGUACUGUAGCGCGCAGACACUGUAGCAUCACUGUAGCACUGCGGUACUGUAGCGGCACUGUAGCUAUACUGUAGCGAUACUGUAGCACCAAAACGAGGGUUGGAGCUCGGGCCAACCUUGCCCUCGGGCCAGCCCAGGUUGCUGGGUCCCACCUUGCCCUCGGGCCUGGGCUGUCCGCUGGAACACCUUUUUUUUUUUUUUCCUCCCUAGCCUCGGGCUGGGCUGUGCCGCUGGAGAAGCUCUAAGAACAACUCCCCUUAUUUGUCUUUUGUCGGGGUUAAGGCAACUACUAUUCACGUAAAUAGUAGUUAUUCUUGCAAAAAGUAAUUUUUGUUUUCACCCGUUGUUAUGGCAAAGGACAAUUAUUAUUAUUAUUUUAUUUUUUUCACAAAUUUUUUUAUUUUAAUAAUUAAUUUGAAUAAUAUUUUCAGAUAAAAUUUUCGAAUUCCUACAUAACCAACAUCCUUAAUGGUGAAGCCUAAACUCAACACGGUAAUUUAAAUUUUAUGUACCCCAAAAUUUAGAAACUUGAAGGUUCAAUCCCUAAGAGCAACUCCACCCAUUUGCCCUUAGCCAUGGCAAGGGUGGAGCUAGGGCAAGCACUAUUCACGUGAAUAGUGGUUGCCCUUGCAAAUAGUAAAUCGUUUCUCCACCCGUUGCCCUUAGCCAUGGCAAUUACUAUUCACUUUUUUGUUUUUUCCUCCUAUUUUUUAAUGAAAAUAAUUAAUUUGGGUAAUAUUUUCAGAUAAGAUUUUCGGAUUCCUACGUGUCAAGACUAUUCAUAAUCAGAUAAAAUUUUCGGAUAAGAUAUUUGGAUUCAAAUUUCGGAUUAAUUUCAAAGUUCAAAUUUCAGAUAAAUUUUUGGGUUCAAAUUUUGAAUGAAUUUCAAAAUUCAAAUUUCAGAUAAAUUUGGGUUCAAAUUUCAGAUAAAUUUGGGUUCAAAUUUCGGAUGAAUUUCAAAUUUUGAAUUUCAUACAAAUUAGGGUUCAAAUUUCGGAUGAAUUUCAAAUUUCAGAUAUGAUUUUCAUCCAAUAAAAUCAAGCCACAUGGCAUGUCUAUCUUGCCAAAUUUUUCUAUAAAACCAGAGUCUCAGCUCAUACCUCUCACACCACAUCUUUCUAUAUUUUCAUUUCUGAGAGUUUAUAAUUCAUACUUCAUUCAUUCUGAAUGGAAGAAUUUAGGAGAUGCUUGGAGAGACAAGAGAGAGAAAGAAGAGAGAGAAACCGUAGAGCAGAUGAAGUCAAUGAGUUGCAGAGACAAGUCGAUGAGCAAGUUCUCAUAACAGUGGCUUUGGAAGAAGAAGAGAACCAAGGUCGCCGCCAUAGUUCACAAGCCGGCCGCCGCCGGAAUGUGGAAAGACAUAGGCAUUCUAGGGGUAAGAAUCUUUUGGAAGAUUAUUUUAUCCCAACUUCUUUGUACUCUGAUGUUGAUUUUCGAAGGCGAUUUAGAAUGCAACCUCAUUUGUUCAAUAAAGUCAUGCAUGAUAUUUGCAAUUAUGAUGCAUACUUUGUUCAAAAGUGUGAUGCUGCUGGGGUUUUGGGGCUUCUUCCGGAGCAAAAGCUUACAGCUGUUAUACGAAUGUUGGCGUAUGGAGCAUCUGCUGAUCAGGUGGAUGAGAUUGCCCGGAUGGGGAAGUCCACUACGUUGGAGGCUUUGGUAAGAUUUUGUCAAGCUGUUGAAACUCUGUACACUAGGGACUACCUGCGUAGACCUACUCCCAGGGACCUCCAAAGGCUUCUGCAAAAAGCCGAAGCUCGAGGAUUCCCUGGAAUGAUUGGUAGCAUCGACUGCAUGCAUUGGCAAUGGAAGAAUUGCCCAACUGCCUGGCAAGGUGAUUAUGGAAAUCGAAAAGGCCAAAAAAGUAUCAUCCUUGAAGCGGUUGCUGGUUUCGACACAUGGGUUUGGCAUGCCUUCUUCGGAGUUGCAGGAUCACAAAAUGACCUCAACGUGCUGGGUCAAUCCCCCGUCUUCAACGAUGUAUUGAGAGGUCAGGGCCCCAAUGUCACCUAUGAAGUCAACAAUACAGUAUACCAGACAGGAUACUACCUAGCUGAUGGAAUCUACCCGAGGUGGACGACUUUUGUCAAAACCAUUCCAAAUCCCCGAUCCCAGAAGCAAAAAUUAUUUGCUACAUAUCAAGAGGGAUACAGGAAAGAUGUCGAAAGGUGUUUUGGCAUCCUUCAAGCCAGGUGGUUGAUUAUUCGAGGUGCGGCCCGCAUGUUUGAUGAGGAGAUCCUCAGAAGCAUUAUGAUGACUUGCAUCAUCCUCCAUAAUAUGAUUGUGGAGGAUGAGUACGAUUAUGAUGCUUUAGAGGUCUACGAACCGGAUCCAAUGAACACGGCUUUGACACGGAUUUAUGAAAGGCCCAUGGGGCCAAAUGGAGAACCGUUUGAGCCGGAACCGUUGGUGAGGGAUGGUCAUUUGAUGACCCGAAUGAUAGAUCGAUAUACGGAGAUGCAAUCUUCGUAUAUUCAUGAAAUGCGUCAAUUUCACUUGAUGGAGCAUCUAUGGGCGGUGAAAGGCAAUGAAGAUUAAUAAUGGAGAAUAGAUGCUUUGCUUAUGUUUUAUUUAGUAUGGUUUGGUUGUGUUUUUAUUUUUAUUGUGCCUUGUUUGUACUUUUAUUUUUAUUAUUGUGCCUUGUUUGUACUUUUAAUUUUAAUUUUAUUAUGUUUUGUUUGAAGUAUGGAAUAUGUUGAAUAAAAAGGUAAUUUAUUGAAUGCUUUGUUUAUUAAAUAAUGAAAUGUAAUACAAGUCAUUAUGAAUUACUAAUAAAAUAAAAUACAUGAAUUAUAACAACUUUAAUAGAAAACAACUAAAAUACAAAUACAUAAAAGAUAUGCUAACUAAUUUAAUGGUUUCCAUCAUUUAACCAAUCCGUGUUGCUAGGCCCAUCAUCCCGGAAAAGUCUUCUUCUCAUAACAUCCCUUCGUUCUAGCUUCCAAAAUUGUUUUGUUUCAGGGGACAUAUGACUUGUAUUCAUCGCCAUGGUUUCCCGAUCUGUCUUGUCCAUAUCUUUUUUGCGCAAAUACUCCCUUUCACGUGCAAACUCAGCAUCAAGGGCCAACUCGUGCUCUUGGCGUUUUUGCUCCAUUUCUAUUCUUAUGCCGUUUUGCCUUGCAAUUUCCUCCAAAAAUUGUGAAUUUUGAUUGCUUGAAUUACCCUUCUUCUUUGCCUUCGCGGCCUUUCGGCCAAUGGGCCUCGGCUCCUUUUCGAUGGGUGAGUCUUGACUCAUAGGAGAAUCAAGAGGUGAAUCCGAUGUCAUUGAAUCACGGAGUGGCGUCUCGUUUAACACAACCUCCGGACCCGUUGGAAUAAUUACGAAGCGUUUGCAAAAUUUCACCACCUCCCAACAUUCAUGAUGGGUGAAACUUUUUUUGCCACCCCCGGUUGCACCGAACCACAUUUGUGCUUGAAUCAUCUAUUGAACAAAAAAAUGGAAAUGCAAUAAAUAUUUAAAAUAUAUUGGAUAUGCAAGAAAUAUUAACAACAUAUUAAAAAUACAAGCAAUAUUAACAAAAUAUUGAAAAUGCAAGAAAUAUUAACAACAUAUUGAAAAUGCAAGAAAUAUUAACAAAAUAUUGAAAAUGCAAGCAAUAUUAACAAAAUAUAUACAACAUAUUGAAAAUGCAAGCAAUAUUAACAAAAUAUUGAAAAUGCAAGCAAUAUUAACAAAAUAUAUACAACAUAUUGAAAAUGUAAGCAAUAUUAACAAAAUAUAUAUAUAUUAGGAGAUUAAACUUAAUAACACAAAAAUUAUAAAAUACUUACCUCGUUAGUACGAUUUUGCCCACUUCUAUAGUUGUCCAUCGCUUUUGCUAGGGCAUUUCUCCAUUUUCCCAACUCUUUAUUGAGAAUUUUCCACCUACUGGAUAAUGCCAUCUCCGUACGAGUAGACCCCGGAAUUUUUUCACAAAAUUCGGCAUGAAUUUUUUUCCACAUAUGAAAAAAUUUCAUUUCAUUGCCGGACACGGGACAAUGACAAAUUUGGAGCCAAGCCUCACACAAAGAAACAUCUUCCAUUGUGCUCCAAGCCCCUCCGGUUUCGAUAGAAGAAGCCAUAAAAAUAUGAAAUCAAAAUGCUAGAUGAAAAAGAGGAAAAUGUUGUGUAAAAAGAGUGAAUAUUAGUAGAAGUAUAAUGAAAUGUAAGAGUAUUGGUGUUGAAAGUGAAGGGUAUUGAUAGGUAUUUAUAGAAAAAAAUACCAUAAUUUUUUAGAAUUUUUUUGAAUUUUUUUCACCCAAAAAAGCCUCAGCCGUUGGAUUAGAAAGGAGAAGCAGAUCGGAAGGCACUGAGCGCGACACGUGGCAGCCUACCGUUGGCGCUGGCGUCAGCGCUGACGUCAGCGCGCGCUGAUUCAAAAUUUUUUUACCGUUGGCGCGUGCAUUGCACGCGCCAACGGUAAAAAUUUUUUGACAGCCCUAGCUGACGUCAGCGUGACGCCAGCGCUGACGUCAGCACCCGCGUUUUGGACCUGGGGCUGGUUUGGCCUUCGGGCUGGCCCGAGUUUGUGGGUCCCACACCAAACCCGGGCCUGGGCUGCACGCUGGAGCGAAAUUUAUUUUUUUUUCUGCCCUUGCCUCGGGCUGGGCUCCUUCGCUGGAGCCACUCUAAUGCCUAAAGUUUGUUUGCUUUUCUUUUCCGUUAAACUAUGGUCUAUGGUCUUCGCGAAGCUUCUUGCUACCGUCCACCAGGCACAGAACAGACGUCACCACCAGGGCAACAAGACAAAGGUUCAGGACAAUGCCCUUCCUGUUGUUGCACGCGGCCUAAUAAGAGCCAUACAAUUUUGCUGAUAGUUUUGGGUAGGCAUUUUAAUGUCUCUAAUUUGUCUUUCGGUUAUUUAUUUGUAUUGGGGUAAUGUUGAUUAUAACAAAAUUAAAAUUCCACUAAACCGGUUCAUCCGAAACAAUGACUGCUAAUGGGCCGGUGCAGCGAAACGUGGCAGGACGUGAGUGGUUGAGAGCAUCAAAGGUGAGGUGGGUCUUUUGAAUUGGAAACUUUGGAUGGGGCGGUGGUGAAUGGUCGGUUGGCUCACUCACGGGUCCCGCUAAGUCCAUUUUCUCACCAUACUCACAAUAAUCAUGUGAUUUUGACCUCUCCUCCUCCAUUGCGGCGGCUGCAAAGAUCAUGAGACACGUGUCACUCCAUUAACGGUUCAAAGUCUGAGGAGAUUGCUGAUUAAUCAGCUAAUUAUCCACAUCAUCAUCUAGCUUAAUUAGUAUAAUCAGUAUAUGGGUGCCAUAAUUUUGUUUGAUUAUCGAGUUUAUAGUAAACCUUGAAUAUGUGUAAUUACAUGUAAUUCAUAUGUAUUUGAAAUUUUUUUUUUGAGUGUAUUUAUGUACUCGCAAAAGUUUAAACUUAGGACUUUUACUAACAAACGUAUAUACUUUUAGAAGACUUGCUCUUUUAUCGAGUGUAAGGUCUUAAGAUAACUUGCAUAUUUGUGUUAAAAGUUAAAAAUUAGAACGUUUGAGUAUGUAUAUUGUCUCAUAUUCGGUCUAUACCAUCGAGGGUGAGCGAUUUGUCAUAGUUUUACACAACCUUACAUGAAUACGCGAGUAUAAAAACAUGCUAUUAACAAUUUGGUCUAGUCAUUGGUAGGGCUCUAAUCUCCUAAACAGUAGUUUAGCUUAUCCUUUAGAAGUUUAUCGAUCAUUAUAGAGCUUACUGGAAUUGUCUUUUUUUUUUUUUGGGUCUGAAAUAGUGGAAUUGUCUUUAGAGAACUCGAAUUAAACAGAAGAAAAUGUAGGGUCACCUAAAGGAAGAGAAAAGAAAAGAAAACUUGUGAGCUUGAAGCUUUGGACGGCCAACCUAAAGUUUAAUAAUACCACUUCCACUCUCAUUCAACGCUCCAUAUAAACCCCAAACCCCUCCACUUUCCCCCAUCACAAACACCAAACAAUCUCUUCCAAACACACUUAAUUUUCAUCUCUCUCUCUCUCUCUCUCUCUCUCUCUCUCUCUACCUAAGCUAAGAGCUAGCUAGCUACCCAAUUAGCCAUGGCCAAAGACAUUGAAGUUGGUGGAGGGCAACAUAGAUUCUCAGGAAAAGACUACCAGGACCCUCCUCCAGCACCAUUGAUUGAUGCAGAGGAGCUUGGACAGUGGUCUUUUUACAGAGCCAUCAUAGCUGAGUUCAUAGCUACCCUCUUGUUCUUGUACAUCACUGUGCUCACAGUGAUUGGAUACAAGAGCCAAUCUGAGGGAGACCAAUGUGGUGGUGUUGGCAUUCUUGGCAUUGCUUGGGCCUUUGGUGGCAUGAUCUUUGUCCUUGUUUACUGCACUGCUGGCAUCUCCGGUGAGUUUUCAUAUUUGAGAUACUGACAUAGGUUUCCAAUUCACUUGUAUAUUUCUUAACACUAUAAGCCAUGUGUUAUAAUUUGAGUAGAUUAGGAACACGAAAUCGAUCAAACGGAAAAAUUUCUCCAAUUUACAAUUUAGCAUAUGGUUUACUAAUGUGAGCAUUUAUGUAUGCAGGAGGGCACAUAAACCCUGCUGUUACAUUUGGGCUGUUUUUGGCUAGGAAGGUGUCACUGGUCAGAGCCAUAUUGUACAUGGUGGCUCAGUCCUUGGGAGCCAUAUGUGGUGUUGGGCUUGUGAAAGCUUUCCAAAAUGCGUACUUUACCAAGUAUGGUGGAGGGGCCAAUGGGCUUGCUGAUGGGUACAGCCAAGGCACAGGUUUGGCUGCUGAGAUUAUUGGCACCUUUGUUCUUGUCUACACUGUCUUCUCUGCCACUGACCCCAAGAGAAAUGCAAGGGAUUCACAUGUCCCAGUAAGUACCAUAAAUACUUUUAAGAAAAUCUAAAUCCAAUUUUAGUUGAAGAAAAUUGAAUUUUAAUUUCUUAAUCUCUGUUUAUGUUUGGUUAAUUAAAGGUUUUGGCACCACUGCCAAUUGGGUUUGCUGUGUUUAUUGUGCACCUUGCCACAAUCCCAAUCACUGGCACUGGCAUAAACCCAGCAAGAAGCCUUGGAGCUGCAGUGAUCUACAACAAUGACAAGGCUUGGGAUGACCAAGUAUGCACCUUUGACCUUUUUACCAUUUUAAUUUCACAUAUAAAGAAACUUGCUUGACCAGGAAACUAACUUACAAAUUUUUGAUUUUGUGAUUUUUUGUUUAAUCUAGUGGAUCUUCUGGGUUGGGCCAUUCAUUGGUGCUGCCAUUGCUGCCUUCUAUCACCAAUACAUACUGAGAGCAGGAGCUGUUAAAGCUCUUGGCUCUUUCAGGAGCUCCUCCAACAUAUAAUUUUUCAGAGGAUUGGUUGUGUUUUCUGAAUGGAAGCUUGGAAUUUGUAAAUCUGUGUGUACAAGGCACUCAUUUUAAAUGUGCCUCAAUGUUGCUUUCUGCUCUGUUUUUACAAAAUCUCAGUUUGGUUAUUGUGUCAUCAAGAAGUUUUAAUUAUGAGCAAUUACUUUGUUGUGAAUUGUGAUGGAAAACUUUAGUACUUGUUCCAUAAGUAAGAAACGAAAUUAUGAAACCCUCACUCGAGCGCUAAAUCUUAAACCCUAAACUAUAAACCUUUUGUUAACCGUAAAGCGUAUUAUUUCGGUCUCAUAGUACCUUGCAUCUGAUUUGCCAGAUGGAAAAUUAGAGGUAAUGCAACAGCAAGCGGAAUCAACAUAUGUGGCAAACAGUUGUUUGUUGAGGUUCUAAGAGACGGUUAGAAAUGAUGAGGGGGAUUUAUCAUUUAUGCUUCUUGUACUAUUUACUUGUGUUGUAUUGUACUGCUUUCAUUUUUUGUCACGAUUAAAAGGUUCAUAUAAAUUCAUACACAUCAUUUCAACUUCUUUUUCCUGGAAAUUUCUCUUAAUGGGUUAAUGCCAUGACUGAUACUUAUGGUUAAUGCCAUGCCUUAAUUAGCCUUCACAUUGCAUUAAUUAUCCAAAUUAAGAAUUAAAAACUGGAAAAGGAAUAUUUUCUUUUUCGUUUUCUUUCAAUUUAUUCAGAUUGAAGAGAAAAUUGAACCCAUGAUUUGCCACCAAUUAAUGCAAUUAACUUAUCAUAAUUGCAACCUGAAUCUCUUCUUUGAUCACCUCUAUAUAUAAACAAAGAGCCCUCCUCCAGAAUCCACACCAUUCAGCAGCAGAAUUUCACAUUCUGAAUCUUACAAAACAAAAAAUCCUUAACCAUGGCAUCAGCUGAGCUCUCCAAGCUAUGCAUCUGCAUUGUCACAUUGCUCUCUUUGGCAAUGCAUGCUAUGUCUGCACAAACGCAAUCCCAACCCACAAUCACAAACGACGUCAAGCCUACAGAUGAGCAGCUCAUUUCCCUACCUGCUUCAUCUCCAUCUCCAUCUCCUUACCCCGAAAACCUGGCUCCCGAAAGCGGAGGCUAUGUGGUCUCUUUACCAGAACCAGAUUCGUACAAUCCUCCACCACCACCACCACAAGAACCUUACAUUGAAGCCUUGUCCCCUGAAACUCAAGAUGACCAGCUUCUCCCUCCAGACUACUCUCCCUCCCCUGCACCUUCCCUCCAAGAAUACUUGGGUGCUUCCGAUCAAAUCACAGACUACCCUUCUCCUCCUCCUCCUCCUCCUCCAUACACUGAAGUUGAAGCUCCUGAAGGUUACUCUGAGACUUACAGUCCAGUUCAAUCUCAAGCACCUGCACAAUCUUCAAAGCCGGGCUCUAAUGAGUUGCCCUUCAACUACAAAGCUGACUACGAGAGUGAGUUUGAUGCACAAGAUUUUAAUGAUUCAGAUGAGAGUAAGAACAGAGGAACAAUGGUGGGUUUUGUUCUUGGGGCUGUUUGCUUGGUUGGCUUGGCAGGUCUUGUGUACAAGAAGAAGGAUAAGAAGUACACUAAGGCAAAAGCAGAGUAUGAGUAUGAAUUGACUAAGAGAGAGGAUGCUUGAGCUUCUGGCUAGCUUGGUGCUACAUGCAACUUCCAUAGAGGCUUCAAUUAUAUAGUCUAUAGUUGAUCAUCAAGUUUUGUGAUUGAACACCUCCUCAACUACUUGUAUUUGCAUGUAUUAUUAUCAAUUCUUACAUAAUUUAAUUUUUAAUCUAAAUCAAAGGUUUUUUUUAUAUAUAUAUAUUAAGAAUAGUCCAUAUACUGUUCCAAACACUUCAUACCGAUUAUUAUUUUUCAAAUUCCAUCACUAUUAUUCUCAUAUUCUAUUCCACACAUUAAUAUCAUUCCAGAAGUCAAAUUGUGCCUAAUUUUUUCGUCAAAGUUAAGAGUAAUACCGUCAAAUUAGACAAUUUUAUAAUUUUUAGUUAGCAAGAACAGAUCUUACUUACCACAAAUUAAUUUUUAGUCACAAUAGGUUUGGUUCUGUUCUUUAGAUAAAAAAAAUUUAAAUUUGUGCGUGACGCCAAAAAUUGGAACUUUUUAAUUCGCAUGAGCUUGGACAUGGAGAUUAGAUGAUGAACACGUGUAUAAUGUAGAUAAGUUCAGAAGCUCAAUUCUAUUGGGAAUUGGGGGUAAAAAGACCUAAAAACCGAGAAGGGUAUGUCCAAACGACACCGUUUACCGACCUGAGUCCUGGCCCGGUCUGGUACGGUCAUCUCCGUUUAUACAUACACGAAAAAUCUCUCGCAUCUGUGCCCCCGCUUUUUUCUGAAUCUUUCACUUCAACUUCUUAAACCGGCUCAAACUCUCUCUCUCUAUCUCUCUCUCUCUCUACUCUCCAAAGGUACUGACUUUACGUUGCUCUGUCUGUGCUUUCGUUUUGUGUGAAUUAUUUUGACCCAAUUGUCUUCAAUUUGUUUGUAAUUAUUAUGAUUAUGCACUAAAAUCUCUUGAAUUACUUUGUGGAAUCUGAGAAACUCCGAUCUGUUUGUGGUUACUUGAAACAAAUCACCCAAUUCACGUUACUGGUCUGAGUGCUUAAAUCGGUUGCAAGAUUCUUUUGUUCAUUGAUUUUUCAGUUUAGGUUGGAUCUCUGUAUCCAAAUAGGAGAUCUAUUUAGUUUUAUGCAUGAAUUGGGUAAAUCAGAUGCUAAAAAAGAUAAGAUUUUUCUGAGUACAAUUGUUUCAAUGCAAGCACCUGUUUUGGUGUGAAUUUAUGUUGUUGUUUCAGAAGAUUUUUGCUUAUUGCGUUUGGUUUAGUGUUAUAAUCAACUGUUGUAUGUUCCAGAAAGUAUGGCAUCCAACAGGGGUCAAGGUGGAAUUCAGCAACUGUUGGCUGCAGAACAAGAAGCUCAACACAUUGUCAAUGCUGCCAGAAGUGGUAUGUUUUUCCUCUUAGAUUUACUUUUUCUAUUGUCUGUUUGUUUCCGCAUUUUAUUCGCAAACUUGAUGCAUGAAUUUCUGGGUUUGCAUUUUGCAAACAGAAGGGACUUUCUAUUUGUUGCAUUGUUUAUGAGUUGGCCUCUUGCGAAGUUGUGUGGAAGGAUGAAUUCUUGAUUUUAAUCGGAGAAGUUUUAUGCUUCCAACUUCCCUGUUGGAAGAUAUUUCUUGUUGUCCAUGAUGUGGUGUAUCACGCAUGGCGUUGUCAAAAUAUGAAUCAAAAGCGUUAUUUGGGGGAAAUCAUGUAUGAAUUUGCAGUCCUAAUACGUUUUUUAAGGGUUAUUAGAUCGUACGCCAAAAAUUAGCAGUUUGAGUUGCUUCCUAAUUUCUUUGGUGGUUGGUUUUCUGUUUUCUGUUGCUAGCAAAAAUGGCUAGAUUGAAACAAGCUAAAGAUGAGGCUGCAAAGGAGAUUGCUGAAUACCGUGCCCAAAUGGAGCUUGAGUUCCAGAAGAAAGUUGCAGCGGUAUGUGUAUUUUGGUGAAAGCUAUGCAUUGAAUGUUCAUUAGGUCUGGCAUUCUAAGUUUUCCAAUGGCUUGGCCAUGUCAUUUUCAUAUGUGCCUUGAAAUUUCUAGAAAUUGAACAUACCAAUUAUAAAUAUCUCCCCCAUAGUCUUUUUAAUACCUUAAGCUGUCCCUAGACUUUUGUUGUGGAUACAUCUGUGCUAAUUCUGCCCUUCUGCUCCUGUGUUUUCACACGGCCACCAAGCAGAGCAGUGGAGAUUCAGGGGCUAAUGUGAAGCGUCUGGAACUUGAAACCGAGCAGAAGAUCAAGCACCUCUCGGCAGAGGCCGCAAGGAUUUCUAGUGAUGUUGUGCAAAUGCUUCUGAAGCAGGUGACGACGGUGAAGAAUUAAUCCCAUUGAUCGCACAAGUGUAAUUCCAGACUCUUGCAAGUAUUGUAUUCUUUUUGCCUGAUUCAUCCUGGUCUUUAGACUUGUGGCGUUGUGGUUGUUGCUAUCCGGGGAUUGGUUAUUUUAGAAUGUGGUGGAUCACUUUGUUCAGCAAAUAAGCUUAUAAUAUUGUAUCAUGUUCAGAAAACAAUAAUGUUGCAGAAAUUGUUGGGCCUGUAGGAGUGAAAUCCAAUGUUUACAAUUGUUUAUGGAAUUCUAUGUUAUUAUUUAGAUUAGUGACUUCUAGAUGCAUGUAGCACCGGUUUGAACUUGUUUGGGAUUUUAUUUUAUUUUAUUUAUAACUUUUAUUAUUGACUGGGGCGAUAACAUAUUAAACUCACAUACACUACACGAGUGUUUGGACUUGAAUUCAGAACUACAAACCAUUACACUAAUGGAUCAUUUGUUGUUCUGAAAUUUUAUUUCCCAUAAUAAAUCACGUAACUUUUUGUUUUCUUGAAUAAUUUCACCAAAGUUGUACUUUUCAUCCAUACAGAACUUGUUUGAGCCCCAGUUUUUGAAUGGAAGGGUUUGCUAUAUUAACCUUCAAGCUGGCCUAUAUUUUGGUAUCAUUACGACAGGUUCAAAACAGAUCCAUCCAAUCAAGAGGUUAUGGCUAAUGCCAUUGAAGAAUAAUAUGUCGAAUCCAACCCACUAUCCCAACUCAAAAUCUAACGACUCUGAAUUUUUGCACCAGAAAAGGAAUACCAAUAAAGUAAUGCUUCAUAAUUCUAUGUGGAUAAAGAAUAUUUGAUUAUCCAAUCACUCAGGCUAAAACUAUUGAGCUAGUGAAGUAGAUUUUCUAUGACUUUGAGAGCAAAAAGAACUUUUCUCCCCACCCCAGUCUUCUCUUCCAUUUGCAAAAGAGAAUGACGCUUCGUGAGGACUAUCAGUAUGACUAGAUUUUUGGGUUUUGAAAAUGCUACUAUCAGUUUUGCGCGAACGAAUGGAGCAUUUUUGGCUAUUAAUGAAUGUGCUGGGAAUAUAAUCACCUUUUUCUUUCUUGUACUGAAUUAGAAGCACAUAGUUGAUUAUUAAUUUAAUACUCUAAAGGAAAUCUUGGCAUUGUGUUAAAAGUACACUUAAAUCUUAAUAAAGAACAACCCAUGUAGACCAUACAGAGAUACAAUCUUAACAUACUGCAAAAUGCAAACAAAGAAAAUCUAAGAUAAGGUUCAGGGGCAUCAUCUGCCACGGCAGAUCACAUGGAAUGGAUGGGUGCCAAAGAAGCAACUAUGUCCCAUUCAUGUUCACCAAGUAAGCUGCCCCCAUUCUCCAUGCCCUUUGAUUAUUUCUUGUAUUUUAUUAUGGAUCUUGCUGCUUGAAGACUCUCACAAAAUGGGCCAUUGCUUAAAAUGGGGAUAGAGACAAUUGCACAGUUAACAUGGUGGCAUCAUUGGCAGGACCCACCAUUUCAACCCGACGAAGAAAGAUUUUAUUUUUAAUCUCUAAUCGUAACAGUACCGCGCGAGUUGUUUGUAGUUUACGUGUUAUGAUAUAGAUGGAUAAUAAAUAUAAAUAUAAAUAUAAAUACAUGAGUGAUAUUAAGUUAAAAGAGAUCCAUAAAACUUUUUAUUUGAAUUCAUAUGUGAUACUAAUAACAGUCAUAUAUGUGUACACAUAAAUAACUAUCAAUCGUGAAUAUAAUUAAAAUCUACAAUGUAUAAAUUAGAUUUUUGGAUAGAGCAGCAGAUCGUUUCAAAGUCCCCACCUUACUGCUUACUGUACCAACAAGAACAAGUGAUUUUGUAACAAUAGGAUUUGGAGACAAACCCAUUGGGAUUGUUUUAACUGAAACGACAAGAGGACGCAAAUAAUGUAGGGACUUGAAGCAAGUGUUUUUUACCAGAGACAUUAGGGCUGGGGAAUUCCAAAUAGAGGCCAGACAGAUCUGACCUAGCAAUCACGUGAUAUAAGAUCACAGUUGAGAAUUUCUAGGACAUCUUAUUUGGCACCAAAUGUACCAGCACAAAUUACGCAUACAAAAAGCUCCAAAUUUUCUUUCUCAUACACUAUCAAAAUAUUAUAACCGUUCAAACUUAAAAUCAUUGAUAUGUAAAUCAAGACCCUUUUCCACUAUGCUAGACAAUUAACUUAACACCUUUUUUAUUUGUUUAUCUUGGUCAGGUAAUUGGGUUCAAUGAAAAAGCACAUAGCAAUUGGAUUAAUAUAAUAUAUUUGUCAAGUGGGCCACUUUCUCCAUUACAAAAUUGGUAAAUUUCUUUCAACCAAACCCACUUUCUUACUCAAUGGUACUAGUUAUGAUUUUUAAUAGCAGCUUUUCAAUAUGGUCUCAUUCAAUACAUCAAAUGCAGAUCAAACACGAUCUGCACAUGUCUAUUAGAUCCUCCAUUUUCUUCAUUUUUGCAUAUUAUCUUAUUUCAUGAUGUCUUAAAAAUUGUUUUCAAGUGUAAUCUUAUGUGUAUAAGAGCUUGAACAAGAUAUUCUUAAACAAGUUUAUCUUACCACUUACAAAGUAGAAACACAGCAAAUGAAACAAGAUUGUGCGGUUUUGUGCAAUCUGCUUUGCUAUCUGACUGAUAGUGAAGUGAAGUAUCAAGUUAUCUAUCUAAAUAAUUUAGUCAACUUGUGCUUCAUAUUAGAUGCCACCCCAUGUUGGUGGCCUAAUUAUUUUAUAAGAGUGAUGCUAUAUAUUAUAGAAUACCAGAAGCAUUUGAUAUAGGCCAUAGUGGGAAGAGAGAAAAUGAAGCACCGAAAAAGAAGAGUGAAAAUGAAUAAAUGAAAAUCAUGAAAUUUGACCUCAACUAUGUCAAUAUCAAGUAUCAAAAAAGUUUUAAGGAAAAUGUUGGGCAAUGUCGAUAUCAUAGCCGGUAUUCGACACGAAUAUCAACGUUUUAAUUCUAAAUUAUUGUUGACGAUAUAUAUUCGAUACGAACAUGACAACUCUAAAGAGGUGUUAAUAACACGCAUUCGAAACUAACAUGGCGGAUGACAGAUUUGUAGCAAUUGCUUCAUAAAUCACCAAUUAAACAGCUAGCCCAAUUUAUAUAAAGAAGUCAAGUGAUUUCGAUAGUCAAAUCGCACCUCCCCCAACUUGUUUAUGCAUGUACCCGACAAAGUGGCAGACUAAUCCUAGUUUAACGCUAACACAGUAAGAACACAGACUGAUAGAAAACCCAAUCUUCAAGCUUUUGAAGUAAACUAAAAGAAAGAUGGAGGCAAAUAGCAUUAAAAUAUAGUCGGGCGCAGUAACUACUUUCAGUACUUGACGUUCUAACGGUCCACAAAAACACUGUAAAAAUGGCUGCGACACCCACGUUCUUUCAUCGUCACCAUCCUCACACUCACAGCUCUGACUCAACUUCAGCAAAACCAACAACACCAUCACAAACACCAACCGCACCAUGCAAGCUCACCAUCAAACCAGUCCAUGCUUGCGCUGAUCCAAACCCAGGAAAACCAUGCAAACCCACCAAGCCCUUUCUGGGUUCUCUCGCUCUGCACCUCCUCUGCUUCUUCUCCUGCUCUUAUGCUCCACAACCGCAUCUGGCUUCGGAUCAAUGGGCCCCAUCUCUGCUUCUUUUGGCAAAGAUGGCUUUUUUUGUGCCAUAGACGCUAGUGGCAAGCAGGACGUGGUUUGCUGGGGAAAGAACAGCUCUUCAUCUACUCCAUCUUCGGCUUCUUCCUCGGCUUCGGCCUUUCUCAGCAACAUUCCAGCGAUGGCUGCCCUCUCGGGCGGUGAAGGCUUUCUUUGUGGCAUUUUAGCGAACACGUCGCUGGCAUAUUGUUGGAGCUCCAUUGCCCCAGGUAUAGAUCUCGUACCUCCCAUAUUCAAGACCACUGCUUAUUCUCAUAUUGCUGCUGGGAAGAACCAUGUGUGUGCCAUUAGAGGGUCAUAUUACUCUGAUCAUGAGUUUGGUACAGUGGAUUGUUGGGAAAUUUUUGAAACUUGGAACAAAAGUUUGAGUUCCAAACAGAGCACUCUGUUUUCUGGCCACUCUAUUAGCAAUCUUGUGUUCAAAAAGGUUGUUUCUGGUGAAGGAUUUAGCUGUGGUGGGGUUAUAGAUGGAGGGUUUAUUUGCUGGGGACCCAAUUCUUCUAAUCUAGGGGUUUCAGGUCCAGUAGAUAAUUUCACAGCUUUAGCUUCAGGGAGGGCCUCACUUUGUGGGAUUUCAGAUUUUGGUGAGUUGAAAUGUUGGGGUGAUACUGACUUGUUAGCUGGUUAUCCAAAUGGAACCCAGUAUGUGUCUUUGGCAGCUGGUGAGCACCAUUUUUGUGGGGUUCGAGAAGACAAUCAUGGAAUUGAGUGUUGGGGGAUCUUUAACUCUUCUUUGAUUCCAAAGGCUUCCGGAUUCGUGGCGAUUGCUUCAUCAGAUUUUACUACUUGUGGGAUCAGGGAAGAUGAUUUGGUGAUUGAUUGCUGGGCUGCUAAUGCCUCUUCCUCACCACCUGAGUAUGAUCCUCCAUUGGAAUUGUGCAGUCCAGGUCUUUGCACUCCUGGUUUUUGUGGGGAAGGGAAGUUUGCUUUCAAUGCCAGCAUCCUUAAUGAGGCUGAUUUGACAAGCUUGUGUGUUAGGAAAGAUCUAACCAUUUGUUCACCUUGUGGGUCAAAUUGUUCUGAAGGAUUCUUCUUGUCCAGCUCAUGUACUGAACAUGCUGACAGAGUGUGCACAGCUUGCUCUCUUUGCCAAAACAGCUCUUGUUGGGAUAUUUGUGGGCUUCAAACACCACCAGAAAUGAGGAAGAAGCUUUGGCAUCAUGUGCGUAGGUUGGUGAUCAUAUUUGGGUCUUCUGCUUUGGGUUUUUUGUUGAUAUUAGUUAGUUGGUGUCUUCUUCCCCGAUUAACAACUUCUCGAAAAGAAGAAGGGAACAAAAAGCAGUUUAAAUCUUGCAUUGGGAAAGCAGAGUUGGAAGCUGACAAUAAUGAGGAUUCACACCCUUUUCCAUCUGUAGUUUCCUGUCCUGGAAUGGCUCAAGUUUUCCGACUCUCAGAACUAAAAGAUGCCACCAACGGAUUCAAGGAGUUCAAUGAGCUUGGCAGGGGAAGCUAUGGCUUUGUUUACAAAGCUGUGCUAGCAGAUGGACAGCAAGUUGCAGUCAAGAGAGCAAAUGCUGCCACUAUAAUUCACACAAACAGUCGGGACUUCGAAGUGGAAUUAGAGGUCCUUUGCAAAAUCCGCCACUGUAAUAUUGUGAACUUGUUGGGUUACUGCUCAGAGAUGGGGGAGAGGCUGCUUGUAUAUGAGUAUAUGCCCCAUGGGACACUUCAUGACCACCUCCAUGGUGGGCUUUCUGCCCUGAACUGGGUCCUCAGGUUGAAAAUUUCAAUGCAGGCUGCUAAGGGGCUUGAGUACCUUCACAAGGAAUUUGUGCCUCCCAUCGUUCAUCGGGAUGUCAAGUCCUCAAACAUUCUUUUGGAUUCUGAAUGGAAUGCACGAAUUGCAGAUUUCGGGCUCCUUACAUCUAAUGACAAGGAUCAUAGUGGAGAUUUAGAAAGUGAUGUUUACAACUUUGGAAUAGUAUUGCUUGAGAUGCUCAGCGGAAGGAAAGCAUUCGACAGAGAUUACACUCCUCCUAGCAUUGUCGAGUGGGCAGUACCUUUAAUUAAACAGAACAAGGCAGCUGCCAUAAUUGAUCGUUACGUAGCUCUUCCAAGAAAUGUUGAGCCAUUGCUUAAGCUUGCUGAUAUAGCAGGACUGGCUGUAAAGGAAAAUCCUACCGAGCGUCCUGCAAUGUCGGAUAUUGCAUCUUGGUUGGAGCAUAUUGUGAAAGAUGGUUUGACCUUCUAAUUUCUGAACCAGGUCGCCGGAUAUUCAUCAAAGAUGAAUUGAACAAUUUGUGUUACAACUGUUCCCGUAAGUACUGCUCCUCUGCAACUGUACAUCUUACGAGCUUCUUGUAAAUGAAGUUGGUUUACUCCCUCUUUACUCUUUUUUCUUUGUUUCUGAUUUUCCCUUAAUCCUCACAAAGUGAAGGGAACACUAUUUUUGUACCAUUCUACAUUAGUUUCCACAUGAAGCUUUAUUUAAUAACUUUCCUUCUCAUGUAAAGCAUUGGAGAGAAAUUUUUUUAAUGCUUGACCAUGCCCUGAGAUUCUAUCAUUUUGUUACAAUGAUUUCAAGCAUCUGAGACCUCAUUGCCUUUUGAGUGCUUUGCUAUGAAGGUAAUAAUGUCCUGAUUUAGAUUUGUCAACAAUCACCAUCAUACUUCUUAGAUGUUUUUACUGCAAAAAUGCAUUUAUUGCACAAGAGGGAAAUGCUUAAUUAAUCAAUAGUUGAAUUACUUGUCAAAUAUAUGCUGUGAGUCGGAUAUAAUUUCUGGUAACUGACAUGGAAGUGGUGCAACAUUUCGGUGCUCUCAUUUGUUCGACGCAUGUUUCUUGUAGGCACAUGAACACAGAGACUACACACAUUACUAAUUAAACCAGAUGUAAAGCUAAUGCUCCAUGCUACCCCAAAAAGGUUCUACUUUAAACUGCAUCUUUCCUAUCGUUGAAUAUUUUGCUAGCAAUUUUAAACAAAACACCUUGUAGAAUUAAGAAAUGUGAAAACUACAGUGUAUUCUGAAUUGAAUAGAUUGAGAGACCAAUCUCUGUCUAGCAGUCCCCAUUUGAGAAAUGGGAAUCCAACUCAUCCAAGCACUCUAAGACAAAUGAGUUUCAGAAGAGAAAGAUAACCUUAACUUUAUGAUGCACAAAAGAAUGAAAGAUCCCAGAAACUUUAUGGUAGCCUCUGAAAGAUUUUCAACCUCAUCCGUCCCUUUUCCAUUUCAGCUUCUGUCUCUCUCUCGUAGCCCCACAUUACUCGUGCAACCUUAACCAAGUUGAAGACAGAUAGAAAAGGAAGUACCGGCCGUUCAGAUGGAGUGGUUUGUUGAGCUCUGUUUGCUUUAUGCAAGUUGCCAACUCAAAAGCUAGUUGAUAGGUAUAUGAGCCCUGAGGAAAUAGUGGGGAAAAAGUUAAAAGGGAGGUAUAUGAGGCGUAUUUAGUCCCUUUUAUAAGCUUACUUUAUUAUGCCUGAUUUCAGCUAUAGAAAAUGACAUCCACUACUUUUUUUUUUUUUGGUUACAUUGGGAGGAAAGAAACCCCUUGGGGUUUCUAACCUGGGUGUCAAGCAAUAUAAGUGAUAGUCUAAAUUACAAGAAUGAGAUGAUUUCUCAUAUACACACUACCAAGGUGCCAUGAGGUUCGAACCUGAGAUCACUAGUGUGCAAAUUAAGGCUUUUUCCAUUGAGUUACACCCUAUUGGCUUGCAUCACAUAUCUAUGUGCAUGCAUAUAAUGGCAUGCCUGGUUCCCUGUAUGCCAUCUGCUAAGCCCACCAGAAAACUGGCGGCCAAAGUGAAUGGCAUCCAUGGAGCCAUGCAUAUCAUGUGUCAUCUACUUGGGUAGAUAAUGGGACACUACAUUAUAAUAUCAUUUUGUUGAAGUUUACCCUUCUGUAUAUUUCAUUAAAUUUUGCUUUUUCUUUUUGUUAUAUUUACUGUUAUGAUUCAUUUUGGCUCAUAUUUAAACAUGCUUCCUCAGCUACUAAUGUCUCUGCUGCAGUUUAUGAACUUUAGGCACAGUAAAUAACAGAAACAGCUCGAGAAAGUUAAACACCUGAGAAGGUGGCCGCAUUAAUUUAUUGGAGGUAAUUUUGUACACAUCUGUGCUGCAAUGUACUAUCAACAACAGCAAGAAACAAAGUAAAACUACCUCCACAUCCCACAAAUAAUUAACCAAUUUAAAGCCCAAAAAAAAAACAAAACAAAAAACAAAAAACAAAAUUGGUUGUCUUGAGUUAUAUAUCUACAUGACUUGUCCAAUUGGAGUUGGCGUGCAGAUUAUAUACAUACACAAAGACAUCCAACAGAAAACAAUGUAUCUUCUGUAGGCUCACAUGAUCUUCCUGGGACAAGUUGAGAAAAAUAAGCCUUGCAGGAUGGUUAUAAGGACAUCACAAAGUCCUCAGAUCUACUCUGGUUUUGCGUGCUACUGGCUGUGGAGGCUUUGGAGAAAGUGCUCUGAUCACAUGACUGCUGUUGCCCCAUUUUGAUUUCCAUGAUAUCAGAAAUAAGUCCCGGUUCUGAAAUCUGAGAAUCUUUUAUGUCUACCUCACCAGACAAAAUCUUAACAGCCCUUGACAUUGGCGGCCGGAGCUUGGCCAUCUCUUGCACACAAAGAAGGCCUAAGUUUAAGAACCGGACGGCUUCAUCUUCAGGAAAGUUCAUUUGAAGGGUAGGAUCAACUAAUUGUACAAGAUUACCGGCCUUGAAUGCUUCCCAUGCCUGCAUAUUCACAAACAACGUGGCUUCAGUUCUGCCUUAUGACAGAAUAAAAAUGCAUGGCCAAAGCGGGUAGUGAUAAAUUGCUCUAAUUUGCUUACCUUCUGAACCAGGUGAUGCUCCCCAUGUUCCAAGUCGAAAUCCACAACUGCACGGCCGCUGACAAUUUCUAACAGCAGUACUCCGAAGCUAUAAACAUCUGAUUUUCGCGUCAAACGCCCACUAAUUGCAUAUUCUGGAGCAAGAUAACCUCUUUUGGAUUAUUGUGAGACACCCCAUUAGCAUGCAAUAGCAUUUCAGAUAAUAAUCCAAAGGCAGAGAAGCAUGAAGCAAGAAGAAUUUGCAAUUUAACAACUUACAUUGUCCCUGCUACACGAGUACUAAUGUGAGAAUGGUUGUCUCUUAACAGCUUUGAUAAGCCGAAGUCACCAACUUUUGGUGUGAAAUUCUCAUCAAGAAGUAUGUUACUGGCUUUAAUGUCUCUGUGCAGAAUGUGAGGUUCAACCUCCUCGUGCAGAUAGGCAAGUCCUCGAGCUAUCCCUAAUGAAAUAUGCCUCCUUGCAUCCCAACUAAAUCUCAUCCUGUUCUGCUCUCCACCUGUUAAUCAACAAACAUUAUUACACAACUUGCCUAAAAAUAAUAGUCUUUCAUUUGCAUUCAUUGUAGCUGUCAAUAAUUUUCUUCAGAUACAUAACAAAAUCUCCUAAAAUAAACAAAUUAAUAUACCAAUAUGAGAAAUUAAAGUCUCCUAAAAUCAUAUUCUUUCAUUUGCAUUCAUUGUAGCUGUCAAUAAUUUGCUUCAGAAAAAUAACAAAAUCUCCUAAAAUCAACCAAUUAAAAUACCAAUAGUUAAAAUGAGGAUCAUUAAGGUAAUCAAAUUUAGAAAUUAGAAGCAUAGGUUUACCAAGUAAAGUGUGUGUGAGGCUAUUGUUUUCCAUGUAAUCGUAGACCAAAUAUCUGCCAGCUCCAUCAACACAACACCCUUGAAGCCUAACAAGGUUUUCAUGUCUGAUUACAGACAGAGUAGACAAUUCUGCAAUGAACUCCCUCUCUCCUCUCAUAGAUUCAAUUUCAGUGGAAAGCACUUUUAUAGCCACAAGGCUGCCAUCUCUAAGCCGACCCUUUAAAACUCAACCAAAAUUUAUCCCAUAUCAGCAAAACACAGCUAAAUUACACACACAAGCUAAACUCAACCAAAUUUGCAGAAUUUCUGUUUCAGGCCAAGAAAAAAACCUUAUAGACAGAGCCAAAGCCACCUUCUCCAAGCUUUUUUGAGGAAUGGAAGCCAUUAGUGGCAGACUUCAAUUCCUUGGAAGAGAAAAUUCUGAAGCUUUCUUGAUUUUCUCCAUCUGGGUAUUUACCAAGUACAAAAAAGCAAUCAAGAACACAGUAAAUCACAACAAAACCCAAGAAAAACACACAAAACACAGAGGCAGACAUCUCAUUGAUACCUUGCAUCCCGUUUUCCACGACCUUUUCAGGUGAGGAGAAGAAGCAACUUGUGCAGGGAAUUGAGAACUUCAUUUUGCAGCUCUGUAUUUCGCCCAAGGUAAAAAAAGGUAUGUACUUGAAAGCUAAAAUCUUGAAACUUUGGCCUAAUUAAAAUGGAUUAUAGUUUAUAGAGAGUAACCCAAGAAACAAUAAGCUUUGGGAAAAACAGAAAUGGAGGACGCAGAAUUAUAAUUAUUUUAUUGCCCGCGGCCUUUGACUUCAGACUUUCUCGUAGUUUGAACUCAGUUUUCCAUCAGAAUUUUUAUAUUUCUUGUUGGGAAGGGGUCUCUGUCUGUCUGUUACUGUACGUAAUUUGGCCUCACCCACAUAUUUGGUUGAAGUAAAAUUAUUUGCAUUUAUCAUGGUUUAGUUAGUAACCAACUUCUAUUAUUAGUUUCAUUAAAUGGAAUUUGGCCUUUUAAUUAUGUUUUAAAUAAUAUCUUAUGGACGCGGUAUCAACUUAGGGCUAGUUUGGCAUUGUUGUGUUGUGAAAAUAAUUGUUGUCAGAUUUGCUAUAAAAGAAAUCAGCUGUGAAAGAAAACAGUUUGGCAUUUGGUAAAUUUUUUGUUAAUAGUGUUGUUGAUAUUGAUUUCCGCAUAAUCAGAAAAUGAUUCCCGCAUAAUCAUUAAACUCAGCACAUCUUCGAAAUUGAUUCAUGCAUAAUCAGAAAAUGAAAGUACUUCAAUAACUGCUUUCCAAUAUAGAUUUCUCUUACAGUAAUUUUUAACAAUAAGUGAUUUUUUCAUAAUUUACCAAACGGGCUGGGCUUCCCAAAUUUUUUUUAAAAUCACUUAUCACCCCAAAUAAGUAAUGCCAAAUGGGCACUUAAUUCAUCAAGAAAUAUUGACUUCAAAUUGUAUUAGGUUUAGAUAAAAAUACAUUUCAUGCUGACAUGGGCUUAGAUAAGUUGGCUAGAGCGAAUGUACCCCCCACUCUGCAUCCAAGUUCAAAUCCUCCUCCCUGUAGUUUAGAUUAAUUUAAAGUAUAAUAUCACUUGUAGUUUUAAAAAUAAAAAAACCACAAUUCAUUGGUUUAGAAAGUUAAAUGUCUAACUGCCUAACAUCAACACGCCUAAAAAGGAGAAGCAAGUCAUAUUACCAAAACGUGCAAAGACAGUUAGGAGACCAAUUGUUAAUACUGAUUCUUUGGAAACUUAUACGGAAGGAUUGAAUCAGCCAUCCCUUUUACCCUGUUUUUCUCUCCUAAUUAACAAUUCCUUCCCCCAGAUUAUGAAAUUCUAUUGACAACAUUAUAAUAUGUUGAAGAGAUCGUAAUUUUCUCACAUGUUUCAGACGAUUACAUAACGUGCUAAUGUGUAGAAAGCCUACUCUUUAUUUCUAGUAUUUAUUAAUGUUAACAUAUUUCUUCUUUCUUUCCUUUUUUUCAUUUCUAUUAUCUGUUUUUUUUAUUUCAAUAAAUAUCGUUCAUGACUUUAUUUAAUAAAAUGAAAAGUAUGCAUCAAUAAAAAUCACUAACUUUACAUCAUGUGAUUAAUUCAUGAAAUUAAAUGUUACCAAAAAAAAUGAGGUUUCUCUAGCAUUACUCAGACGGCCGUCAUCAUCGUGCCGAGUCAAAGCACAGUCAUGGUGUCAUGUGGCAAGUCUGUCAACUUCAUAUGACAAAAACACCCUUGUCUACCCAAUGAACAAAGUACACAAUCAUUAACAAACCUGGCUUGUGUUGUGUGUUUAUAAGAUAUUCUUGUUCACACAUUUGAAUGAAUCAAAGUUUGAAAGCAGGAAUGGAGUGUUGUCAACAGUCUCUCGUAGAUGGUUCACAUAUCCAAAAUAUUUAUGUUUGGAAGUUGGGACCGGUCUAGUAAACUAGGAGGUCUAGUCUAUGGUCUAUGGUCUCUUCGACACCAUAUCUAAUAUCUAUCAUACACGUUGUGGUCUCUUGUUGGACAGUACAAAGUCCUACCCUACACGGUGGAAUUGAUUUUAUAAAGAAUCGCAUCGAAAUGUUUCAUUAUUUAGUUUGAAGUCAAAGAAGUCAAUAUCCGCCAAAGUAAUGCCAAUUUGGUAUAUGAAUGUGCAAGAAUAAGACCUUUCAAGAAUAAGAAACUUCGACAAAAUUUUGAUUUGAUCAAUUCUAUCUCUUUUGACAAAUGACAAAAUUGGCUAGACCAAAUUUCCACGCCAUUCAAAUCCAUUAUGAAUCACCCUUCUUUAGCCCAAAAUCCUCUUGGUUUUGAGUCAGAUAUUUAAGUAAAUUGUUGAAUUUGUAAGCUCAUUACCUUUAUCAAUUGGCCCACUAAUAGUGUGCUUGUUAAGAAAAAGGAGCUAUGUGUAUGUAUUCGUUGAAAACACGGGAAAACAUGUUUAAUGUGUUCUCAGUUUUACACCGUAUUUUUAUUUCGUUUCUUUAAAAUAGUAUUUCAUGUUUAAAAUGAAAAAAAAAAACCACCAAAUAAACGCCUAUCUAAUGAAUUUUGGAUUUAGAAAAUAGAAAAGGGGCUUGGAAAACAUACCAAACGCCCCUAAGUACCCUCUCGCCAAAAUCUCCCUCAUUGUAAAAGCUCCCAUGAAUUCAUGAUAUUCUGGUCACUCUUAUCAAGGGAGACAAUAAUAUUCUAUGUAUGAAUUCAUGAUCAACAAGGCAUUUAACACACUUUAAGAUUCUAUUCUCACACACCAACUUAGCAUUUUGGAUUAUUAGUUUGGAUGGCUUUAAUUACAAGAAGCAGUUGAAAUUCCCCCCUUUCUUUGUCACCUUUUCCUUAUCCUUGGACCUUAAUUGGCUUUCCUUGCAUCUUUUGUUGAAACAGACCUAUACAAAUGAUACAUUACAGAAGAUAGCCAUCAAAAUCGACACUCAAAAUCAAGCAUAUCAUAUAUAAACCCCCUUCAAUUAAAUUGGUUUUCUUGACUUUUGUCCAACGAUAUUUAUCUUUAUGAGAUAGAUGAGGGAUUGGAUAUGCCAUCGUCUUCAAAUUACACAAGUAGGUUUGUUGUCAAGUCUCAAUGUUAGGUUGCUUGUUUAGCAAGGAAACGAGUAAGCCAUGUAAUGGGAUUAGGUAUCCUGAAAAAAAAAAAAGGAUAAUGCAUGGGUCUAGAUAUUAUAGUGGACUACACGUGUAAGGCAUAUAACAUAUCCCUUAAUAUUCUACCACAAGUGCAAAAUUAGGCACAAACAGCCUUUGGGUAAGUUUUUUUUGCUGGGCUUGUAAAGAUGCUGAUGGAGACUGGUUUUGACUUUCAACAAGGUAGAGUUUAACUAGAGAUGGUGAAAUAAGUGCUGCAUAUUACUUAUCUCAGUAAUUUAUACUUUAAUGGUUGCUAUCAGGAAAAAGAAGAUGGUAAAGGUAAUAAAGAUCAGAGAGUAAUAGUAAAAAAUGGAUUUUAUUAUUUUGAUGUAAAACUUUAACUUGGUUGACGACAACGAUAUUCAUGGGAGUGAUUUUUUUUAUUUAUGAUUUUGUAUGUAUUGAAAUAUGUUAUAAAAUCACAUAAAGAUUAUGUAUGCAUAAUAAUACAUAAUUCAUGACAUGGGGAGAUAAGGGGCAUGCAUCACUCAAAAUAUCUCUUGUGGGGUGGGGGUGUCAACACACUUGGACUGCCCAGUUGCUUGUAAAGUGGGAACCACAUUCCCCUUUGUCUAAAAAAGAUAAAAAUUUGUAUGUUACGGAAUAACAUUGUUUUGUUUUUUCUAAGUAAUCACGUUUUACUAUGAUGCGUGAUAAUGAUUUCAUAUGAUUAGAUUUGGGUAGUAAAAUAGUGUUAUCCUCAUGACAUAUACAAGUUCUUUUGGAUCACAAAUGCAUCAUUUCUCCUAAUUUAUUUAUAAAGACAUAAUUUUCUGUGAAAUUUUCAAUUCUUAUCAAGAGAAAAAGAUGUCAUUGAAUAUCAAUAUGAUAGUAAUUUUCAUUUUAUGCCCAUCUCCAAUGCAAACAAAUUGACAUCAUCAUUCACUGCCUCGAUAUGAAUAGCAACUUGGCAACCAAAAUCAGGCAUAUCAUGAAUCAUGAGUCACAUGCCCAAGCAAGCCAACUUGUAUUCUUCUUCCUCAAGACAAUUGCAUACAUGCAUGCAUGGUAUGAAUAUGAUGCUAGCUUCAACAUGCGCAGAUAUAACAUAUAUAUGUCAAGUACACAGUUAGAACUUGUCCUUGCAAAAUCAACUUACAUUACAUAUUCCGAAGAACUCCGGGCAACGGGAGACUUAUGCGAACACUCGCCCAGAGCGUUAAGGUUGGAGUCACUCGACACUCCCUCUCCAUGCAUGAUGCACGAGAACAGAUACAAAUUAAGCUCGUGAAUAGAGUUUAUUCUGGCAAUUACAACCUCUUUCAUGUACUUAAUCUUAUCUUCUUUCUUCUUGGUCUGAGGAAUUCAUGUGUAAUCUAAUAAAGUUGAUACACACACAGAUUAGAAAAAGGAAAAAGCUGUUAGCUUUAGCUGUGGAGCAUAAACUCUUUCUGGUCUCAAUUUCCAUCAUCUCAUAUGGAAUUAUGGAUGGUGUUUUGGGUGGAGCUUUACGCAACCCAUUCCACCCAAUCUCCACCCACCCAUUAUUAUUACAUAACUCUACAAGAUUCCUCUCUCUCUCUCUCUCUCUCUUAUUUAUUUAUUUAUAUUUUAAGUCCCUUUCCUAUAUAUUAUUAUUAGUUUUUUAUUUAUUUUUUUAAAUUUUUGUACUCCUCUGUUAGUAUCCAAAUUUCUCUUUCACUUGGAACAGCACACGAACAGAAAAACAAAAACAAAGUUCCAAUCUUUCACAUCUUCUCUGAGCAAAAAAAAAAAAAAUUUCUUUCACAUCUUCUAAAUCUGUCUGGUAACACAACAUAAGGUUUUCAGGCUGAAUUUGUUUGCUUCCCGAGAAAAAUUUCAACACCACCAAACCCAACAUGGGAAACAGCGGCAGCAGAAGCAACGGCGCCCGCCGGCGACAUGGGGCCCGCCAAAACCAUCCGUCUCCGCCGCCUCCCGCGCCACCUCAGCCCGAAAUCUCUCCAAACCGAUACGUAUUCGCCGCGGCUACCCCGUAUCCGACUCAGUACCAGAACCAUAAUCCGAACCCGAACCCGAACCCGCCACAGUACUACCCGGGCUACUACCCGCCGCCGCCUAUGCCGAUGCCUUUGCCUGCUCCGUACGAUCAUCACCACCGUGUGCCCCACCCGCAUAUGGACCCGGCCCAUCCAAAUUGGGCCGGGGGCCGGUACCGGUGCGGUCCUGUAAUGCAGGCUCCGACGCCGUAUGUCGAGCAUCAGAAGGCGGUUACUAUAAGGAACGAUGUGAAUCUGAAGAAGGAAUCUCUCAAGGUCGAGCCCGAUGAGGAAAACCCUGGAAGCGUCCUUGUCUCUUUUACUUUUGAUGCCACGGUUGCUGGGAGGUAUCAUAUGAAGCUUAAAGCUUUUGUCUUGAACUUGAAGUUUGCUUUUUCACUAACUUCUGUUUUGUUUCUGCAUUAAAUGCCUAAUUGGGGGCUGAUAUUUGGUUUUAUGUGGGAUUAGCUUAAUUGGGCUUUAUUGUUAUUGGUUUGGUUGUUUUUAUUUUGUUGUGUUAGCUUGGACUGGUAGAAUGUGGAGAUUGAACUUGUAGGAUUGAGACAGUUUGGAAAAGUAGCAGUUUAUUGGAUAGUAGAUUACUAGUUAUGGAAGUUUGGAAGACAAUUUUGAUGAGAAUCCAAGUGUUAUUGAAAAGCAUAUAACUUUCAUCACCAUUCUGAAGUGAUGAUUGCCAUUCUAGCUUGAUCCAUUUGUAUUGCUUCUGAAGAAGGCAAGAUGGAUAGGUUAACAGGAUGGAUAGGUGACUUGAUGGUGUGUACCAAUGAUUGAUUUUGUUGGUUUUUCAGUUCUAAUUGUUUCCAAAAGCUUAAGCUGUUAGGAUGCGAGCCAUUUUUUUUUUUAUAAAUAUUCUAACACUCUCCCUAACAUGUGGACCUUUCCCUACCCCUAAAGAUCCAAAUGGAUGAAUUUUAACAUAAAUUCUUAUCUUUCAGUUUUCAGGAUUUGAAUCAUAUUCUAUGAUACUAAGAUAAAUGUUGUUGGUUUACCAAGGUUUUUGGAACUGUGGCAAACCAACAAUAUGUAUCAAGUGACCUUCAGUCAUCUAUGAUCUCAGUGAUGAUUAUAGUAUAUAAAAUAGGUAAAAUUGCCUCGGGGAACAUUUACUGAAGUGAAAGGGCAUAAGUGUCUAGAAAAUUCAUAUGGGAUAAGAGCGUGAUUGGUGACAAUGAGUUGUUUGCUUUUCUCAGUAUUAUCUUUUAGCAAUAAGGAUUUGUGGAACUCGUUUAUAACUGGUGAAUAGGGAUUAAUGAGGGUGUUUACCUCAGAAAUGUCGAUUGGGAAAUAUAAGAUGAUGAUGUGAGGACUUUAGGUUUCUAUAUGGUUUUGGUGGUGUUGAGAUAUAAGAAAUUGUUCUCAUAUAUGUGGCCAUCUAAUCUUUCAGCUCGGUAUAUUCUUUUGGUACUUAAAUUCCACAGCCUAGUAUAUUUCCCUUGUUUGAGGUACACAAGGAAUGAUACUUUAUGCAUCACAGAUCAUACUCAAAUACCAUGCUGUGAUGACAUUUCCAUGUGGAAUUGUAGUAGUGGUAUCUUUUUUUGGCCAAGGUGUUGAUAACUCAUUUGAUUUACAUGCAUAACUGUUGGAGGACAAGGCUUUAUUAAGAAGAUCCAUAAAUUUUUAUGUUCUUUAACAUUAUCUGAUCAUCUGGUUAUUUUUAAUCUUAAUAUAUGGCUCUGUGAAACAGCAUCACCAUUAUCUUCUUUGCGAAAGAAAGUGAGGACUGUAACCUGACACCAACAAAGUCUAACCUUCCACCUGUGACGGUACAUUUUCAACAAGGUCUCGGCCAGAAGUUCAGACAGCCCUCUGGAACUGGAAUUAAUUUCUCAAUGUUUGAGGAGACAGAAUUACUGAAAGUAACGGACUUGGAUAUCUAUCCCAUAGCUGUAAAGGCAGAGGCAUCCUCACCUAACCAGGAUGGGUCAGAGGGAAACCCUGUAUCUGUGACAACGAACUCCCAGAUAACUCAGGCCAUAUUUGAGAGGGAGAAAGGUGAAUUCCAGGUGAGGGUUGUCAAGCAGAUUCUUUGGGUGAAUGGGAUGAGGUAUGAACUACAGGAGAUAUAUGGCAUUGGUAAUUCAGUUGAGGGUGACUUGGACGGGAAUGACCCAGGAAAAGAAUGUGUCAUUUGCCUGUCUGAACCACGGGACACAACUGUUCUUCCAUGCAGACACAUGGUAAUCAUACUUCCCUGUUCUUCUUUUCAAAGUUUGUCACAAUUGCAAAUGGAAUGAGCUGAGGAUCUUUGUAGGUUUUAAAAGGUUACAUUAACGUGCUUCCAUCGAGUUAUCAUCUUGACAAACUAAUGAAAUUCACUCAACAUGAAUAAGAAAUUCUUCUUGGCUGAUUAUUGGUUGGAUUUUCUUUCUUGCUGCAGUGCAUGUGCAGUGGGUGUGCCAAGGUUUUGAGAUUCCAGACAAACCGUUGCCCAAUUUGCCGACAACCAGUUGAGAGGCUUUUGGAGAUAAAGGUCAACAAUGGUCUGGAGGAAUGAGAGGAUGUGUUCUGCCACUAGCAUUAUGUAUGGUUAAUGGCACCCUCCUUCCACACCCCCUCCUUUCUUCCUCCUCAUUUAUUUUUCAAGAAUCAAAAAGGCAAGUUAUAUGCUGUAUGAAGUGUCAAGUGGCAAUGCUUCAUAAAUAUACAUGUUCUACAUUUGGUUUGCUUCUACUGUUGUAAUUAUUUCUUUCAAGAAAGGUUAAUGUAGAUAAUCAUUUGCAGUAUUUGGCACAAAUUUUCCAGUUCCAACUGGGCAAAGAGAAGUAUAAGACCUAGUUUUUUUCUUGUCCAUUUUACUUUUUUGGGGGGUCUGAAGUGAGUUUGUCUUAUCACAUUUUUGUAGUUUCCACAGGUGAGCAGGUAACUUGAGGCUUCUAUGCUUUAAGGUAAGGUGAAAUUACUAAAUCAGGCACUUGCCACUGACGGCAAAACAGCUUAAUCACAAUUUAGCAAAAGUCGAAGAGAGGUUUCAUUAUCAACUUUUUGUGGCCAUAUAUGAAUCAGUGAACUUAAUGGCGCUAAAUAAUUGCUACUAAUGACAACAAUUUAGUGCGGUAGAUCGUCUAUCACUAUCAUUAUUUUAUAUCAGCAAACAUGGAUGGAUGUGUUAAGUCUCUUAAAGCUGCCAUGGUCCCUUUUUUUUCAAAGGUCGUCUCCAAGUGUGCAUUUUCAAGUAGAUUGUGAUUGGCUUUCAAGAGGUGUGAUUUUGGUCUCCUAGUUUUCGCUAAGUUUCAUUUUGAUCGUUGUGGUUUCAAUUAAAUGACUUAAUUUUGUCCAUUUCUUCAACAUAAUUAGCCUGCUUGCGAAAUAGGAGAGGGUAAAUUGGCCUUUUGGGAGGUAUAAAAACGCCACCCACACACAUGCUAAUUCCGUUGAAAUAGUGGCUGAGUUAAGCCAUUUUCCUCACAUUGCAACAAUCAGUAAACUACAGAGGUUAAAUCGCGACAAUUGAAACUAUAUGGAACAAAGUGAAACUUCACUUGAAACUAUAAUCAAGCUUAUGUGCAGUUUUGGUUCUACAUUUUAUGUACAGUUUAUGUUAGUCUACUUCUUUCUAACGGUAAAAUGGGUGUAUCACUUUCUAGUGUUGAUUGUAGCCAGUGAAGUCGCUGAUUGUUUCAAUCCUCGAGCAGUUGUAAGCCCUGAAAUAAUGCCAACAAAGUGGUCAUACUUAAGCCAGGGUGAGCACAAAGGCGAGGGCCAAAAAACAAAGCAAAGAAACUUUGCAUUCAUUUGCAGGGUAAAAACAUGAAGCUCAUAACAAAGUCCAUCACCACGCUGUGCUUACGGCAUAAACAAAUAAUUAUAAGAAGAUAAACAGGAGAUUGAAUCAGAUUAAGGGUUAAGUCUUCCUUCCACCACUUUAAGCAUAUCAAGUUCUUCGGCGGCGGGGCCUAGAAAGCAUUUCUAAACGAGUUUUCAAGAACAAGAAUCAAAGGCAAAUCAUAUAAAACACACAUAGAACAUACGAUUAAUAAGUUACCAAGUUGGAAAGCUCAAAUGGCCAACCAAUCAUGAAGCAACAACUUGGAUGUUUUUCAUCCUACACAAAGUACUUAAACAGUACACACCACACAAGAUAACAAUGGUUGUUUAUUUUAACCUAAGUGCCCAACCAUUAAAGCAACUUUUGAUGUAGGGACUAUUAAUGUCCCCCACAUCCUACAUGGUAACUUACCGAGUUCAACAACAACAUAACACAACAGCACGGUUGAAACAUGAUCAAACCCAACAGAUCACAGAACAUCAACAGGGUUGCCGUCUCCCCACCACUGAUGGACAAAGACACCACUGCUACGGAGGCUUCCGAAGAUGUCCAUGCAGUCCACCGGCAUUGCACCUCCUGCAUCAACACUGCCGGAGCAAUGAAGAAACAGCUCGUCUACAAAGCAUAUGGCUCCACUUUCAAACAGCUCCGUGAGGAACUUCAGUUCUACAUUCCCUGCAUUCAUCUUUAGGACCACGAAAUCUGCAAACUGCACUGUUUCCUUAAACCAGGCAUGGAAAUCAAACCCUUCAUCUCCCACAUAUGGCUCUGUUUCUCCAUCAGUUGUAACAUUGACUUGAGCCUUAAUUCCAGCCAGCCCUGGAUGAUAAACAAAGGUGAUUCCUGGCUUUUUGACAUAGGACAAUAGAACAGAAGUGUUGUGGUCAACAAAAUAAGUAUGGAAAGCUUUGCGUUCGACGGGAUAAGAGGGCAGGAACCAAUUUUUAGCAUUUGAGUUCAGGUGCUCCGCUGCCCCAAUAUCAACAUAGACCAAGCGCUUCUUUGAGGAAAGAUCAACAAUAUUAGGCAAAUAAUUGAACUUCUUUCCAUAAUCGACUGGCUUUUCCUUCACAAGAGGCUCCAUUUUCCCAAUGAAAGGUCGAUUGUUUGUGAGAGAUUGGCAGUCAGCCGGAAGGCGAUACUUCUCAAAAAGCCCUGCAUUUUCAUAAUUUUUCUUGAACACAACCAAAGUGAAGUUACCGAUGUGGUUAACAUGCACAACGCUGGAACUUUUCAAUAACGAAGAAAUUGGGGUGGCAGACCUAAUCAAGCUAUUCGGGGCGGAAAUGCUGCUACCCACAAGUAUUGCCCCAAUCCCACCAGGGCUAAGUACACGCUCGAUCUCGAGCACAAGAAGCGCAGGGACAGAAACCUUAUCUAGAUCCCUGGAGAGCACAAAAUCAAAAGAUUUGUCCUCAUAGUCAAUUUCGUAAACGAACUGUUUGCGCUUGAGUGAGAAGAACCGGCGUUCAUAAACACCACGAGCAUUGGGGAAACCCAAAUCUUGCAACGCCAACACGGUUGAGGCGGAGCCUUCUCCAAUACAGAGAGCUUUUGUACCAUAAUUCAAUAACUGCUUGCCCAUAAGCUCUCUGACCACACUGACAGUCAAGUUCACAUCUUGCAUGCACCGGUCCGAAUCAAAAGAGCCCCAAAAGGGAUUCAGGUAACGACUCUGAAAGUUGAACUUUCCCGGGGCCAAGUCGACAUGGGUAUGGCCCAUUUCGGAGGCGCAGUCACCCGGAUUCACAAAAGUGAACAUUGUUAUAUAGGGUCCUGACAAAAUGUGAAUCAAGGGUAUAACGGACAUGGCAGCGGCGAUAAAGAAAGCGCGGAAAAACACACGCCUGGCCAAAGACCCAUGAAGGAUCUGCGAUUUCAGAGCCUUUAAAUCCAUCAUUGUCUUCAUUUUGAAAAUUCGGCUCUGAAACAUACGGCCCAAAUCGUAACGCAAGCAAAUGGGGUUUCUCGAUCAAAGAUCGGUUCUUUGAUCAAAAAGAGUAAAGUUGGGAACUUUGUUUAAUUGGUAAAGAAUUCUAUAAGAAAACUUUGCGAGGGGAAAAAGCCAAACACAGAAUGAGAGAGUAGAUUAGCGAGUGCAAAACCUGGAGGAGGUGUGAUUCCCACCCACGAGGAGCCCCAUCGUUUUUUGAAUUACUAGCCACACCCUCUUUGAAACUUUUGCUGGCUUCGUAUCGUACCAGACCCAAUCCAUAUUUGCUGAAAUUGAAACCCUACAUUACAUGGCGGAGGAGAGUGGCAUCAAUUAUGGUGAAUUUUGGGAGCCGAUUCAGAAACCCUAGAAUCCAAUUGAAAAUUCUGGAUAUCCAAGUUGGGGAUUUUAGGGCUACUGGGAGCUUUUUUUUGAGUGAAGUGAAGCAGAAGAUAAGAUCUGGUUUAAUAUAAUAAAAGAAAACACUCUGCAAGUAGCCCAACAUGGACAGCGAUAAGGGCACCGACGAAAGAGGAGACACGUGUCGACACCAGGAAGCUUCUCAACUCCAGCUAAUCUUUUACCGGGGGUCCAACUGUAAAAAGCGCCAAUAAUUAUAAUGAUGAACCAAGUUAUCGUUACCGCCAGUCACCCAGGAGAGAGAGUGGAAAAUCGAGGCCGUUGGUUGGUGUGGGACCGACAGAUAGAGCAACGGCUCGAUAUUCGGAAUCUAAUAAGUAUCAGAAGAUAAUAUUUAAAAAAUGAUGGAGCAACGUGGCUGAUUUGGCGUUACUGUAGAUCUGACAGAAGCGUGUGGUCCCCACUGGGAACUGUUUCAUUGCAAAUGAAGAUUUGAGAUUGAUAGGCAGUGCCGCAGUGGUUUUGGUGAUGUUUUUAAGACUGUUGGCUGAAAUCGCUCGGUUGGAGAAAUUGGUAAGUGUGGGUGAAGAGUCCCUCUUGCCACGUGGGCAGGACUGAUGGGAUUAUGACGUGGAAGCCGUACAAUCAGUAGACGUCGGAUAAUCCAUCUAGUUGAAUUCAGGAUUAGUGUGUUGAUUGGCCAUAAUCUGUGGUUCGCAGUAUUGAUUUGACUCUUUUCAUUUAAUGGUCCUCUUAAUUAUCAACUCAAGUUCAACUUGUUUAAUUAAUUAGUUUUCAUUAUUCCCGAACCAAAUUUUCACUCAUGCACCUCUCUCAUAAUAAAAGAAAUCGUGUUCCUAUUCCAAUGACCGUUGUUAGUCAAUUUCGUUAGUGAGAGAUUUCUCAUACACACAUAACUAUAAUAUCAUGAGGAUUCGAAUACGAGACUUUUAAUAUGCAAGUCACGACCUUUUUUCAUUGGAUUAGACCCUAUUGGCGACUAUGUCAAAUUUUUAAUUGAACUUAUAAAUAGAGAAUUGUUGCAAUUACGCCUAUAAAUAGAGAAUAUAAAUACAUAUUAAGAAAUGGAGAGGAAAUAGAUUAUGUGCGGUUGACGCUAAUCCAAUCCAAUAUUUUCAAGUUGUAUCAUUGCGUUGUUGAUUUUAUAAUUGUCUUUAUAGAGUUUUAAGUGAUAUGUAUAAUGUAUGCCAUAACCUCGUAGGCUCGUACCCAAAAAAAUAAAUUAUUGAAAACGUAUCAUCUUAAUUGUUUUAUUUCUUGGUAAUGCAGAUUAAAGUUAAAGUUGAUGAAUGUGAUUGGUUCUUAUAACAUAUAAAGAUUCUUUGAUGCCAAACGUGGCUGAUCCUAAUAGGAGCAACGCUCAUGAAGGGGAACCAAAGGCAUCUCCCUCGUAUUAUUGGGGACACAAUAGUUACAAGACAGCCUGGAGAAAUCGAAAUCAAAAACUCCAUCACUUGUUCCAUCCAUCUAGGCUUGAAAACCUCUACACACUUCCAAGUUUUCCAACCAUGCCAACUCAUAAUAAUAAUAAUAAUAAUAAACUCAUCUGCAUAUGAGAAGAAACCAUAAAUUUGCCUCCACAUUAUCGGCUUAAGGGCUCCACAUACUGGUGUCAUGAUGAUGGACCAUUUCCAACUAACUCCGAUACAAUAUGAUAGAAUAUGAUGAGUUAUUUAUUUAAAUGGUUCUUAAAUUUAUAUCCGAAUUUUAAAUGGUUAUUAAUUAAAUUAUUCGUUCAAAUAAUCUAUCAACUUUUUAUUAAUCAGCGGAUUAAUCAUACUAUUACACUCCAUCUAUAUUGCUGUUAAUUUGAGGGUUAAAAUUGCCAAUUUAUACUAAAAUACUAAAUAAUUAAUUAAUUAAAACAGAGAUAGAGGAAGGACGCAGAGGGUGAGGGCUAGGGCUGGUGGGGGUGGGGGUGGCUCUGCCUUCUUCUCUUCUCUCAUCAUGGAGAAAACAUAAAUUUCUUCAUUCUCUUAAUGAAGAACAGAUAAAAAAACAAGUGAUAAAUAAAAACAAGAAAUAUCCCCUUCAUCUCAUCCCACAUCCAUCCUACAGAGCAACAAAAGAGAAACUAUUUUUUUCCUUUUCCAUUUUUGCAACUCCAGCGAGAGGAAUCUAAUACCAUAAAUUGAUCAAGGCACCCAUGUGCCUUCUCCCUCAAUCCUCUGCUCCUAUUUCUUACAAUUUAGCUGUGCAACAAGUCGGCUCCACCAUUGUAAUUUGUCUUAGAGCUCAACGAGUGCCGCAACCUUGGCCAUCGAAGUCGGAGAAUUCAUAUCUGAACGAAGCCACUGUCAUUGUCAUCUCUCCGACGCCAACUAGUUGUCUUUCAGCACUGCUGUCAUUUGGUUGUACAGGGAGGGAAGAGGAAGAAGAAGAAGAAGAAAAAGGGAAACGAAAACUCCACUAUGUAAAAAGUCGCAUUUACCCUUCCGAUUCUCCUCACAUGCAGUUCACAUGAUUAAAACUCACAGAAAAUGUAACGGUGGACCAAUUCACUAAAUAAUAAAGAGUUGGUGGACCAUUUGAAAGAAUAAUUUAGUUGAGAGACCAAAAUGCAACUCGGGUAUAAGUUUGAGGACCAUUUGAGUAAAUAACCCAUAUAAUGAUAAAUAGCAGACAUUACUUGUCUCCUUUCGUGUAAGGAGACAUUUCUCUUCUUGCAAAUCACAAUUUAAUACAUAUACAGUAAAAAUUUACAUACAUACAUCAAACCGUGAUUGACAGGAAAGUAUAAGUUCCUACUUACAAAAGGAAAAUAUCAUUUUUACUAUAUUAUAUAUCUUCAGCUUUCAGUGGGCCCGACAGGCAACCAGACAGUCCUACUACAUUAUUAUUCACCUUAAACCAUGAUUCACUACAAGAAAAAUGUUUAUUAAUGGCCAUCAAGUUGGUCACAAAAAGUAAAGAUUUUGGUCACUGAAUAUAAUUAGUGUCUAAAUAAUGGUGGUAGAAGCUUGUCACAAAUUCUAUUCAGUAGCCAACUCCAAAUAUUGGUCACUGAAACGCAAACAAUUAGUGACUACCUCUAUUAGUCACUACUAUUAGUGACCGCAAAUUUCAUCACUAAAGGCUUUUUAUUUAGUCACUAAAACAUUCAAUUUGGUCACUAAAACCUGAUCACUUGCCCAUAUUUUACUCUUUAUGUAAACUCACAUCUAUUUUUUUUUCUUCAUAAAUAGUCUACUAAAGAUAAAAUCAUGAUACCCAAUACAAUGUGUAUCAUAUAUCAUUCCAAAAACUGUAUAGGUAUCAACAUUCCUCCAACAAAUUCACAAGACAUACAUCUCUCAAAUACAAAAUCUAAAAAUAAAUUGAUAAAUGUAUUUCAACCAGCACAUCUCUUGCUCAAUAUCUCGUGUUUGACCACACCUUCGUUGACUGCUUCCUGAAUCUGCAUGAAAAAAUUGAAGUAAUUUAGACUAUCAGAACACACAAAUAAGAGAGAGUCUAAACACAGUUCUGCAAUGUCCAGCACAAGGGUUUAUACUAGGAUUGUUAAAAGGAAUAAAAGACUUAAACUGGAUAAUCUCCACAUGGCCAUAUUUAUUGAGUAGAAUUCAGAAAGAAAGCCCACGCAAGUAACAGCUAAACUGAAUCUUUCAAGCAAUUAAUUCAAAACAUGAAGAAAAAUCGUGUAAAUUAAUGAACUGUUCGGAUUAGUAAUUGCAUAUAUACCUCUAGUGUUGAUGUCCCCUUUUAAAGUAGGAGUGAGCUACUGAGGAAGACUCAGAAAGUUCAUUAUCCGGAGGAAUCACAAUGCACCUAAGCAGAGCAGGAUCACAUCCUUCAAAAGUGAGGUUCAUGCUUUUGAACGAUAUGCUGUAAGAUGGCAGCAAUGGAAGAUAUGAGAAGAUUAAGCAUUGUGCAUGAAAAAUAACAUGUGUUAAGUAAAAGGUUCACAAUCCCAAAUUUCCCUAAACUUGAAUGAAAUCAUAAUGACUUUUAAUUCUUAUGAGUGCGUUGUCUCAUAAAAGGUUCACAAUCCUAAAUUGGCUUUUGCCGGUUAAAAAAUAUUAAAAUGUGUUAGGUAAAAGUCAACCACAAGAGUCUAGCGGUCAAAAUGCAAUUACAUAUACAACACAACGCAAAGAAAAGAACCUGAAACACGAGUGCUUUUCUAAUCAUAAAAUUAGCACAACCUGCACUAAUUACUCAAGCCAAAGCUAACAAUCAACCUUAUGUUCUGCAUCCUGAAUUAGUAAAAGUUUAUCCAUUGUUGAGAAGGGCCCUCUUGAUGCUUUGCUAUGUAUUAAUGCUUAUGAGCCCAUUCCAACAAACACAACCAAAUACAAUGAACCUUCUGCUCAAACCCUUCUCUAUUGUCUACCAUACACAUAUUUCAGCUAAACAUGCAGAUCAAAUCACUAAUCUGCACUAAAAGUGUGCACUAACGGAUAUUCCAUGUAUGGAUGGCCAAUGGUGAAAACAAAAAUAUAGAAUCUGCAUACCAUCAAUGAAUAAUAGAAUGAUAUUACUGAUUCUUUCAUAAGAAAAUGAAAAAUAAACAAAAAUUUGUAUACAAUCGUUAUAUUCAUGAAACACAGAACUGAUAGAGAAAUAAUGACUGAACCACCCAUGUGCAGAUGUAGAGCAAAUGACAUUUUGAUUAAAGAAUUGUACAAUAAUAAUAAAAAUUCAUGAAACUCGAAACUUAAAUCAGAGCCAUAUCUCAAAUCAAAGAUAAUUAAGACUUCAGUUAAGCAUAAAAACAAUCUGAUGAACAAACCUUCAACUUCCCAUAGUUGAGCUAAAAACAGGACUGGAUGAAAGGCAUGUUGAAAAGAAACAUAUAAUAAGAACAAAAUAGGAGAAGAAACCGAAAGUACAAAAUAGUAUUGUUCAUCUUCCCAAAAUAGUAUGAACAUAACUCUUAAGAUGAUAUUUCCUGAUCAAAUAACUAUUUCACGUCCACUACUAAUUGAUCGUUUGACAAUUUCAUAUCCCAAAAAAAGACAGAAUUUCAUAGCAAUUCAGCACAUCAAGCAUAAGUUCCAUAAUUCAAUAUCAAAAUUCCUUUGAAAGAACCCAACUUGAUAGGUGAAUACAGCUUAAACAAGAUUUGACGAACUCUUUUAAUUCUUUCUUCACCCAUGUAGUAGCUCAACUUCUUAACUUCACACGCUCAAGAGAUGAUAUUAAACGGACAAAAGAUGGCUGCCCAUACCACAGAAAGCAUUAGAUUAAAAAAAAUGAAACAAUCAGAGCAAGAAUAAAUCAGAGCAAGAGAGCAUAAGCAAAAGUCACCAAAAAGAGUAAACAAAGGCAACAUCAAGAUGAAAACCAAACAGCCAGAGAUCCAAGAUUUCUUACCAGGGGAGCUCAUGGUCUCAAAAGCUGCUUUCAGAAUAGGAUCUCACUAGCUCAACGUCGUUUCUCAAAUCGAAGCAUGCAUCUGCAACACCAAUUAGGAAGUUAGGGCAUCAAGCUUUUGGGAAUCACAACUCAAAAUCGAAAUUUCAUAUUGUACUUUUAGCAUACUUUCAUAGCAAUCACACCACUCCGUCUCUCAAUUUUAGAAACCGUAAACCCACCCAUCCAUCUAUCAGUUUUCGAAACCCCAACCUCUGCGUUAACUCUAUGGUUCAAAUCAGAGCAGAGAAUUUUGGGGAAGAAGCUACUCUACUGUAGUUUUCUCUCGACAAAAGUAAAGGAGGAGCUACUGUAGUUGACGGAAGGAAAAACAAAGAGUGAUGCUAAAUGAAUAUUAAAAUUAACUAAGCACACCUACUAUCAAAUUAUUUAUUGAAUUACUAAUUUAUUCUAAUAUAAAAUGACUAAAAUAAAUAUAUUGAAUCGUAGAACAAAUAUAAUUUAAAUAAAUACACCCUACUCACCAUAUUCUAUCUUAAUCAAACAUAAAAGAAGAGAAAGAAUGAGGAAAGAAGAGAAUGGGAUUGGAUUGGAAGUAUUGAAGUAUGCAAGAGUCACGAAGAAGAACAGAGAAAGAGAAAAUAUGAUAAUCAAGCCCAUUAUUUUGCAAUACCCUUUAUUGUUGUAGACUUCAAUGGUUUGAUAAUUUUAUACCUAGAUCCACUGAUCUAUUAAUCCGGAAGGCUACUUUUCUCUUUAUCGGCUGAUUAUGAUUGCUAAUGAAUUCAAGCAAUAUAAUUAUUGAUAUUUAAAAAGGGGGGAAUUCCAGUGAUACAACAGGAGUAAUCUUGGUCUUUUUUGGGGGGUCACAGAAGAACCAAAAAGAAGCAGAGGAAAGUGUGAUUUCUUGGCCUCUUUGAUCUUCGUCUUGGGCUAACCCCAUAUUCUUUUCUUGGAUCUCGGGUAUAAACGUAAACGGUCUCUUGUUGCUUCCUGUGCUAUCUCUGUGUAUUUUGAUUUGUGUCUGAUUUGGUUUUUCCAAAGAUUAUAAGUAAUUUGUCAAUUUCUUGGCCUAUUAUGAUCUAGGUCUGUUUCAUUUGUUGUACUCAUAAUUAACUACUUAGGAUUGAUAUUAGGGUAUUGUGUAAUAGAGUGUAUUAGGGUGUAGGGGUAUUUUUGAUAGUUAAAUAGAGUGUACUUAGUUAAUUUUACAUUUUGAUUCAAAUAUUAUGGUGUACUUAGAUCAUAUGGUGUACACAAUUAAUUUUAGGGUUCGUUUAGUAGAACUAAAAAAAAACUUUUUUUAAAAUUCUAAAAAAGGUCAUUAAUGCCUUAAACAUUCGUUUGAUAAUUUUUAUUAGGGGUGGGCAUCGGGACCGGAAAACCGGAACACCGAACCGAACCGGUGAAAAAAAACCGGAAAAAAAACCGGUUGACCAAAAAAGUCAACAAACCGGACCGGAAACGGACCGAACCGGUUCCAACCGGUUCCGGUUCUGGUUUUACAUCUCUCCGCACCGGACCGGACCGGUCAUGUAUUUUAUAUUUAUAUUUUUACAAAAUUUUAAAAUCUAAUGCCAUUUUUUAACUUCUAUAAUCACUAAUUUUCCAAGUUCAACUUCAAAAAAUUUCUAAAUGUAUGAAUUGGAUUAUUUGUUCAUUUUUAAGCUAAAAAAAUAAGUUAUUUAUAAUAAUUUUUUUUAAAAAAAAAAUUAAAAAAAUAAUAAAUUAAUAAUCCGGUUCAAAACCGGAACCGGACCGGAACCGGUUAGAACCGAACCGGCCGGUUUUCAAAAUUUUUUUUGCCUAAACCGGACCGAACCGGACCGGUUAAAUAAUACCGGUUUCGAUUCCGGUUUGAGGUGAGAAUUGGACCGAACCGGACCGCGCCCACCCCUAAUUUUUAUUAUUAUUUAAUUUGUGGUCACUAAUAAUAAACAACAUUGGGCUAGUUUAAAAACAAGCAACUUUCAGUGUGUUUAAACGAUAGAAAAAAAGUGUGUUUUUAAAAAAAGCAAAUGUACAAUACUCUUAAUGUAUAUAUACGUAUGUAUUUCUUCUAUUUAAUUCAUAUAUUCUUUACAAAAUGUUCAAUAAAACACAUAAAAUUAAUCUAUUAAAUAAAUAACUCUCACCUAUUAUUGAAUAAAAUAUAUAUAUAUUAAAAAAUUAUAUAAUGGACGAUUAAUAUCUAAUUUAGAUAUUUUAAAACUAGCAAAUUAAUAUUUAUAUAUUUUUUAUAAUUAAAUAGUAUAGCCGAGCGGCUAUACUCGAUUUUAUUAAUAUUUCUAUAAAAAAAAUAAUAUAGCUGGGCGCCUAUGCUUUUUUUGACAUGUGAGCAACUAGGACCUGCGAGGCUAACUCUUCUAUAAAAAAUAACUAGCCCCUUGGCACAUGCGUGAGCAUGUGCCAAUUGGUUUUAUUUUUUAUUUUUUAUUCUAUUUUUAGAAUUAAGAAAAGAUAACAUGGGUAGUUAUGUUCCAUAAAAGUAGGAUCUAUUAUCUGAUUAUUUAUUUAUUUAUUUAAUAUAAAAAAUGUGAAUUUACCAUAUUAUCCAUAUUUAUUUAAUAAUUUUAAUUUUUAAUGUUUGAAUUAACUAAGGGCAUUUUCUGAUAUUUUGAAUGUUUCACUAUUCUCUGCCUUUUGCUUUAUAUAUAUAGAUAAUAAUAAUAAUAAUAAUAAAUAGUAUAAAUAGUCUAACCAGCAGCUAUAUUUAUUUUGACACGCGGGCUCCUAAUUGCUAGGGAGCUCUUUUUAUAAAAAAAAAAAAACAAAACAAAAACAAAAUGGUAUAGCUGGGUGACUACAUUCGGGUUUUUUUUUUUCUAAAAAAAUAGUAUAGCCGUGCGGCUAUAUUGAUUUUGUCACACGGGGGAGAGUUCUUUUUAAAAAAAAAUAUGUAUAGCCGCUUUUUUAAAAAAAUAUAUGUAUAGCCGUGCGGCUAUACAUAUUUUGACACGUAAUCGCCAGACAAGUCGUUUUUUUGAAUAAAUAGUAUAGCCGUGCGGCUGUAUGUCUUAGUAUAGCCGGUCGGCUAUACCUUUUUUGACACGUGGUCAACUAGCCGCUAUGCGGCAAACUUUUUUUUUCAUAAAUAGUAUAGCCGCGCGGCUAUACUCUAUUUUUUAUGAAAAAAUAUGAUAGCCGCCGGGCUCUAUUGGGGUUUUUUGGUUUUUAUUUAUUUUUAAUAAAUAGUAUAUUUAUGCGGCUAUACGAUAUAUAUAUAUAUUGGGAUCCUUUUUUUUUCUUUUAAAUUUUUUCUCCUAUUUUCGUUUAUCGAUAAGAGUAUUUUAGAGUAUUAUCCAUUACUAUUAGGCUAUUACCCGAGUUUUUAUUGUCUCCUUUUAAUUUUUUACUUUUCAAAAGUUAUUACCCGUAUAAAGAAUUUAACACUUUCUCGUUUAAUACUCUAUUAUAUAUGUAUGUACGUAUUUUUCAAUAAUACAUCUUUGUUCUGUACACAUCUUAAAGACUCAUGAAGAAUUAAUGACCCAACUCAUAUAUUUGGUCACUGGUUUGACACUAGUUGUGACCAAUCAUGAUUUGGUCACUGCUGACCUUUUUUCUUGUAGUGAUUUAUAUCCCCAACAGAAGACAACUAAUCCAUCAAUCGGUAAGAAAAUCAAUGCGAAGUGAGAUAUUGAUAUCCUUGCAUCCAAGGUCAUGUGUAUGAAUACCCCUCUACCAAUAUCGCUUGUAUUAAAAAAAAAAAUCAAAAUCAAAAUCAAAGGCCUUCAUUGUUGAGCCUUCUGGCCCAUACAUACUUCUUCUUUAGGCUUAGAAUUCAUACCACGGGCUGAGAAUCGUUUAUUACUGCCCAGUACUGAGAUUGAGCUCAGGAAAGGAAGUAGGAAGAAAGAGACUCAAAGUUGAAAGCUUGAAUGGCGUGCCUUGUUGUGUCCAUGACCCUCUCCGUACCUCUCUCAGCCUCACAUUGCUUCACAAAGGUAAGUUCACAUUUACCAAACUUGUCGUCAACAAAAAAAGCCCCCAGCUUUUAUCCUUGAGGUUGAGCUGCUGAAACAAUCUUAGAAAACUUGGGAUUUGAAAGCAGGAGUGGGAAUAUGCUUCAGGAACAGGUUUUCUUCUUCAAUCUCUUUUCUCACUUGCCAAUUAUGCUUACUGUUAUACUUGUAUAUGAUUAGUUUUCAUAAGAUAUUAAAAAUCGCCCGCCUAGGUGGCCUGGGCGGGUCGGGUCCUUUUUUUUCAUUUUCCCAAUCGUAUUUUUCCAAGUAGCAAAAAUAUGAGCAUUAGAGAUCAAUUGCAUAAUAGCAUUAGGCUGAGGAUGUAUUUGAAUUACUAGAUCCUCUCAAGGUUCGAAAUCGUAUGUCAGGUUGGGGUGUUCCAACAUGAGUCCAGUCAGUGUGAAGGGUAACUUCAGCCCAAGUUUGCUGAUUUUUCAGCAAGUUAGAAUCUCUUCCACGGUACUAACAAGUUCCCUUUCCUUUGGAUAAUAUAUCUCAUGAGUAUAACAGAUCAUGAAAGAAAAGAAAAAAACUUUAAAAGGCAAUCCAUUUUUCUUGGUAAACAGAGUAAGCCUAUCAAGAUGCUAUUAUUUAGUCAUAUUUUCAUGGAACUUUCAACCAUAUUGUUCCUGCUUGCUCUGUUAUUUUAAUUGUAUAUGGCUGAAUAGUGUGUUCAGUUUCUCUUCUGUUACAUGGCGUCUAUUCGACUGAAUCUUUAAGAGUCUUUCUUUGUUGAGUUGCUGCAAUCAUUUUAAAUAACCAAUAGCCAGUCACAAGCAAUGUAUUCCAAGGAAUUUUUUGAGUAUUAGGAUUUGGUUGGAGAGUGCUAGGCUUAUAGGAGCAGCAAGCAUUUAACGAAAUUUAUGAGUUGGAAGAGAAGUUGGUCAUUUCGUAUAUAGUGAGAUAGAGCCCAACCGAAAGACAAAAAAAAUAAUAUGGCCUUUACUGAAGUUCACCAUGCUAGGUAGAGUUUGGAUUUUGGAUCGUGGUUCAACUUUUUGAUCUCUCUCUCUCUCUCUCUCUCUCUCUCUCUCUCUCAUGGAUAAUAUAUACAUCAUCUUUAACCUGUCCAUCUUAAUUUGAUGCAGUUGGAAACUUGGCAUUGGCUGCUUUGCGUAGUGCAGAUCAGGUGCACAAAGUUGUUGACUUUGAGAGGUUCUGAUUCGAACUUUAGGUUUCCUCUCUUUUUUAUUAGUAGUUUUUUUUGUCUUUUUCAUGUAUAGUUCUACUUCUGACUUUCCCCCCAACUUCCUUAUUGGCUGCUCAAAUAGAAUUGUUUACACAUUGACAUUAAAUUGUUGGGAUGGGGAGAGGGGUGGUGGUUGUUGGACGACACUAAUAAACCUUCUUUCAUGCAUGCUCAUUUCCAGAUACCUGAGGAGCACUCUCUCGUCAGAGUUCUAAACAUACCAUUUCAGAGCUAGUUUCCUUAAUGCAAUAGAUUCUUGGGUAUAAAUUCCUUGCAAUCUACAUACAAUUGUGAUGCAAACUUCAUUGACUCAGCGAUAGCAGUACAAACAUUUGUGAAAAUCAUAUAUAAUAAAGCUAGAUGAUUAAGUUCAGGAUUUCGAAAAAUUAAAUCUGAUAACCUUUUGGUUUCAUUUACCAAUCUGCUUUUCUCCCUGGCUAAUGUAUAUGCGGGCAAGAAAAUACAAGUUUCCUUCACACAAGGAUCUCAAGAACAUCAACCGAAAACUGAAAUCUUGUUGGGGUUUUAAUUCACAUGACGAGUAUGCUAUUCCUUAUCUAGAAAUAGUCACGUUUAAUCUGAUGCCCUUUUCUUUUGUAUUAAUGCCAAACUUUGACUGGUUUUCAGAAGUAAGAAGCUGGAUGCGAAAUCGAAGCUUUCUUUAUACCAAGAGAAUAAAUGCAAAAUCAAUUAGUUCAAGAGGAUAAAUUAAAGCUAAGGACAAGUGGUUAAGAUGGUCUCCAAAAACUAAUCACAAAAAGGUUCAAAAGACUCGUGAUUAAGAAGGUUUAAUGAGUCUAGUCCCAUUAUUGUUAAGUUCAUCAAACAUGAGUUAGAACACUAAUCCAUUUUAAUUGAAUACAAUAUGUCCUAACUCGUCAAUCACCGAACAAGAUAAUAUCUGAAUCAUAGGACAUAAACAACCCACCUUUCCCCAUCCCUACAUAGUUGGGGAAUUUUUAUGUAAGUUUCAGUUCCCAGACAGUCAGCUUCUUGGAAGUAAAGUCACCAAAUCUUCAAUCCUCGAGUGCAUGAAAGGCGAAGCUAAAUCUUGGCUUUGCCUUUUUCAUGCGUCGGCUCUAUACAUAACUAAAGCUUAGCUAAGCCUUAGCUAGCAAUACUCAUUUGGCACUCAAGAAGUGGGAGGGACCCAAAUCAACCCAAGCCAAGACUACGUGUACGGUCAAUUUUCAUUGUUCUUGCACUCACACUUUACAAAUAUACUUUGAGAUUGACAAGGGUUCUCCAGUUCACUUCUGAAAGUGCUAUUUCUGAGUGGUGGUGAUCACUAAGUAGCUUAGCUGUUGACAAUGACAUGCAUUAAGAUUUGGGUGUUUUUCAUAUGAGAUUGAUAUAUACCGUCAAAGUAUCAUGGAGUUCGAAUAUGAGAUCACUGACAUGAAAAUCAAGGUCCUUUUUUACUAAACUAGACCUCGUUAGCUAUGAAAAUAUUUAUUAGGAAACCAAAUUUACUAUAAGAUUUUGACGUCCUUGUCAAGGCCUGGCCAGCACUGGCAACAAAAUUCUGAUCUUUUGGACAAAAAGGAGAAAGGUGGAAAACAAGAUUCAAUACAUUCUUAUAUAAAUAUAAAUUGAACGACUUUGAUGCUGUGGCCAUAGUGCCACAUUAAAACAUUCUAAGAUAAACCACAGCCAUUAUUUCAAAGAAUCUUUUUUUUUUUUUUUUUUUUGUGGGUACGUUGACUUCCACACGACAUAAAAUAACAAGAGUAUCUAAUCCUAUAGCAACUGAGCUUUCAACUUUAUUUUCUAUAUAAUAUAUAUAUUGUUGAUGAUACUUGGAGUAAUCUAAUCCCAAUAAUUACAUUGAUUAUGAUUAAUAAGGUUGAAAUAUUGGCAUAAAGAGAUAAAGGCUCAGCUUCUUACUUUUUGCAUCACCACCAUAUAUAUAAUUAAGUGGAAGAAUAUGUGGCAGCAUUUUCGUGAAAAAUUUGUGUCUUUAAAAGGCUACCCUACGAUACUGACCUUUUGGUCUAAUGAUUAAUUAGCCAUUUCUUUUGUUUGAUUAGGUUUCGAGCUCAAAUCUUAUGAACGAUAUUUUGGUACUUAUUUUUCUUAGAUACAUGAUGUGAUAAUCUAAAUUACUCUUGGGUGCAAGGGAACAGACUCACUAUCCUUUCAACGCGCGGCUAUAUUUAUUUUGACAUGUGGCGCCUAAUAGCUAGUGAGCCCUUUUUUCUAUAAAAAAAAAGAAAAUAGUAUCGCAGUGCAGCUAUACUCAGUUUUUUUUUUAAUUUUAAAAAAAAAUAGUAUAGCCGGCCAGCUAUACGUAUUUUGAUAUGUGGCACCUAAUCGCUGGGGGCCCUCUUUUAAAAAAAAUAAUUAGUAUAGCCGUGCGGCUAUACGCUAUUUUAUUAAUAUUUUGUUAUAAAAUAAUAUAGCUGGGUGGCUAUACGUUUUUUGACACGUGGUCAACUAGGUGCUAUGCGGCUAACUUUUAUUAUUUUCAAAAAUAGUAUAGCCGCGCGGCGAUACUCGAUUGUUAAAAAAAAUUUGUUUUAAAAAAUAUUAUACUAUCUGGUUUUUUUUAUAUAAAUAAAUAGUAUAGCCGAGCGGCUAUACUCUUAUAUAUAUAUAUAUAUAUACAGUCCCGAUCUCUUGGACCACAGGGGUCCAAGAGAUUGUGGUCACCCACCAUUGGAUGUUAAUCCAAUGAUUCAAAAAAGUUUCUUAAAAGAAGUGCAAGAGUGAGUGAACCGUUGAAUUUACAUCCAACGGUGAGUGACCACAAAUCUCUUGGACCCCUGACUGUAUAUAUAUAUAUAUAUAUAUAUAUACUGAGAACCUUUUUUUCUUUUAAAUUUGUUCCCAGAUUUUCGUUUAUCGAUAAGAGUAGUUUAGAGCGUUAUCCAUUACUAUUAGGCCCUUAUUACCUAAGUUUCUAUUUUCCCAUUUUAAGUUUUUACUUUUCUACAGUAAUUACCCGUAUAAAGAAUUUAGCAUUUUCACGUUUAAUACUCUAUUAUACACGUAUGUACGUAUUUUUCAAUAAUACAUCCAUGUUCUGUACAAGUCUUAAAGACUCGAUAAAAUUCACAUUUUUUUAAAAACAAACAUACAAUACUCUUAUUGUACAUGUACGUACGUAUUUCUCAUGUUUAAUACACAUGUUUUUACAAAAUUUCAAUAAAACACACAAAAUUAACGUAUUAUACCAAUAAUUCUCACAUAUUAUUGAAUAAAAAUAAAAUAUAUUAAAAAAAUUAUACAGUGGCCGAUUAAUAUCUCCUUUGAAUAUGUUGAAACUAGCAAAUUAAUAUAUCUAUAUAUAUAAAGCAAAAGGCAGAGAAUGGUGAAAUAUCAAAAUACCAUUGGUUAAUUGAAACAUUAAGAAUUGAAAUUAUUAAUUAAAUGAGGAUAAUAUGAUAAAUUCACAUUCUUUUAUAUUUUAAAAAAAUUAAAAUUAAAAACAAAAUUAUAUAAUAUGUCAUACUUUUAUGGAACAUAACUACCCAUGUUAUUUUUUUUAUUUUAAAAAAAUAAAAAUAAAAAAGAAAACCUAAUGGCACAUGCGUGAGCAUUUCACGCAUGUGCCAAGAAGCUAGUAUAUAUAAAGUAAAAGGCAGAGAAUGGUAAAACAUUCAAAAUACCAAAAAAUGCUCUUAAUUAAUGCAAACAUUAAGAAUUGAAAUUAUUAAUUAAAUGCGGAUAAUAUGGUAAAUUCAUACUUUUUCAUAUUAAAAAAAUUAAAAUGAAAAGAAAAAUAAGAUAAUGGAUCCUAUUUUUAUGGAACACAACUACCAAUUAUCUUUUUUUAAUUCUAAAAUAUAAUUAAGAAUUUUUUUAAAAAAACCUCUCACAUGCGUGGAAGCGCCUGCUGAGAGGCUAGUAUCUAUAAUGCAACUAGGAGGUUCCUUUAUUCUUUUUAAAAAAAAAAAAAUUAAAUAGUAUAGCCGCCUGGCUAUACUUAUUUUGGCACGUGGUGCCUAGUCACUACGAAGCCCUUUUUUUUAAUUUUUUUUAAAAACGUAUAGCCACGCGGUUAUACGUAUUUUGACACGUGGGUGCCUAAUCGCUAUACAAUCUUCUUUUUGUUUAAAUAAAUAGUAUAGCCGCACGGCUAUACUCGAUUUUAUUAAUAUUUCUUAUAAAAUAGUAUAGCCGAGCGGCUGCACAGUUUUGACACGUGGUCAACUCGGCGCUAUGCAGCUAACAUUUUUUUUUUCAUAAAUAGUAUAGCUGCCCGGCUAUACUUAGCCGAGCGGCGAUACUCUAUAUAUAUAUAUAUAUAUACUGGGAUUUUUUUUUUCUUUUAAAUUUUUUCCCCGAUUUUCGUUUAUCAAUAACAGUAGUUUAAAGUGUUAUCCAUUACUUUAGGCGCCUAUUACCUGAGUUUCUAUUGGGAGACUCUAUUAGGUGCCGAUUUACUUUUUUUUCUAGAGCCCUUUUAAUUUUUUACUUUUCCAGAGUUAUUAUCCGUAUAAAGAAUUUAGCACUUUCACUUUUAAUACUCUAUUAUACCUGUACGUAAGUAUUUUUCAGUAAUACAUUCAUGUUUAGUGAUUUACAUUCCCAACAGAAGACAACUAAUCCAUCAACUAGUAAGAAAAUAAAUGCGAAGUGAGAUAUUGGUAUCCCUGCACCCGAGGUUAUGUGUACGAAUCCCCUCCACCAAUAUCGCUUGUAUUAAAAUAAAAAAUAAAAAAUCAAAGGCCUUCAUUGUUGAACCUUCAGGCCCAUACAUACUUCUUCUUUAGGCUUAGAAUUCAUGAUACGGGCUGAGAGUCGUUUAUUACUACCCAGUACUGAGACUUGAAUGGCGUGCCUUGUUUUGUCCAUGACCCUCUCUGUACCUCUCUCAGCUUCACAUUGCUUCACAAAGGUAAGUUCACAUUUACCAAACUUGUCGUCAACCAAACAAACCCUAGCUUUUAUCCUUGAGCUGCUGAAACAAUCUUAGAAAACUUGGAAUUUGAAAGCAGGAGUGGGAAAAUGCUUCAGGAACAGGUUUUCUUCUUCAAUCUCUUUUCCCAAUUGCCAGUUAUGCUUACUGUUAUACUUGGAUAUGAUUAGUUUUCAUAAGAUGUUAAAAAUAUGAGCAUUAGAGAUCAUAAUAGCAUAAGGCUAAUGUAUCCAAGUAUAACAGUAAGCAUAACUGAUAACCUCGGAGCUAGGCGCAUUAGAGAUCAAUUGCAUAUUAAACUUCGCCCGCCUAGGCGCUAGGCGUCCUGGGCGCAAACAUUUGUGAAAAAUUAUCAGAAGGCUAGAUGAUAGUUCAGGAUUUCAAAAAAUUUAAUCUGAUAACCUUUUAGUUUCAUUUUCCAAUCUGCUUUUCUUCCUGGCUAAUGUAUAUGCAGGCAAGAAAAUACAAGUUUCCUUCACACAAGGAUCUCAAGCACAUCAACGGAAAACUGAAAUCUUGUUGGGGUUUUAAUUCACAUGACGAGUAUGCUAUUCCUUAUCUAGAAAUAGUCACGUUUAAUCUGAUGCCCUUUUGUUUUGUAUUAAUGCCAAACUUUGACUGGUUUUCAGAAGUAAGAAGCUGGAUGCGAAAUCGAAGCUUUCUUUAUACCAAGCGAAUAAAUGCAAAAUUAAUUAGUUCAAGAGGAUAAAUUAAAGCUAAGGACAAGUGGUUAAGAUGGUCUCCAAAAACUAAUCACCAAAAGGUUCAAAGACUCAUGAUUAAGAAGGUUUAAUGAGUCCAGUCUCAUUAAUGUUAAGAUCAUCAAACAUCAUUGUUAGAACACUUGUUCAUUUUAAUUGAAUACGAUUUGUUCUAACCCGUCAGUCACCGAACAAGAUAACAUAUUAAUCAUAGGACAUAAACAAACCCCCCUUCUACUUUCCCCCUCUCUGCAUAAUUGGUGAAUCCUUGGAAGUAAAGUCACCAGAUCUUCAAUCCUUGAGUGCAUGAAAGGUGAAGCUAAAUCUUGGCUUUGCCCUUUUCAUGCGUGGGCUCUAUACAUAACUAAAGCUUAGCUAAGCCCUAGCUAGCAAUACUCAUUUGGCACUCACGAAGUGGGCGGGACCCAAAUCAACCCAAGCCACGACUACGUGUACGGUCGAUUUUCAUUGUUCUUGCACUCACAAUUUACAAAUAUACUUUUAGAUUGACAAAGGUUCUCCAGUUCACUUCUGAAAGUGCUAUUUCUGAGUUGUGGUUCUCACUAAGUAGCUUAGUUGUUGACAUGCAUUAAGAUUUGGUGUUUUUCAUUUGAGAUCGACAUAUACUGCCAAAGUGUCAUGGAGUUCGAAUCUAAGAUCACUGUAUGUAAAUUAAGGUCUUCUUUCAUUGAACUAGACCUUCUUGUCUAUGAAAAUAUGUAUUAGUCUAAACCAAAUUUGCUAUAAGAUUAUGACGUCCUUGUCACGGCACGGCCAACACUAGCAACAAAAUUAUGAUCUUUUGGACGAAAGGAGAAAGGUGGAAAACUAAGCUUUCAAUACUUUCUUAUAUAUAAAUUGAACGACUCUGAUGCUGUGGCCAUAGUGCCACAGUAAAACAUUCUAAGAUAAACCACAGCCAUUAUUUCAAAGAAUCUUUUUUUUUUUGUACGUUGACUUACACACGCCAUAAAAUAACAAGAGUAUCUAAUCCUAUAGCAACUGAGCUUUCAACUUUAUUUUCUAUAUAAUAUAUAUAUUGUUGAUGAUACUUGGAGUAAUCUAAUCCCAAUAAUUACAUUGAUUAUGAUUAAUAAGGUUGAAAUAUUGGCAUAAAGAGAUAAAGGCUCAGCUUCUUACUUUUUGCAUCACCACCAUAUAUAUAAUUAAGUGGAAGAAUAAGUGGCAGCAUUUUCGUGAAAAAAUUGUGUCUUUAAAAGGCUACCCUACGAUACUGACCUUUUGGUAUAAUGAUUAAUUAGUCAUUUCUUUUGUUUGAUUAGGUUUCGAGCUGGUGAAUGAUAUUUUAGUUCUUAUUUUUCUCGGAUACAUGAUGUGAUAAUCUAAAUUACUCUAAAUUAUUCUAAUAAAAGGAUAAAUGAAUCGAAUUUGGGUGCAAGGGAAUAGACUCACUAUCCUGUUCAACUCGCCUAACCCACAUAUUCUAUUUUGUUGGAAUAUUUAGACUACAAAAAAAAAAUGAAUAUUUUGAAUUAAAAGGCUUGUCUGCUACUUCAUUCUUUCUUAAUGUACAUUAUCCCAAUGCCUACCUAUAAGUGAAUUUUCUGAGACUAGAUUAUUAUUCCCUAAACCCUUAUUCAGAUGCUGGAUUUGUUUGCUAAUAGCCAUUACUAAACAAAAACUAUUUUUCCAAGUUAUAUGUAGAGAUUAAUAUAUAUAUGGAAUGAUAAUGACAUUUUAUUUUUACAGUUUCUGAUCUCAAAGACGUUGGCCGGCAGUUUCCUGAAAAAUCAUUUUGUUUUUUUUUUUUGUUUUUCUUGGGACAGGUUAUGAAAGAAUGAAGGCAAUCUCAAUAAUAUGCAUAUGAAUGUGACAUAUUAACUCAUUCAACAUUAAUUUUUUAUGACCUGAUCACAAAACCGCCCUUGCUAAUUUUAGAAGAGUCAACGUGAUUAUUGUGAGUGAAAACACCUGAGAGUUCAAACCUCGGCGGCUGCACAUUGUUUUUCAAUUACCACCCUUUUUUCUUCCUCCGAAGAACAAUAUCUUGAAAUUCUAUUAAAUUGUUUAUUUUAAAAAAAAAGAUAAGAUAAGAACUUUUGUCAUAUUGUGAGAUGUGACAAUUAGGAAAAUAUGAUAGCAUAUGUGAAAUGUGAUAGAAGUUCCUUUACUAAAUAAGUAAUGAUAUAAAUGUCAUUAGUGUUAUUCAAUUUUCAUUUUGUUAAAGAAAGUUUUGAGUAAAUUUGAUGGACGGUAAUUGUUGAGUUUCUAAAAUGACAUUCGCUAACCAAACUAAACUAAACUAAAAGAGUUCUAAAUCUAUAUUUAAAUACUUAGCGGUUAAGUAGAAGUUUAUCUAACUGAUUUGGAAGGAUUUCGAUUCUAAACUACAUUGGAAUCCUUUCAAGCUAAACAAGGAGAUUUCAGUUAUUUGAAUCAAGUAAAAAAGGGAAUUCCUAAGUUUAGUUUUCAAAUUUUGUAACGUUCGUAUUGAAAACUGCUGUAAAAUUGACCGUCUCAUAACAUAACGCGGAGACAUUAUUUUCUUUGUUAUGCUAAAUAUAGGUUAUAUUUGUUUGUCACCGCAAACUGCAAAGCCCCAACACGUGCUAAAAAGCUAAAACCCUUCUAAGCUUUUAUACUCUGUCGCCGAUGCAGCCGGACCAUCUUUCCCAUCCCCCGUUGCAAAAUCUGUGGGGCCCUUUGAAUUGAAAGAAACACAAAUCCGUUUUGGCAUUUGCUUUGCUUUGCUCGAGCCUUGAGAGAGCUUCAUGAGUCUGACUGUGAGCUGCCUCCUUCUCCUUCACUCUUCUCUCUCUCAGCUGCCACUUGUCCAUAUCUCUCUCUGCCUUUUCAGCUCUUCUGCACCAUCUCCCUGGUGGGUUUUGGUUGUUUUUGCAGGACCAAGAGCAGAGCUUUCUCAGAAUUCAUUUACGUGAAGAAAAUUAAGCGGCCUUUGCUGGGACCGAGCUAUGGCAACUGGAGAAGAAACCGUUGCUGAAGAAAAUGAUGGUGGCAUUUCCACCAACAAAGCUGGCCCUUCAAUCCAAAAGGUACCUCAUUUUCGCUUCCUUGUUGAAAAAUCUAUGAUGGGUUGUUCUGAUAUGUUUAUUUCCUGCUCAUAAAUUUCAUUACUUGUGGAUUCAAUUCAUCUUGCCGGAUAAUGUUUGUGAUUAUCUCUAUGUUUGUGUUUAAAAACUCAAACUUGAAGUUUUUUUUUUGUACUUAACUGGGUGAACCAUAGUUGAUAUGUCAUACUCAUUUUUCGCUAUGCAAUUAUUGGUUUUAGUGCACAGCCAAGACAAAGUGCUGAAAGAUAUCAAUUGAUUUAAGGCUCCAUAAUCUGUCAACAACCAUAAUAUCAAUCUUCAGUUGAUAUUUGUAUUAAUAUGAAAUUCAAGUUAGAAGCUUCCAAUUCCUUUUAGAACUAGUCAGGAUUUACACUGCUAUUGUUUUCAUUCUGUAUUUCUUCUGUUUUUUUUUUUUAAUUAUAAUUUUUUUUGGACAAAAGAGCUUACUGCUGAUUUUGGCUUAAAAUUAUGUAUUUUCAUGUUGCUCUGAACAAAGGACAAAUCACAUGAUUAUGUUCUUUCAUAAAUCUGCUUCAAUAUGUAUCCCCUUUGGUCUUUCCUUUAUGCUGGCUUUGUCCUCAAUCUGCCAUACCUAUGCAAGUGAAGUGAAAUUGACUUGAGCUAGUUCUUCAAUAUUCAUUUCUUAUUUUCCGUUCAUCAUAGAUGUGCUUGUCUGAGAUUUUUGUAUAACUGAUCAGGAAAAGAUAAUGUGAAUGUAAAUUGCGUAUUUUCGCUGAUCCUGGAUGAUUUUCUUUUGCUCUUCUUUUGCAGGGUGGAGACGCCGCUGAGAUAAUUGAAGAAGCUCCUCCUGGUCAACCAUGGAGACGACAGAACCUCAUCUUACAGAUACCUUCAAGAAGUCUUGAGGAUGCCAAAGAAGAUUUUGUGAGAAUAAACAUGCCCCCAACGCCGAGUCUCACUCCCAAAAGAGUAAACUUCUCCCCAUUACCCAGCCCUAGUUUAGCCAAAAUCAGUGGGUUGCCAGGUCCCUCAUCAUCAAAAGCUAAAUCAACCAUAAAAAGCCUCCUUCCAAAACUCAGUUUCAAACAUCGGAACACUACUUCAGAGAUUCAGAAGGCUGCCACUCUAGCCCUGGGAGGCUUACCUGCAGGGACACGUGAGAAGCCUUUAAUUUCAAGGACAUGGUCCUUUACAAAGCUUUUGACUCCUAGAAUGAAAAAUGCAUCAUCCUUGCCUGUAACUCCAAUUGCUCACUCAAAUCCAGAGUCUAUGCAUGGAGGGAACACAAUUGAUAUGCUCAGUUCUGUUGUGAGUAUCUAUCACUUGUUAGCUUGAGAAUAAUUAAUGCAUCAAGAAGAAUUUAAGUUGACCAUAUUGCAUGUUUAUAUAAUAAAGAAAAUCUCAUAUACAUUCUGGAGGUCCUUUAAACUUACUGUGUAGUGUUCAAUUUUAUUUAAGGAUCAUUUAACUGAUUAUAUUAUCUACAAUGGAGAGGAAAUUGCUUUAGAUUUAUUGUAUAUCUGUGUAAAGUUUUGCUUAUUUUGGCAAUUCUACUUGCUAGUAGCGCUCUACAGAGCAUUAGCAAAAUUCCAAGAUAAGUUUAAAUCUAGUUGAUUUCCUCAAUGUCACAUGUACUGGUGGCAGUGCACCCACCCUCCUUGUGAAGAGUUCCUGGACUUUCCCCCUUAAUUUCCUGUACUGAUUCUACCGAACAUAUUACUUCUUGGACCAAAAAGAUAACCUUUUCUCCUUGGUUCUUUACAAAACCGGGGUUUGAAACCAAACUUCAACUCAGGAGGAUAGAUGGGGCGGUUCAGGUGAGAUCCAAUGUAGAUCCAACUUUCUAUUCACUCGUGGGAUCCGGGCAGUCCGGGAGGGACCACCACGACUCCUCUUCUUGGAGACUAAAUGAGAGGGGAGUUCAUCACAAUGGAGGAUAGAUUAGUUUUAUAGAGUUUGAUUAGCAGCCCAGUUUUCUGUUGGUGCACCACGUAUUUUUUCUUUUAAGCAAAAGCUAAAAUAUGGUUCCUAUUAUUUCCUCUAUCAAUUUGAGUCCCACAGUGAGUUGUCCUGCUCUUUCAUUUUAUGAUCCAAAAGUUUGUUACUUUUUAAAUUAUCUACAUGAGGUGCUUCUCUUUGAUCUUUCAUCCGAGUCUAAUAAUAUGUCUAUUUUUUGCUUGCAGUUCAAUUUUAUUUGUAUUGAGUAUUUGUACCAUUAUUUUUUGUUUCAAUUCCUGACUUUGCAGAAAGGAGAGGCCCAACUACCCAUUCAUCGUUCACAAUCAGUCCCUGUGAUUAAUAAAGAUGGAAGUAUAUAUUUAGGUGGUGUCAUUCGUGUAAUUCCCACCACACCACGAAUGCCUGAGAGGGCUGUCACGACAACUUCAAGCACAUCCCCAGUAACUGACACUGGUAAAUUUUGCGUUUUAAUUGUCUUUUUCCACAUCCACAAAAAAACCUCUCCUAUCCCUGUGGGAGUACCAGUUGUCUGUAUUUUCAGAUUCUAGCUACCUUUGACCCUGGUUUUGUUACUUGUGAUAACCAACCUAUGCCUUAUCUUAGUCUUGCGGUUCAGAUGGAAGUGAUGAUGGCGGUGAAGAUAUUGCUGUAGAAGAAGCUGUUUGUCGAAUUUGCUUAGUUGAACUAGGUGAAUGUGCUGAAACCCUCAAGAUGGAGUGCAGUUGUAAAGGUGACCUUGCUCUUGCCCACCAAGAAUGUGCUGUCAAAUGGUUCAGCAUUAAAGGUAAUAAAACAUGUGAUGUAUGCAAGCAAGAGGUUCAGAACCUACCCGUCACACUAUUACGAAUUCAAAAUGUUCAGACCCUUAAUUCUCGAGGAAGUAGAGCACAGCAGACUGAGGUUACUCAGUAUAGGCAAGUGAUAUUUUAACUGUUAUAAUGCACAGGAAAGGGAAAUUUCUGUGCUUACUAUGUCUGUUGUGUAUGGUCUUAUUUUUUAAUAUGUUCAACACCACCUUCUAGGAUGGGAUAAUUAAUAAUUAAUGCAAAAAUUUCCAGGGUUUGGCAGGAUGUUCCCAUCCUUGUCAUAGUCAGCAUGCUAGCUUACUUCUGUUUUCUUGAGCAGCUUCUGGUAAGUCAUGCAAAUUCUUUGUACUUUUUCUUUCUUAGCCUUUCAGUUUCUAAGUAAAUCAAAUGGACAGGUGGGCAAAAUGGGAUCGGGUGCAAUUGCUGUCUCUCUUCCUUUUUCCUGCAUAUUGGGUCUUUUGGCAUCCAUGACAUCAACCACAAUGGGUAGGGCUACGCUUGAAAUUACUUAUCUAGAAAUAUUUUCAAAUUCAUGAAUUCAUUGAUUUUCUUGCGACUAAGAAGAAGAAAAAAAAGAAGAAUUCAAUGUCUUUCUACUAUACUGACUUAGAAAUUCGUGCACAGUGAGAAGAAAAUUUGUCUGGGUUUAUGCAACUACUCAGUUUACACUGGUGGUUCUCUCAGCACAUGUGCUCUAUUCAUUGGUAAGAGUUGCUCAGCUACUCAAGUAGUGAUAGGAUUUGUGAAGUAACUGCUCUGCUACUCCAUUCAUGAAAAUGUGAUGAUUCUACUUAGUGAAAAAGUUUUUCUCUGUUUUGGGUUACAAAAUGCUUAGAACAAGCAACUGCUGAUCAAUAAUCUUAUUGUCAAGUGAAAAUCCACUAAGUCCGUGAUGAGGCUUUAAGUGUUGAAUAUUGGUGUUCACCUUCGUAUCCAUAACAGUGUCUUAUAUGUUCUUGUUGGGUCUACAGCUUCACAUGCAUGCAGUUCUGUCUGUUCUCCUUGCCACUUUUAUGGGGUUUGGAGUUACAAUGUGUGGAAAUUCUAUUAUUGUUGAGGCUUUUAGAUGGAGAGAAAGAUGGCUUUUUCAGUCAAAUCGACAGCGUGGUUCUCAGGAGGUGACGCAGCCGAAUCAAUCACCAGAGAAUGCACAACAAGCGCAAACGAAUCCUCAACAGCUUGAAAAUGAAACUCAAGUUGCAGAAGCUAUUCAUGGCAGCUGACUUCUGUACUUUAACAUGCACUAAAACCAUAGUUGCAUACUAGGAGGGGCUGUAAAUAAAUAUAGAACAUGUUAAGAGUAGUUGUAUAUAACUAUUUCCCAUGUAUAGCUUGGCCUUAGAAGAGUUCAAAUGACAACCCGUGGUGAAACUUUUGGCUUCCUUGUAUGCAUGCGUAUAUAUAGUGUUCUAGUGAGGACUCAACUUGAGAGCCAGAUUGUUCGACUCAUCCUUGAUCCUUCAAUAUGGUCUAAUGAUCAAAAUUGUUCGGAUUUUAGGUCUUCCUUCUGGAUAAUCCUUUUUUCUUGGGUCAGGUUUAUCAUUCUUUUUCGGUCACCCAUACGACACUUUGUUUCUGCUUGAAUCUAAAAGUGAGCUCUUUUUUAAAAAAUAAAAAAAAUCAAAACUAAUCCAACAAAUGGUUCAUAGAAAGGGUAAGAAUGCAUUAAGGGCUGUAAAAUAAAUUACCGCUCAACGGCACUGCUGGGAUGAAACAGAUCUCAAGGGAGCAACAUCAUAUCAUUCAUGUAGGUCAGUAAAUAUAUUCUAGCAAAAGCCGUUUUGUACUUACAAAUGGGGGUUUUUCUCCCUCCCAGCCUCUUACUGCCUUCAAUGACAUUUUUGUCUAUACAAUAGAAUCAGUUGGUUGCAUGGCAAUGCCGGUCAGAUUACGCUUACAAAGUGCUAUUUCUGGAAAAACCAACUGGAUGACAAAAGAAAAUUGGCUACACAGGCAAAUGGAACUGUAACCCAAUGGGGAAAAAAUUUCGAAAAAAAAUUUCGUAGCUUGUUUUGCAUUUGUGUCUUGAAUUGAUGACAGUCUGGUCAUUGCUUGUAACUGGAACUACCAACCUUGCCUGAGGAUAAAGGCUUCUCCUUCAAACUGGUGCUUAACACAGUUUCAGAGUUGUUUGAUUGGCUUUCUGAAACCCCGGGUCUCAUCCAAACUUUUAUAUGCCCUUCUCGGCAGACAGUGAGAACGGAUUCUUGAGUAAACAUCAAGCCAGAGAGGGGUUCAGUGUGUACACGGUGAGCAACCAGUGGUGAGAUUUUUGGAACAUCUCGCAUGAUUGGAGCAGGCUGAAGAGUACCCACUGGAAGUGCGUUGUCCCAAUGAGAUGACUGGCUUCCAGCACUAUAAGUGGGGGAGCCACCAGGAGGGCAUCGCCGCAAUGGCACCACAAUCUCAUCCAUUUCCAGGUCCCACAGAAGCAACUGGGUGUCCUGCACUCAAAUGGAUAAGUAUAAUGAAACAAAGAAAUAUCAUAUGGUUUUGAACUAGGAAACUAUUUUCCAAUUAAAUAACUAGUAUUUUCAAAACUUUUGCCGUCUCAUUUCCUUUCCCUAUCUCCAAUCUAUAUAUACAUUUGUAACUACUAUGUUUUUAUCCACCUGCAAAAAA